CCCAACUGAGGAGAAUGGGCAUUUCAAAUUUGAGAGAAGCAGAUGAGCAUGACUUGUGCUCUUCAAUCCUGAACUUGAAACUAAUACGCACCUUGCGUCUCUGUGUGAAUAAUGAAGCAGAGUUCCUUCGAGUGGAUGCAUUGGAAACACCCCCACCCCAACUUCAAAAGCUUGGUUUGCAUGGGAAACUAGAAAGGGUGCCACAUUGGUUUUGCUCACUUCAAAACCUAACAUCAUUAGGAUUGCUUGGGUCUAGAUUGGAGGAAGAUCCACUCCCUCAUGUUGCAGCGCUACCCAAUUUGGGACGCGUUACUCUAAUUAAUUCCUUCGUCGGAGAAAAUCUACAUUUUUACAGUGGAUUUGCUAAGCUUAAAGAGUUAUACUUGUUUAAGUUCCGUCAACUGAAAGGAAUUAUUAUAGAGAAGGGGGCUAUGCCAGAUAUCCAGAAAUUGUGGAUUGAUUCCUGCUUUGGGUUGGAUGCAGUGCCUCGAGGUAUCGAAUUCCUAACCAAUCUUCAAAUUAUGUGGUUAACAAACUUUUCUUCAAGUCUUAUAGAUUUGAAAAGUAUAGAUCGUUCAAAGUUGUAGCACAUCCCAAAUGUCAAUAUCAUUGAUACUAUAGGUGAGCUUCCACAAACACUAACACACCUGUGUCCUUAUAAUAAGGAUUUGAAAUAACAUCUUAGAUUGAGGAUGAAAACUGUAAUGGACUCCAUGCGGGGUUUUCUAAUCUCCUAUAAAUUCAACUCACUAUGUAGAAAUAAUGAGUUUAUUUAUAUUAAUGAACUAGGUUUAUGUCCAUGCAGUGCACAGAUAUUAUUAUUAUUAUUUGUAUAUUAAUAAUUAAUAAAAUUAUCUUGAAUAUUCAUUUUUUAUAAUAGAUAUUACUCUAAUUAUAAAAAUAAAAUUUUAUUAAUUCAACCAAUUAAAUAUUAAUAUCAGUUGUAACAAUUAUUUUAUUUAAAGUAUAUUAAAAAUUACUCUAUUUAUGAAAAUAAAAUUUUUCAAAUUCAACUAAUUAGAUCAAUUAAGUGAUAUCAUAUAUUAUUUUGUAUAUGGUAAAAUUUGAAAUCUUGAGAAUUUUGAAAUUUAAUUUAUUAGUGUAAUCGAUUAAUUUAUUAGAAUUUAAUAAUACUAAUUAUUAAGAUUAUUACAUAAUUACAUAAUUAAGAUUAUUAAGAUUAUUCUAGAUCCUAAAUCACAUAAUUGGCUAAGUUAAUGUGUUAAAUACUUUUUUUUUUUAAUUGAAUCGUUGGUUAUCAUUUAAUUGGUAGUAGAAGUGAGUAUUCGGUCGAUUCGAUUUAAAUCACAUAAUUAAGAUUAUUAGAAUUUAAUAAUACUAAUUAUUAAGAUUAUUACAUAAUUACAUAAUUAAGAUUAUUAAGAUUAUUCUAGACCCUAAAUCACAUAAUUGGCUAAGUUAAUGUGUUAAAUACUUUUUUUUUUUAAUUGAACCGUUGGUUAUCAUUUAAUUGGUAGUAGAAGUGAGUAUUCGGUCGAUUCGAUUUAAAAUCGAACCGAAUUGAAUAAAACAAAAAUUGAAUAUUUAUGAAAACCGAAUUGAUUUUAGUCAGAAAUCGAAUAGAAUCGAAUCGGUCUAAUUCAGUUUGAUUUAGCUCGAUUUGAUAUUUUGAACUUUUAAUAAAUUUUUUAUUUUUUAUACUUUAUUUUUAGUAUUUAAAAUUUAAUUAGAAUAUUUUAAUGAUUUAAUCUCUCUAUGUUAUUGAAAAUAAUAUACUAUUAUCACUAAUCGGUUCGGUUCGAUUUUAUCAAUUUUUUCUGAUUAAAAUCGAACCGAACCAAAAUAACUGAAAUUUUUAAAUUAAAAAUCGAAUCAAACCUGUAACACCCCUUACCCGUAUAUAAAAUAGCUCAGUAAAAGAUGUCACAUACUAUACUUUAUACAAUUAUAUAUGUGGACUUAAGUUAGCUUUUACAUUAUAAAUGAUUUUUUAGUUUGUUUAAAUGCGUGUUGAUUCACCAAAACAAUUUUAAAUGGAGAAACUGCAAGAGUUUCCCCUGCUUAUCAGUAAUUAUCCCUAUGGAAAAUAGUCAUAAAAUCUCAAUAAUUAUUUAAUUCACACUAUUAAAUCCAUAAAUAUAAUAUAAUAAUUUAAAAUAAUAAACACAUUUUUUUAUAUUCGCACUAUUUUCAACACUCAUUUAUAGACUUUUGGUAGACUAUUAAUGUACAUGCGAAAUAUAAACAACCUCUUGUACAAAAGUUGUGAAUAACUGGUUAUCAUGAUGUCUCCGUGCUGAUGCCCGACCCCUUUUGGUUGUUGCUUCCUUUAACUAUUACCUGCGCAUGGAAAAGUCCAAUGCGCUGAGUUUAUGCCCAGUGGGUGAAUAACAAUAUAUAUACAUGCAAAUAUAUGUAUGAAUACUCAUGACAGAUACAAUGAAAUCAUUUUAUAAGGCAAGUGAAAAUUUUAUGUGUCAGUGGGUGAGAAGUGGACAAAUUAAGUCAUGCAAAUUUAUAACUGUAAAGUCAUUCAUAUUUUGGUAACCAUCUUGUGUGCAUACUUAUAAGGUAUUAACAAGUCAUAUAAUUAAAUCUUAACUCCUAUAAACUCUUCGCAGGAUCAACAAGCUGUAUAAGGGAAAACUGUAUCUGUAUAGCACAAAGUGCCAAACUGUAUGGCCUGGGAGCCGAAUGCAGUGCCUAUAUGCCUAAAAACCGAGAAAUUGUAUGACACAUAAUGUGUUGAAAAUAUCAUAUCAUGUAGCCCAUUAGGGUACAAUACUGCUAAACUGUAUAUAGCAUGCCAUACCCUUAUUCUAUCUAUGACUCCCACUGAGGUUUACUAGGGUCAAGAAUGUAUAUUUACAUGUUAAUUAUUUUUUGGUACUAAAAUUAUUCAUUUAGAUGCUUAACAUGUUGAAACAAGCAAAUAUGUCGAACUAUUUAUUCAUAAGCAAGCACAUCAAUAAAAAAAAGGUCCUUAAGAGCAUAAAUAUAUGUGUAAUAAACCAUAUUCACUCAUGAAUAUAAUAUUCAGUCAUGAACAUAUUACUAUUUCAUCAAGAACAUGUGUAAAGUUUUAGUCUAUUAAGCCAGCACGUGCAUAAAGCAGGCAUGUCAAGCUAGCACGUGCGUAAUUUGGCCACAAAGCUAGCAUGUCAAUUCCUUUUAGGUCAACAUUUAGAUUUAGGUUUGUUUCUACCUGAGAUUGUAUCACGUUUCUAAGUAUCUUAUGGACAUAAUUAGACUCACCUUUUUUCAUAAACUUUGUAUAUUUAUGUCUUAACUUUCUAACAAGAUAUAUUACAUCUAAUUCUGACCUUCCUAAUUUAAGUUAUCAGUUUUUCUUUACAAGCUGCCCAAUCAGGUUCUAACCAGUACAAUUUUGGUAUUUUUUUUUAAUCUAACAAAACAUAUCAUAUGCAUACAUUUGCAUUGAAACAGCCGGUUUCGAACUGACUCAAAUAACUUUUAGGCCUACUUUCCACUCGGCCCAAAAUGAUUAACCCAAGUUAUUUAGUAGUUUCGUGCUAGCUAUUAUAUACAAUUCUAUUUUUUUAUCCUCUGCCGAUGUGGGAUGGAUUUGUGCCGCAAAUCCGCAAGCAGGCAGCUCAAGCAGCUGACCGUUACACUCGGUCCCGCUAAAUUUGCAACGUCUUCGUCGCAACUGAAUCGAAUACAAUUGCUAACCAAGACUGGAUCCUUAGGUAUUGUGGUUCGCUAGUACCUCGGGCGGCUCCAGCUCGUCUCUCACAUAUAGCCCUUUCCUCGCAGGCCCACUAGUUCCGCACAAUUUGUCUGACCCAGGGUGGCUCUGAUACCAAUUGAAACAGCUGGUUCCGAACUGAUCCAAAUAACUUUUGGGCCUACUUUCCACUCGGCCCAAAAUGGUUAACCCAAGUUAUUUAGUAGUUUCGUGCUGGCUAUUAUCUACAAUUCUAAUUUUUCAUCCUCUGCCGAUGUUGUAACAGCCCGGAAACCGAACUGCUACCGGCACUAGGAUCCAGAUCGGCUUAAGGCCGCCGGGACCCGUAGUAAGCUUGCUAUACUGUCUGUGUACCUGUGAAAUCCCAUACAUGAUCAAAUAUUUUCUGUAAAAACAUAAAAGCGUUGCCUGUACCAAAGCUUAACCUGUGCACAUACUAUCACUGCACUGAAAAAUGCCUGCCAGAGCUCUCAUCUAUGCUCAAGGCGGCUAAACUCAUCUAUGUUAAGCCUGGUUUUACCAUACAUACAACAUAAAACAUUUACAUAAAAAGAUCAUGUAUAUACAACAAGGGAUAACAACUCUUAUAAUCAAGCACCAUUCUAUACACUGUACAUAAACACUAUCUCUUUACAUUUUCAUGUCCACACUAGCUAUUACAAACUAUUAACUCUUCCUGUACCCUGCUAACUUCCCUCUGAACUCUGAACCUGCAAAACUGGGGUUAGGGGAGAGGAGUGAGCUACAAUAGCCCAGUGAGUAGAACAGUAAUAAAAUAACAGGUGAUAAAACAUGCUCUCAUGGAAUGCAUCACAUCACAAGUAAUCACAUAAUCUCAGUCGGACGGAUCAAAAUUCCCUCUAUCUAUGUCCANNNNNNNNNNNNNNNNNNNNNNNNNNNNNNNNNNNNNNNNNAGAGACGAAACUCAUGCAUGUUCGGCGGCACCUUCGGCGGCUGAAGGUCUCGUCCAGAGACGAAACUCACACACUUUCGGCGGCCGAACUCCCUCUUUCGGCGGCCGAAAGUCCCUUUCUAAAUCGAAAGCCUAGCUUUCGGGGGCAAGCUUUGGCAGCCGAAACUGCCUCCACAAGGGGUUCGGCGGCCGAACCUCCCUUCGGCGGUCGAACCUGGUUUUGUCCAGAGGACAGAACCUUGCUCUGUUUCAUGCAAACUCACCCAAAAAUUUACCCAACAUGCAUAGCAACUACUCCCAACUAGCAUAUAUCAUAAAACAUGCAUAAAGGGGUCUAAACCUACCCUAAACCCCAAACAAACAUAGCACAUAACACUUCAACAUGCUUAAACACCAAAGAUCACCAAAAACCUCAUCUAAACCUAAACAUGUAUACUACCCAUACAAACUUCAUAAAACCUUUAAAAAUCAGCAAAGAAGCUCAGGAUCUUCAUUUACCUCUUAAAAAACUUGAGGAUGAAGGAUCCUAACGUGGAGAUAUGGAGAAAUCCUCUCUCAAAGCUCCAAACUUCAAAACUUGGUUAUUUUGCUCAAAACCUUCAAAAUACACCAAAACUCUUAUUGGAGACACCUUUAGCAAUACCAUAUCCCCCUCCUGGAACUCUAUCUGCUUCCUACGGAUGUCUGCAUAGCUUUUCUGUCUGCUUAUAGCUGUUCUGAUUCUCUCUCUGAUGAUAGGCACUAGUCUGCUGGUAAUCUCUACAAUCUCUGGCCCUGCAAGAGCCUUCUCUCCAAUCUCUUCCCAGCAAACAGGUAUUAUGCAUUUCCUUCCAUAUAGAGCUUCAUACGGAGCCAUCCCUAUGCUAGCGUGAUGGCUGUUAUUGUAGGCAAACUCCACCAGAGGUAGAUGCUGCCUCCAAGAACCGCCAAAGUCUAACACACACAUUCUCAACAUAUCUUCUAUGGUCUGGAUGGUCCUCUCUGACUGACCGUCUGUCUGUGGAUGGAAAGCAGUACUGAAAUCCAAUCUUGUGCCCAUCUCACUCUGCAGACUCCGCCAAAACUUGGAGGUGAACUGAGGUCCUCUAUCUGAUACUAUCGACACUGGAACUCCAUGUAGCCUCACUAUCUCUUCUAUAUACACCUGCGCUAACUUAUCCACAGAGUAGUUACUCCUGACUGGAAUGAAGUGAGCAGAUUUAGUCAGUCUAUCCACAAUCACCCAUAUGGAGUCUAGCCUGUUGGACGUCGCCGGUAACCCUACUACAAAAUCCAUAGCUAUGUUCUCCCAUUUCCACUCUGGAAUCGGCAGUGGGUUAAGCGUUCCAGCCGGCUUUUGAUGUUCUAGCUUCACCCUUUGACAUAUCUCGCAGGCUGACACGAACUGUGCCACUUCCCUCUUCAUUGCUGGCCACCAAUACACUCUUCUCAGAUCUUGAUACAUCUUGGUGGCUCCAGGGUGAAUGCUAUACCUCGCAUUAUGAGCUUCCCUCAUAAUGUCUUCCUUCAAACUGGGGUCAUCUAGUACACAUAACCUCUUCCCGUGACGAAGAAUCCCCUCACUGUCGAAUCUGAACUCUGUACUGUUGCCCGACUGAACAGUCCUGGCAAUCUUCACUAACUCAGGGUCCUCGUGCUGUUUCAGAGCCACUUGCUCUAGAAACACAGGUGUAACUCGCAUUUGUGCAAUCAAAGCACCUGACCAGAUAACUGCAACUGUAGCCCUUCUUCCAUGAGUCUGUAGAAAUCCUUCACCACCGGUCUUCUUUCUACGAUAAUGUGGGAUAAACUGCCAAGUGACUUCCGGCUUAAGGCAUCGGCAACCACAUUAGCCUUACUCGGAUGAUACUGGAUCUUGCAAUCAUAAUCACUGAGCAGCUCUACCCACCGUCUCUGCCUCAAGUUAAGCUCUCUCUGACUUAGGAUGUGCUGCAGGCUCUUAUGAUCCGUGUAGAUCUCACACUUUACCCUAUAGAGGUAAUGCCUCCACAUCUUAAGUGCAAAGAUAACAGCUGCCAUCUCAAGAUCGUGUGUCGGGUAGUUCAGCUCGUGCUUCUUCAGCUGUCUAGAAGCAUAAGCUAUCACUCUGUCAUUCUGCAUUAACACACAACCUAAUCCCACCCGGGAUGCAUCACAGAACACUGUGAAAUCUUCAUCACUGAUCGGCAGAGCUAACACCGGUGCUGAAGUUAACCGUCUCUUCAACUCUUCAAAACUCUCAUCACAUUCCUCUGACCAUACAAACUUCUGAUUCUUUCUAGUCAGUCUGGUCAUAGGAGCAGCUAUCUUCGAGAAGUCUUGAACAAACCUCCUAUAGUAGCCUGCCAAACCCAGAAAACUCUUAAUCUCUAUCACUGGAGUGGGUGUAGGCCAGUUGGCUACUGCCUCUACCUUUUUGGGGUCUACUGCUAUUCCUUCUUCUGAUACUACAUGACCCAAAAAGGAAAUGCUCCUCAGCCAGAACUCGCACUUAGAGAACUUGGCAUACAAGCCAUGCUCUCUCAAGGUCUGUAGAAUUCUCCGCAGAUGCUGGGCAUGCUCCUCUGCAUUUCUGGAGUACACCAAAAUAUCAUCAAUAAAGACGAUCACAAAGUGAUCCAGGUACUCCCUGAACACCCUGUUCAUGAGAUCCAUGAAUGCUGCAGGGGCGUUAGUCAACCCGAACGGCAUUACUAGGAACUCAUAAUGCCCAUAUCUGGUUCUGAAAGCGGUCUUGGACACAUCCUCUUCCCUGAUCUUCAACUGGUGGUAUCCGGAUCUCAGAUCUAUCUUAGAGAAAUAACCUGCUCCUGACAGCUGGUCAAAGAGAUCAUCGAUCCUGGGUAGAGGAUACUUAUUCUUGAUAGUGACUUUGUUCAACUGUCUGUAGUCAAUACAAAGUCGAAGAGAUCCAUCCUUCUUCCUGACAAACAGUACUGGAGCACCCCAAGGUGAGGUACUCGGGCGGAUGAAACCCUUGUCUACCAAGUCCUGUAACUGCUCUUUCAACUCUCUCAGCUCUGCUGGUGCCAUCCUGUAGGGAGGUAUAGAGAUCGGUCUGGUACCAGGCAGCAAUUCUAUCUCGAACUCUAUUUCCCUAUCAGGUGGUAGUCCUGGAAGCUCUUCAGGAAACACAUUUGGGAAUUCUCUAACCAGUGGUACUAAGGACGGUUCCCUAACCUGCCUGUCUAGCUCCCUCACAUGAGCUAUGAACCCCUGACAACCCCUCCUCAACAACCUGCGAGCCUGAAGGGCUGAUAUCAAACCCUUAGGUGUCCCCCUCCUAUCUCCUCUGAAGACACACUCUGACCCAUCUUGGUCUCUGAAACUAACUAUCUUAUCUCUACAGUUCAGGGUAGCAUCAUACGUAGAUAACCAGUCCAUCCCUAGAAUGACAUCAAAGUCUGUCAACUCUAGAACCACCAGGUCAGCUGGAAGGUAUCUACUCUCUAUGCACACUGGACUGAACCGACAGACUGACUCUGCCAAAGAUGGAUCACAUUUGGGUCCACUGACCCAAAGAGGACACUCUAACUCGGACACCAUCAGACCCAACCUCUCUGCAGCUCUAGAAGAAAUGAAAGAGUGAGAAGCACCGGGGUCCAUCAAAGCAUACACCUCUGAACACCCAAUGAUGAGAUUACCUGACACCACUGUGUUCGAAGUGUCUGCCUCCUGCUGAGUCAUGGUGAAAAUCCGUGCUGGGGCUGACGCACCUGCACCUCGGGAACCCAUCCCUGAUGAAGAGGCUGCCCCUCUUCCUCUACCUCUGCCACUGCUUGGUGGUAUGGCUGAAGCUACUGGCUGUACUACACUGCCUGUACUCAUCUGCCGGGAUGGUGAAACCAACGUCGCCUGAGGACAUUCCCGUGCAUAAUGUCCCUCCUGCCCACAUCUAUAGCAGGCUGAGGAUCCCAACUGACAAGCUCCUCUAUGCUGUCUACCACACCUCUUGCACACUGGACCAUCUGCGCUAGAGCUGGAGCCACUACUCAUUCCCAGACCCGACUUAAUCCUACUCCAGAACUUGCCUCUUUUACCUCUGAGUUUUUCCCAUCUCUUCUUACUCCCACUUGCUGUACUCUGCGAGGAGGAACCUGGUUUAACACCAGAAGACUGUGCCUUUGGUUGCUUGACUACUCCCUGACUUAUGGCACUAGCCUCCAUCUUUCUAGCAGCAUCCACAAUCGAGUGGAAACUCUCCUUCUCUGCGUGAAGAAUCAAAGAGAAAUACCUGUGAUGAAGCCUCGUGGCAUAUCUCUUUGCCUUCUUCUGAUCCGUCUCAUACGCCUGACCCACGUAUGGUAACAAUUCCAGGAACUUAUCUGUAUACUCAUCAACGCUCAUCUCCUCCGUCUGUCUCAACUGCUCAAACUCCACAAUCUUGAGCUCCCUGGAACUAUCAGGAAAAGCCCACCCAGCAAAUUCAUUGGCGAACUCUUCCCAUGUCAUACUGUCUCGUCUAGGGUCCACAUAGUUUUUGAACCAUUCUCUAUCUUUCUUGCACUUUAAAGUGAACCCUGCCAUCUCAAUGGUUCUGCUAUCAUCUGCUCCCAACUCACUUGUUAUCAUUCUGACUGCACUAAGAUACUCAAAAGGAUUAUCUCCCGUGUUGAAUUUAGGAGCAUCCAACUUUAAGUACUCAGUCAUCUUCACUUUACUUCCCCCUGAAGAACUGGGUUGAUGUGCUUCCACAACAGGGGCUACUGGUUCAGGUGGUGGUGGUGGGGGUACUUUUUCUCUUGCUUCAGGCUGUACUGGACUUGGAGGAACAGGUGGGGGUGGAUACAUCUGAUAUGGUGGAUAAAAGGAAGGAUAAGGCAUAUAGGGCAUGUAGGGUGGAUAUGGGGCAAAACUGGAGUAAUCCGAUGUACCUCCCAUCGGAUACCCUGGGCCCUGAGAAAAGGGUGGAUAACCAAACCCCGAGGCCUGUGCGCCUCCCUGGGACUCCCCCAUACCUUCUUCCGACCUUCCAACACCCAUGCUUACAUCUCUACUCUGAUCACCCUCCAUCACACCUCUUUCUUCUCCUGAUCUUCCCCCUCUGCUUACUCCUCUUCUGCUCUCGUCAGAAGACCUUCUAGGGUCUCGUGACGUUCCUUCCCUGCUUGACCUGUGCGAUCUUGCCCUUGGCAAUGCAGGUGGACGAGCAGCUGUAUCCUCACUUUCAGGUGGGACUCCAGUCAAUCUCGCGGAUCGACGAGUUCCUCGCAUCUUAACUCUCUGGAAAACAACACAUAACAGAGCACAUAAGCAUACAUCAUACAUCACAUAUAAAAAUGCACAUGCAUAAAUCAUGGCAUUCCACAGCAUCAUAUAGACAGGACUGACAUCCUAUCCUAGUGGACAUGUUUCCCUAUGGUGCUUCACUGACUAAAACCUCUAUGAGCCCAACUCUGUCUCUAUAUAGGUCCGACCAUGUGAACCUAGGGCUCUAAUACCAAUCUGUAACAGCCCCGAAACCGAACUGCUACCGGCACUAGGAUCCAGAUCGGCUUAAGGCCGCCGGGACCCGUAGUAAGCCUGCUAUACUGUCUGUGUACCUGUGAAAUCCCAUACAUGAUCAAAUAUUUUCUGUAAAAACAUAAAAGCGUUGCCUGUACCAAGGCUUAACCUGUGCACAUACUAUCACUGCACUGAAAAACGCCUGCCAGAGCUCUCAUCUAUGCUCAAGGCGGCUAAACUCAUCUAUGUUAAGCAUGGUUUUACCAUACAUACAACAUAAAACAUUUACAUAAAAAGAUCAUGUAUAUACAACAAGGGAUAACAACUCUUAUAAUCAAGCACCAUUCUAUACACUGUACAUAAACACUAUCUCUUUACAUUUUCAUGUCCACACUAGCUAUUACAAACUAUUAACUCUUCUUGUACCCUGCUGACUUCCCUCUGAACUCUGAACCUGCAAAACUGGGGUUAGGGGAGAGGAGUGAGCUACAAUAGCCCAGUGAGUAGAACAGUAAUAAAAUAACAGGUGAUAAAACAUGCUCUCAUGGAAUGCAUCACAUCACAAGUAAUCACAUAAUCUCAGUCGGACGGAUCAAAAUUCCCUCUAUCUAUGUCCAGCCCACAAAGGAGCUCUUAGGACUACAUCUCAUCUGGGGUACUGAGGUACCAUGUGCCUGGUCCCCGUAGGGCUGUUCCAGGUCUUUCCUCCGAGGGCUAUUGAAUCCUCAUAAAGUCCGUACUGCCUCACCAAAAGCAAUGUACAAGGAGCCAUGCCAAGUAUAAGGAUAGAUGCAAUGCGUCAUAUUCGUGUUCACUAAUGCACUCAGCCUAAAGCAUAGUCAUGAUGCAUGAAACAUGAUAAAAAUAUCCAUUUCUCAUAUUAAAACAUUAAAGUUAGUUCCACUCACCUCUGGCUGACUCUGUGCUAACUCUGCAGGUUCCAACACUGUACUCACUGCUGACCUCCCUGAUUCCUCUGGUCCGUUCCUACACAGGUGGACUCAAAUGAGGGACCAAACUAACUCAAGAACAUCUCUAAGAAACUCCCCAAAAGCCCUCUAAAAGAUCCUAAAACAAUCACAUAAAACAUGCAAAAGAAGGCUGGACAGGGCAUGUAACGACCCGAAAAUCGGACCGCUACCGGCGCUAGGGUCCAGAUCGGCGUAAGGCCGCCGGGACCCGUAGCAAGCCUAACAUAUAACCUGUAAACCUGUAAAUCCCAUACAUGAUCAACAAAACGCAUAAACCUGUAAACAUACUCAUAUGACAACCAAGCUCAACCUUUACUUAAACAUAAGCAUAACAUAAACCUCCACUGGAGCCCUCAUCAAAUGCCCCAAUGGGGUAUCUCAUCAUACAUAAGCUUGGCCGAAACAUAACCUCAUAUCUCAUAUCAUAAAGACCAUGUACAUACAAGUGGGAUUAACAAUCUGUAUUGGUCAAGCACAACUCUAUCCUCAAUAUUCAAAUUACAUAACAUAACUUAAAACUCUUUUACAUUACAUCAUAAUACAAUUGUCANNNNNNNNNNNNNNNNNNNNNNNNNNNNNNNNNNNNNNNNNNNNNNNNNNNNNNNNNNNNNNNNNNNNNNNNNNNNNNNNNNNNNNNNNNNNNNNNNNNNNNNNNNNNNNNNNNNNNNNNNNNNNNNNNNNNNNNNNNNNNNNNNNNNNNNNNNNNNNNNNNNNNNNNNNNNNNNNNNNNNNNNNNNNNNNNNNNNNNNNNNNNNNNNNNNNNNNNNNNNNNNNNNNNNNNNNNNNNNNNNNNNNNNNNNNNNNNNNNNNNNNNNNNNNNNNNNNNNNNNNNNNNNNNNNNNNNNNNNNNNNNNNNNNNNNNNNNNNNNNNNNNNNNNNNNNNNNNNNNNNNNNNNNNNNNNNNNNNNNNNNNNNNNNNNNNNNNNNNNNNNNNNNNNNNNNNNNNNNNNNNNNNNNNNNNNNNNNNNNNNNNNNNNNNNNNNNNNNNNNNNNNNNNNNNNNNNNNNNNNNNNNNNNNNNNNNNNNNNNNNNNNNNNNNNNNNNNNNNNNNNNNNNNNNNNNNNNNNNNNNNNNNNNNNNNNNNNNNNNNNNNNNNNNNNNNNNNNNNNNNNNNNNNNNNNNNNNNNNNNNNNNNNNNNNNNNNNNNNNNNNNNNNNNNNNNNNNNNNNNNNNNNNNNNNNNNNNNNNNNNNNNNNNNNNNNNNNNNNNNNNNNNNNNNNNNNNNNNNNNNNNNNNNNNNNNNNNNNNNNNNNNNNNNNNNNNNNNNNNNNNNNNNNNNNNNNNNNNNNNNNNNNNNNNNNNNNNNNNNNNNNNNNNNNNNNNNNNNNNNNNNNNNNNNNNNNNNNNNNNNNNNNNNNNNNNNNNNNNNNNNNNNNNNNNNNNNNNNNNNNNNNNNNNNNNNNNNNNNNNNNNNNNNNNNNNNNNNNNNNNNNNCAGGUGGACUCAAAUGAGGGACCGAACAUACAUAAACAUGACUCUAAAAUACUCCCCAAAAACCCCCUAGAACAUCAUGAAAACAUCACAUAGAAAUAUGCAUGAAAUGGCUGAACAGGGCACUUUCGGCGGCACCUUCGGCGGCCGAAAGUCCUGGACAGAUCCGAAAGUCAGGCACUUUCGGCAGCACCUUCGGCGGCCGAAAGUCCCAGACAGAGACGAAAGUCUCUUUUCGGGGGCAACUUCGGCAGCCGAAUGCUGCCUCCACGAAAGAGGGUUCGGCGGCCGAAAGUCACUUCGGCGGCCGAACCUGAGCUUCUCCCGAAGGGCAGAAACUCAGCUCUUCUAUGCCCAUUUCGCCUCCCAAGCUCAAAUCAUGUAAAAACUAGUUCUAAAACAUGCAUACCUCACAUACAUUACACCUAGGGGUCUCAAGCUAUCAUAUACCCCAACUACAACACUUCAAACACACAAAAACAAGCUACAUUGUUCAUCAAAGCAUCAAAACUCAUAAACUCAAUAUAUACCCUAACAUGCAUUUCUACCCAUAGAUCUUGCAUAAAACUUAUUUAAAACACCUAAGGAGCUUAAGAUCGGUUCUUACCUCUUGAAGAUCGAGAGGGAGACGACCUAAACUUGGAGAUCCACGAAAAUGAGCUCCUGAGUUCCCAAAGCUCCAAAACUUGUUUCAAAAGCUUAAAUCUUCAAAACCAAGGGAAAACAAGUGAAAAUCUUGAAAGAUUUAGAGGAAGAACAUCAUAAAUGGGUGAGGGACGGCGGGAAGCUCACCUUGGCCGAAAAUGGGGAAAAACUCGCCCGUUUUCGGCUAAAGGACCCUUUUAUAGUGGCUGGCCAGACCACGUUCGGGGGCCGAAUGUGCCUCCGCAUGCAUGUCAUGUUCGGCGGCCGAACAUGAGGUUCGGCGGCCGAACCUGGACUUCCCUCACUUAUGCUUUCGGGGGCCUAACGUGCCUCCAAAACGCAUGCAUGUUCGGCGGCCGAACUUGACUUUCGGCGGCCGAACCUGAGUUUUCCUCCAAAGACUUUUCAUGUAAAAACUCAUUAAAUUUCAUACUUAAAAUCAUUAAAAAUAUGAAAACAUUUCAUAACGACAUACUUUUACCCUUCUAGAGGUUUUCGACAUCCGAGAUUCCACCGGACGGUAGGAAUUCUGAUACCGGAGUCUAGCCGGGUAUUACAGGGCACUUUCGGCGGCAGGUUCGGCGGCCGAAACCCCCCUCCAGAGACGAAACUCAUGCAUGUUCGGCGGCACCUUCGGCGGCCGAAGGUCUCGUCCAGAGACGAAACUCACACACUUUCGGCGGCCGAACUCCCUCUUUCGGCGGCCGAAAGUCCCUUUCUAAACCGAAAGCCUAGCUUUCGGGGGCAAGCUUUGGCAGCCGAAACUGCCUCCACAAGGGGUUCGGCGGCCGAACCUCCCUUCGGCGGCUGAACCUGGUUUUGUCCAGAGGACAGAACCCUGCUCUGUUUCAUGCAAACUCACCCAAAAAUUUACCCAACAUGCAUAGCAACUACUCCCAACUAGCAUAUACCAUAAAACAUGCAUAAAGGGGUCUAAACCUACCCUAAACCCCAAACAAACAUAGCACAUAACACUUCAACAUGCUUAAACACCAAAGAUCACCAAAAACCUCAUCUAAACCUAAACAUGUAUACUACCCAUACAAACUUCAUAAAACCUUUAAAAAUCAGCAAAGAAGCUCAGGAUCUUCACUUACCUCUUAAAAAACUUGAGGAUGAAGGAUCCUAACGUGGAGAUAUGGAGAAAUCCUCUCUCAAAGCUCCAAACUUCAAAACUUGGUUAUUUUGCUCAAAACCUUCAAAAUACACCAAAACUCUUACAACCCUUGAAAGAUUUGAUGAAAAACAUGAAAAACAUGAAAGUCAACAUGGGAGAGGUUGGAACUCACCUCUGGCUGCAAGUGGAGGAGAAAUAUCCUCCCUCCACCGACCUUUGGCCCUUAAAUAGGUGGCUGGCCAGACCACCUUCGGCAGCCGAACGUGAAUCCGAAACCAUGCAAUGUUCGGCGGCCGAAAGUGACCUUCGGCGGCUGAACCUUUGCAUUUCUCCCUUGUUGCUUUUCUUUCAAAACUCAAUUCCUUUAACACUUUAAACCUUUCAAAACUCUUAAAAACACAUGUAAACAUAUGUAUUACCCUUCUUGAGGGUUCCGACACUCGAGAUUCCACCGAUCUACAGGAAUUCCGAUGCCGGACUCAAGCCGGGUAUUACAGAUGUGGGAUGGAUUUGUGCUGCAAAUCCGCAAGCAGGCAGCUCAAGCAGCUGACCGUUAUAUGCAUACAGAUUCAAGCUUAACUUUCUUGUACAAAGUUUUAGGUAUACUUAUCAGGGUUCAUUUGGCACUAGCCUUAAUUCAUUUCAAUGAGUAAAUAAUUGGUUAUGGUCUAAGUGAUACAGACUGUUCCGGAUGCACAAUCCCCUAUGACCAGUUUAGGUUCACUAGCAAUUUGCAUAUAAUUAGGUACAAAUUCAAAAUUUGGUCAAUUCAGAAAAUUUUUAGCUUUUUUGUCUUAGCUUUCAUUUGGUAUAUGUUAGGCUUAAUUUCAAUAAUUACACAAUAAGUUAUGAGGCUUCCACCACAGGCAGUCCUGUUGGAACCUAUUCUGUCAAUUUUGUGUUUUUGCCUCCCAUGUUGUAUCUAUGUGCUUUAAGCCUUCCAAUCAUCGUUUCAACAUUCAUAUCACAAAUCCAUACUAUCAAGAGAACAUUUCCAGCAACUAAAACCAAUACCUAAUUUUGCAUAUUCAUGAGAAAAUCAAAGGAAAAACAAAAAUUCAUACAAACACCAAACGUUUUGCACAAUUCUUUUCAAAAACUUUAGAUACACCUUAUUUACUAUUUUUCCUUGCCUUUUUCCCUUUGAUAUACUUUCCUCCUUUUGAAUUUGUUCUUUACAAAGAAUAAGAAAAACAUGAGUUUUAAUUCAUUUAACAAUAUAUAAUUGAUUGAAAACAUUAAAGAAUAUGUUUGCCUAAUCUAAUUUUCAAUUUCUAUCACUUACCACUUAAGCACCUAAACUUCUCUCAUUCUCUAUGAUUUCUUUGCUGGUUAUUUCACUUAGGAAAGGAUUUUGCAUGAAUGGAGAUUUUGUCUUUAUGGAGAAAUAUGGUGGAAAUAGAAAAUAAGAAGGCAAAAUGAUUUUCCUUUCGUUUUGGUGUAGGUACGGCAAGCAUGGAGCAAAUGGAAGACAACCCUUUUCUUUCAUGCUUAGUCAUGUUUUCAUGUAUGGCUAGGUGUCACAUGGUGGGUUAGGUGUAAAAGUAGAAAAAGAUGGAGGCCAAACUUGGAAUUUAUUUUUAAACUUUCCAUAUUCACACUUUGACCUACUAAACUUUUCCACAUGUUUCAAUUUAGUUUUUAAACUUUCAAUAUUCAUAGAUUGACCUACUAAACUUACACUUUUAUCAUUUACAACUUCAUUUCAUUUAGGUAAGUACAUCGGUUUUAAUAAGCACCUCAAGCUAGUAUGUCGGGAAACCCUUAAGCACUUUCCGAUAGUAACUUGAUUCCGACCUGCUUAUCACAUUAGAUGCUUUAUUUUAAGAUAUGUCUAUUUUCUCAUUUGAGCUUUCUAUAAUUCAGUUAAUACAGGUUAAAGAUAUUAAAAUACUAUUACUGAUAGUUCUUAUUUUACUCUAUCUUUGGAUGUAUAACUCUAUAUGAAAUACAAGUUGAACCUUUAAACACAACUUUUAGGGUUUUACCUAUAGGCAAAUUGUGUGUCAAGCGGCUAUGGAUAAGCUAGCACAUCCCCUAUUUAGCUCGAGGUUAAGCCAGCAUCUCCCAUGAAGCUAAUUACUCUAACUUGGUAUGAUACAAUUUAAAUCUAAUAGUUGCUCUAUUUCUAUCUAUAGGUUUUGGAAUGUAACAAAACCAAACCGAAUUAAAAUAAAUAAAAAAUUAAAUUAAAUUUUUAAAUUAAUUUGAUUUAGCUGAUUUUUUUUAUUUGAACGGAAUACUGCUAACCCUAAUUAAUAGUGCAUAUUAACUAUUAUUUUGUUAAAAAUAAUAAUUUUAUAAUAUUUAUUUGUGAUGUUUUGCUAUGCACGAUAACUAAUUAUAUUUUUUAAAUUAAAAGAUAUUUAUAUACUAAUAAAGAUCAUGAGCUAAUACAUUAAAGAGAAGAGAUGGAGGAUAAUAACUCCAUUCGUCGGAACUUAUCAAGAAAGACAACUCGAACAAAAAUAUGAGCAUAUUUGAUUCACAGUUUUUUUAACAUAAUUUUUAAUUUUUUAAAAUUUAAAUAGUGAUUAAUUUAUUUACAUUUUCUUAAUUAUUUUUUAACUAAAUUAACUAAGUUGAACUUUUAUUUUUAAUUUGAUAUUUUAAUUUUAUUUUAAAACUUAUUUCCUAAUUAUUUUCUUAAUUUUAUUUUAAACCAUUAUUAUUAGUGUUGAAAACCAUCAUUUUGCCUUUUUUUUGGAAGAAUUGAUUUUGAAAAAAAAAUAAUAAUUUAAGACUUAAGGAUAUUAGAAUUGAUUUUGAAAAAAAAAUAUAUUUAUCCUUUUUUUUAAGAAUUAAUUUUAAAAUAGUAUAAUUUAUUCGGUUUAUACUUAUUUGAAAUUCUCUUAUAUAUUUUCUUAGAAAAUACAUAUUAGAAUUUGCCUGUUUGCUUUUAUAACUGCUCGAACAUUUUGAUAUGCCAGAAGUUUAAGCUUGCUAUUAUGUACUACCAUUUGAAGACUAUUUUUUUUGUAAAAAUUAUUUUUUCACAUUGAUAAUACCAAAUUUAUUUCAGAACGGACUGAAAUAAGCAUGCAAAAUUUAAAAGAUACAAAAUAACAUGUAGCUUCUCAAGUUAUUGACGGCUUAAAAAUCGUUUGUUGGUUAGAAUCAAAAGAUUACACCUACAAAAAAGCAAUUAAAUGCUAGACCCACCAUUGAUCCAAUAAAAUUUAAAACUUUAAAAUAAUCCCAAGUUGCUUUAUAAAUAAAAUACCGAUAUAUGGAAAAGAUCUUGUCGUGUUCUAUUCAAAAUAUUUAGAAGAUUUAAAAUUUUUAUUAACGACAUAAAUAUUGAAUUAGUUCUUAAAAAGUUCGGAUUCUAAACUUUUUAUUACCGAAUAUCAAGUUGUUAUGUUAUACUUAUUCUUUUUGUGUUUUCAUCACCUCCGUAUGUUUUAAGAUAGAAAAUCAGUUCCUUAUUUUUUAAGAAAUUCUAUAUUAACUUUAAAUGCGAACCUCUACAAUAUUAUGUAUAUAUUUAGUAUAAUAAUUUUAAAUUUAACUAUAUUACAGUAAAUAUAUAUAAUAUAGUGGUUAAAAAAAUAAUAUUUUAAUAUAUUUAAAAAAAUAUCAUCGCAACAUGGCUAAUAUUAUAUAUGCAUCAGCAACCCUAUAAACGUAUAAAUAUAUAUAUAUAUAUAUAGACAUCAAACUAUAAUUGUUUUAUCAAUUUAAAAAUUAUAACAAAAUCUCUCUAGUGAAUAUAACAUUACAAAUAUUAUAGUUUAUCAUUAUGGUAUAAUUAAUGAUAAAAAGUAAUGGAGAUCAAAGUAUUACAUCUAAUCCUAACAUAAUUAAAAAAAUAAAUAAAUUACAAAUAGCUAAAUUAUAUGGUAUAAUAUCAUACAAUUGAAAAAUAAUAAUAAGUAAAAUUAAAUUAACAAAAAAAAUAAAGAUUAAUAAAAUAAUAAAGUAAAUUUAUCAUAUUGAAAUAUUUUUUUUAUGUAAUACAUUGUUCAAUUGAAAGUUUGAAUGAGAAUUGAAAUCACUGAAUUUAUCUACUAUGAAAACAUGGAAUAAGAGGAAGAGCAAAAAUCUAUCGGAAAGAUUAAGCUGCAAAACUUUCAAAAUUUAAGAUAUAAACGAAUCGAGUUGAGUCGAAUUUUAAAGAAUUCAAGUUUGGUUCGCUAAAAUCUUUUCGAGACCGAGCUCGAGUUUUAAUCAUUUCGAACUCGAACCGAGUAUUAAUAAAUUCAAAUUUUAUUUGUUUAGUAAACGAAUUUAGGCGAGUCAAGUUUUUAUUGAGUUUAAUUUCAAAUAAUUCACGAAUAAUUAAAUUUAUUUAUAUAUAUAAUAAAUUUUAAUUUAAAAUUAAUAAAUUUAAGAUUAAAUAAUUUUAGUUAUGUAUAUAUACAAAUUAGCUCGUAAACUUAUAAAAAUGAACUUUUAAAUAUUAAGAAUCCAAAUAUAUGCAAGUUUUAAGAGUGUAAUUAAACUAUAUAGACCUAAACUUUAAAAAAUUUAGAUUUGGCUCAUAAAAAUAUAUAUAAGAUUUGAGUUUAUUUCUCUUAUAAUAUUAAUUUCAGUAUGCUUAACGAGUCUGAUCACGAGCUUGCUUAUGAACUCAAAAACGAGCCAAACUCAUGAGUUUUAACGAGUUGAGUACUAUGGAGCCCAAAUUUGGCUCGUUUACUAAAAGGCUAAAAAUUAAGUUCCACUUUGGCUUGUUUAGAAAUCGAGUGGAGACCGGUCGAGUUUUUAUCGAGUCGAACCCGAAUAGCUCACGAACAGUUUGAUAAAUUUACAACCUUACCAAAAUCUGUCGGAAAAGUCUGAAACCUUGAGUUGUUAGACAUUAGAGACACAAAUAUAAAAGAACUUCCAAGUGAAUUAAGUAGCUGAGUUGCAGAAUUUGCAUCAUCUUGUUAUGUCUAGUAAGUAUCUUGCAGGCAACCGUAACUUUGAACUUUUCAAGGGGGUGCAAGUGCCAUUUGGAAUUAGCAAAUUGAAGAAAUUGCAAGACAUGAUUUACAUUGAAGCCAAAGGCGACAUAAUAAGGCAACUUGGCAGUAUGACCCAACUCAGCCGAAUGAGCAUUUCAAAUGUGAAAGAAGCUCAUGAACUGGACCUAUGCUCUUCAAUCCAGAACUUGAAACUGCUAUAUCUGAUGGUGAAUAAUGAAUUGAGCAACUUCGGAUUAAUGCAUUGCAAUCACCCCCACCACAGCUUCAGAAGCUUUUUUUUGUUUGGGAAAUUGGAAAGGUUACUGCAUUGGUUUUGCUCACUUCAAUACUUAACAUAUUUGUGGUUACAUUGGUCUAGAUUGAAGGAAGAUCCACUCCCCCACUUAGCAGCACUACCCAAUUUGGCAACGCUUGAAUUAGUAAAUGCCUUGAUCAGAGAAAAUCUCCAUUUCUGCUGUGGCUUUGCUAAGCUUAAAACAUUAUUCAAUGGUUGUCUGCUUGUUCUUUAAUUAGGUUUUUAAUCUGUAUAUGCUAUGAGGAGAUGGUAAGCUUCUCAAAUUCUUUAGUACCUCUCUAUUAGACUCUGAAUUAAAGAAAAAAAAAUUAAGUCAUUUUUAUAUUUUAAGAUUUUUAUUAAGAUCUCUAUAUAUGAAUUUAUAAUAUAUUUUAAUUUUUAAAUUAAAAUUAAACAAUAACCUAUCCCAAGCAGAAAUAAUCUUGCAUUGGUCUCUUUAGGUUGAACAAAUUGAUCACUAUGUGAAGGUUGCUCAAACAAAGAGUGAGAAUUAAACUCUUCUACUUCAUUUGUAUGGAAUGUCUUCUACGGAAGAAGGGAUACAUAGGAAAAUGUGCUUCUGUCCCAAUAAAUAGAGAUAUCUGUGGAAUAAUUUUUCAUUAUUAUCUUUUAUUUGUAAUUAAAAAUUUUACAAGAUUUAAUUUAAUUAAUUUUUUUAUUUGAAAGGAAAGAGUUUUAUAUUUUUUAAUUUUAAAAAAUAUUUUAUAAAAAUUUAUUUGAAUUUUUUUCAUAAAAUGAAUCGUAUGAAUUGUGAGGUAUUGAAAAUUGUGAUUAUUGGAGGCAGAUUAAGAUACAUGAAAUACAACAUAAUGUGGAAUUUAUUCAAGGAAAUUGCCAUAGAGAGGGAGAUGUUUUAUAGUAAGAUUUGAUGACUGCUAGGUUUUUCUUGUACGUAAACUGAGAUCGAGUUCUGAAAAAAUAGAAAGGUCCAAAGUUCAUUAGAGUCUACUAAAUAAGAUGACCCAUCAACACACCAUUCAAUCCGCAACUACAGUAGAAUAGGUUGAUCGAGGGGUCGGACCUGAUAGAAAGAAACCUACAUUGUUUGAUGUGACGAGUAGGAAAGUAGACUUAAUUAUGCCGCAGCCCUAUUAAAACGGGCAUCGGAAGAGAAUUAAAUGAUCGCGUCCGUACGUACGAUUCUGUAUGACAAGAGUGGUGGCUAUGUGUCACUGGAGAAUAAAGAAAAAAUAAAUAAAAAAAAGAGUGUGACCCCUACACACAAAACCAUAUUCUUUUUGGAUUUCAGAUUAAGAGCGGCUAUAAGUUUUUUUUAUUUCUUUUGCUAUAUUUUUUUCAUAGGUUUUUGUCAAGGAGAUUGUUUUUCCUUGAUGGCCGGUGUUUUUUCUUUAUUUAUUCUUUUGUAUCGGUAGGUUAUUAGCCUAAAAGUUAAGUUUUGGACUUUAUUGGUUCAUUCUUAAAAGUACAGGGACUUAUUAGGACUUUCUUCCUAUUGGUUCACGUGUUCCUUCAGUUUUUCUUCCCGCCUUGACGGUUGUCUUUUGGUUACUUCAGUAGCAACGACAUCGUUUUGCACAUUUAUUCAUAUAUCUGUUGUUUCAAACGGCGUCGCAUCUGUUCACAAUUGCAUCAGCUUUCUUCGUGUGAGGCUCAAAGUUCACGGCAGCGAAACCUACUCAACGGACUACCGGCGGCGACACCAUUACGCCGUCCGAAAAGCUUCAUGGCAAGAGGUAUUUUGCUCAUAAGUGUAUUAAUUCACGUGUUGAUAAUUGUAUNNNNNNNNNNNNNNNNNNNNNNNNNNNNNNNNNNNNNNNNNNNNNNNNNNNNNNNNNNNNNNNNNNNNNNNNNNNNNNNNNNNNNNNNNNNNNNNNNNNNNNNNNNNNNNNNNNNNNNNNNNNNNNNNNNNNNNNNNNNNNNNNNNNNNNNNNNNNNNNNNNNNNNNNNNNNNNNNNNNNNNNNNNNNNNNNNNNNNNNNNNNNNNNNNNNNNNNNNNNNNNNNNNNNNNNNNNNNNNNNNNNNNNNNNNNNNNNNNNNNNNNNNNNNNNNNNNNNNNNNNNNNNNNNNNNNNNNNNNNNNNNNNNNNNNNNNNNNNNNNNNNNNNNNNNNNNNNNNNNNNNNNNNNNNNNNNNNNNNNNNNNNNNNNNNNNNNNNNNNNNNNNNNNNNNNNNNNNNNNNNNNNNNNNNNNNNNNNNNNNNNNNCAAUGGUUGGUGCUAUAGAAGCUUUUUAUUACAAAACGGAUCCUUAAACUGGUUGAAGGAAAUAAAAAGUUUCUUGCCAUUGAUAAAGCAAUCGGUGAAAAUGGAUUCAGAGUUGUUACCCUUCUUCGUUUGAGCCCUUUGCUUCCAUUUUCCCUUGGAAUUAUUUGUAUGGAUUGACAUCUGUUAAGUUUGUCCCAUAUGUUCUGGGAAGGUUUGCCUUUAUCCCAUUGUUGUUGCUAGUUAUGAAGUUGAUUUCCUAUUGGAAAUAUUUUAUGAGAUGUCCCCUUUAGUUGUUUGUGCUUGAUGCCCUUCUUAUAGGAUCCAUUUGUUUGUGGACAUGCAUACUUUCUAUGCUUUUCGCUAGAAUUUUUGGGGAUACGAUACGACUUGUUGAUUGCAUUUAAUGUGUACUAGCAUAUGAAAGGCGAUAACGUUUUUAUGCUGUGUCUGGCCUUGUUGUCACUCUGUGUACUGUUGGUGGACUGAGUUGACAUGUCUUUUUCUUUUUCCUCUCUCUUUGUGUGUGUGUGUGUGUGAUGCAUAUGCUAAAGUGAUAUUCUGAAGGAUAUACUAACAGAGUAAACAUUUCUGCCAAAUAACUUAUAUGGGUUUUUCAAUGAUAACAUACUCGUAUAAGUCUGAUUUGUGCAAUUACUGAACUGAAAUUGAAACAAAGAUGGGCUUAUUAGAAGUUCUGAAAUAUCAUUCCAACUUUAGCAAAAUGUAUCUGGAAUUUAUUGAUUCAAUAUAAAUGUAAUAAUAAUUCCUAACAUCUGAUGCACAAAAUACCAUGAUUCUUAUUUUCUUAUGGGACUUGGAAAUUCUCAUGGGUUCCUUAUAAACCAUAUCUAAUUACUUGUAGAAUCUUUUUUGAAAUUUCUCCUACUAAUUAAGAUUUUAUUGUCAUGCAGUUGGUUGGGAAUGCUUCCAGGAACAUGGGCAUAUGUGAGUGCUGGCGCAUUUGGCCGUGCAAUUAUUGUGAGUUCGUCCUCUCUUGAUAUCCACACGAGAUUUCAAAUGUUAUCUUUUGCUACUCAAUUAUUUAUGCUCUAUUGAUAUUUAUGUCUUAUGUCCUGGAAGUGAAAGUAAUGGAAGAAUAAUUUGUUAGGCAUUCUGUUUUAUUAGUUAUAUCUUGGUGGUUCUACCAUUUACGUUGUUUUCUCCUUUGUUGCAUUAUAUUUAUGCCAGAAAUAAUUAUCUUAGCAGUAGCUUGGUUACUUAAAACUGUCUAUAUGGGAUGUAUUAGUAAUGAUGGUACUACCAGCCACUGGAGUGGUGAAGAAUUAAUGCCUUCUUUCUGCAGUAAUUUAUUUGAAUAAUGUAACUAAAAAAUAUGUUUAUUUAAAUAAAAUAUAAAUAAAUUAAUAAAAAGUAAAUAAAUUUCCCCUUCGAUAACAGGAAAAAUUGGUUUACCUUGUUGUCUAUCUUUUUAACAAGUUGGUUGAAGUAUAUAGAGUUCUACCUUGUAUGUGCGCUAAUUUUGUUGGAGCCUCUAGUCUUAACUUAUAACUAAAAAUCAGCAUGAGUUGCCACCAUUUUCUCAUAAAUAUUGUAAAAUUAUAAAAUUGUAAAAUUAAAAACAGCAUGAGUUGCUACCAUUCUCAUUCCUAACUUAUAACUUGUCCAGUCCCAUAAUUGACUCCUCUAUUUUCCUUUGCCACCAUUUUCUCAUAAAUAUUGUUAAACCUUUUUUUCCAUCAGAAUAAUCUUGAAACUUUUUGCUAGUGCUGUGAAAAUUGUCCAUCAUAGUUUUAAAUCCAUGCUCUUUGCUUCCUUAAACUUCUGAUCUUGUUCUUUGUGACGCACCUUGUAUUCUUAGAAAUUUUGACUUGCUGAAAUUUUCAUUAUUGAUCAUUAAAAUACUGCCUCACUAGUAGUUUAUUGUAGUUGUAACGUGAAAUGAUAUCAAUGAACAGAAUCCAGCUGAAAUAGCAUUUGUUCAUUACUCAGAUUGAAUAAAAUCAGCAAAAUUAUCUAAUUUAUGAAUUUUUACCAUCUUUACUUCAAAUCAAUAAGCAGAAACGAAUUGAUGAAUUCUUUAAGAGGAACAUUUACUACUUUCUUGUGGGUUUAUCAUUUUAUAAUGUUGUUACUGGUGAUCAUAAUUCAUACUUUUUUUUUUUUGGGUUCCUCUUUGAUGAUUUGCCUGGAUGGAUGUUUCAGCAAGAAGAAUCUGAUAUUGGAUUAACUGGAGGGAACAAUUCACUGUUGACUCUUGGGCUGGGUUUAUUGGCGACAGCUUUAGCCGCGUAGUAUGUAACAAGGCUUGCAAAGGUAAGGCUGUUUUUGAUCAGCACUUUCAAUAUUACCAACAAGGCAAUAACAAAUUCUGUGCCUCAAGUGCUACUUUCCCACAGUAGUUCGUAAUAACAAAGAAACUGGUUUUACUAUGUGUUUUAUGAUUUCAAGUUAUUUCUACACUGACUGCUCUAUUUAGCUAGAUGCAAUGGUGAUCAUUCAUAUUAAAUGAUUAAAAAGUUUUUUAUUCUUUGAUUUUGGUUGGAAUCUGCAUCUCAAUACAUUCUCAUGUAUUUCUUUUGCUCUAUCACUCAAAUAACCAUGAAAGGCUAAUGGCCCAGCCAAUGGGGUGGCAUUAGUUGCAUCUCUAUUUUCUGAGAGAAUCUUUUGCCACAACCAAUGGCUUAGUUACGUGAGAUUCAAUGUCUUUGACUUUGUUACACUCCACAAAUGCAUUCAUGUCUUUUUCUAGGACUAUGGCUGGUGGCUAGUUGACAUACAUUAUUGUAGAAAAUUUUGUGCAUAAAUUUAUAAUUAACUAGCAUUAGAAGUUUUGUUGAGAAAGCUGAUGAUAACUUGUAGAGAUUCGCAUUAUUGUCUAGUUAUUGGACCUUCCUCUUGGAAAGUUACAGCAGUUCUUAAGUGCAUGGGAUGGAAGGGAAAAUGUAACAAAUAAAAAUUUGGGUGUUUCUUGUUUCUAAUUAAUAGUAGUUAUAUGUAACAUCCCAACUCCAAUUGGUUCAAAUAAUUUUUCUCUAAAUGAUUAAUUAAAAUUAUUUAGUAGGUCUGAACUAGAUUAUUAUAUAAUCUUUAAUUAUUUGCUAAUCAACCGACGUGGGAUAUCACGUUGCAACUCUGUUGUGCUAUAUUAAAUACUAUUGUUAAAUCAGAACCAGAUCCUCAACUAUUAUGGUUUCUUAGUGUUUCGGACAAUUCUCAACUAUUAUGGUUUGUUAGUGUUUCGGACAAUUCCAACCCGUUGUCCCACGAGUAGAUUUUUCAUUGCUAACCCUCUAGCUCCGCAUAAUUUUCUAAUUCAGGAUGGUUUUAAUAUCAAUUGUAUUGGCCCGACUCCAAACAACACAAAUAAAUUUUGUACACUUGGAUCUAAAAUAGUUUAUCCAAAUUAUUUAAUAGUUUUGAGCUAGGUUAUUAUUUAAUUCUCUGCUAACCACUGAUAUGGGAUAUCAUAUAUUAUAUGUUAUCUUAAUUUAUUAUUAUUUUUAUUGUUAUAUUUCAUGCAGGAUGCGGUGAAAGAUAUUGAGUAGAAGCAAGAAGAUUGGGUUUAACAAGGCAAGUUAAUGACAAGAUGACUGAAAUUGUAAGUUUACGAGGAUCAUCAUGUAAAUCCAUUUGUAUUAUUUGAUCCAAUCUCAUCCAUCUUUUUUCCUCCCAGUCCCUGUAAAUUAGGGAUUCUUUAGAUUUGCUAUAUAGCUAAAUAAGCAUUAUAGCAAAAUGAGCGCAAUUCUAGUUUUAUAUAUUUAUUUUUUGGAAAAAAAGUAUCUCUACUUAUUUUAUCAGUAUUCUUCUUUUGAUUUCUUCUUCUCCUCUAGCUGGAACUUGAGCUUGUCAUGAAUCUCAUUAAUUAUUUCUUGGUAUGAUGAUUUUUUUUUUCUUUCUUUCCCCAUUUUUCUUCAAUAUUGCUCUUUUCCUAUGAGGUGGAAAAUGGGGAAGCAAAAAUAAUAAUCAUUUGCACUUAGUGUAUUCCUUUUCUGAUUUUAUGAGUACAGCAGAAAAAUUACUAUUUAGACUCUAUAAUAUGUAAAAAUUUAUUAAUUGGUCUUUAUAUUUUAAAAAAUAUAUUAAAAUGUUCUUGACGUUUUAAAAAAUUUACUAGUUAAUUAUUCUAUUAAUUUUAGCAGUUAAAUAAUUUAUUAUUUAGUCUAUAUGAUUUUGAAAAACUCAUUUUUUGAAUUUUUAAAACAUUUAUUAAUUAGUUAUUUUUUAUUGAAGAUAUUUUAGCCUUUUUCGUAAUAUCUAACAAUUAAAAUUAUUGGAGAGACCCAUUAAUAGAUUCUUGAAAUGUCUGAAACGUUUUAUUAUAUCUUUUAAAAUAGACGGAUCAAUUAAUAAAUUUUUUCAUAAUAUAAAAAUUAAAUAAUAAAUUUUUUUAAUAAUAAAAUUGCAGAUGGCAGAUGGAUAAUAUUUUUGGCUUCUGCAAGAUGAAUUGGAAAAUACAAGGAAAAAGAUGCUUGACCUAAGAACUGCCAUCUGUUGGUACUGAAACUUGAAAGAGAACACAAACAAAGAAAAUCCAAAAUUUAUUAAAAUUCUAAAAAAGUAUACGUAAAAUUCAUCUCAAUAUAUUUUUUUGAAAUUUGAAGCUACAUUAAUUACAUCUGCAAGGUAAAGUCAUCUCCUGCUGGAAUAUUUUUUUAAAAAUAUUUUUAAAAAAUAUUUUUCAAAUAUAAAUUAGAUGAGAAUUUUACUAAUAUUUUUAUAUAUAAAUUUGUUAGCAUAUUUUAUUUUUAAAUUAAAAUUAAAUAAUAAAAAAUUAAAUUAUUUUACUGGAAUAUUUUUUUAAAAAAUAUUUUUUAAAUAUAAUUGUUUUUUAAAAAAAUAAAAUUUUAAUCCAUUAAUUUUCUUUAACUAAUUCCAUUAGUGUUUAUUUGUUAAUAAAAUAAAAAAGAAUAGACAGAAAUCGUUAUUAUAACAGUUAAUAUUAUCGAACAGACCUAAAUAUAUUAGUUAAAAUGUAGUAAAUUAAAUUGUGAUAUAAAAGUAAAUUAAAACAUUUUAAUUAUAAAAUAAAUUUUAAAAAUUAUAUAAUCACAUUUUUUACAAUAUUUAAAAUGAUUUUUUUUUUUUUGGUCAUUGGCAGUAUGAUUCUAUAAUCAUGUUUUAAUUAGUUGCAACAUCUACAUAAUUAAAAUAUAUCAAAUAUAUCAAAUAGGCAUUAACAUAUUAAAGAACAACCAGUUUGUGCACAAUCCAAUGUCACAAACCCUAACACGCUUAGCCCUUGAUGUAAUAACAUAUUAAAUCACAAUUAAUUUGUAUUUUUAUACUUUAAAAUCAACCAAGGCUAAUUACAUAAUUAAUAUAGUGUAUAUGAGAUUCAAGAAUGGAUCUAGGUUGAGGAAAUAUUUUAGUAAAGUUUAUUUCUAUUUUUAUUUUAUUUCUUUUUAUUUAUUUAUUUUUUUAUCUUUUUUAACGUUUAACCGUCCUCUGUCACAUUCACACUGAUAAUAUGUACGAAGGUACUGUAUUAUUUUCUCUCGUUAGGGGGUCAUUUAAUUCUAUUCGACGCCACUUGGACACGAUCCCGAACAUUGCGGGGUCUGCUUUUUUAUGGAAGUUAACGGGUUUUUGGGACUAGGAUCCCACAGGCAAAUUCACGUCUAACCCGGCUUGUUUGGACAGACGCUGAACCAGUAUGGGGUUUAGAGCCGUGUAUUAGGCCCUCAUUGAGUUCAGGCUUGGUUCUUCUCAUUUGGGUUGCCUCAAGCCUAGACAUAUGGAGUUUGACGGUCAUCAAAUGCCCCUUUACCCGCUCAUUAAUGAUUUCAUGAUUUACGAGGGAGUAAAUUUUGAGAUUGUAAUUAUUACCACGUGAUUCUUGGAGGAUUCUGUCAAAACGUCCUUUCCAUGCCUUUCUCCAUUUCAAAUUUUCACUUUUGCUUGUUGUUCUGUCUCUUGCGCUGCUUCUGCUAUCUUGCCCUCUCUCUUCCCUAUAAUCUCGAUUCUCCAAUCCGAGGUACAUUUCGCUCCUCUUAUGGCUUCUACUAGGAUUUCCGAGGUGGGCGGUCUGAUUUCUUCUAUCACUCCAUUUUUUUUUCAUUAUUUUUCUUAUGACCUUGCUGAUACCUCAAUAUUCAAGAUUAGGGCUUCCUUGCCUAACAAGCGCAUAGUUCUUCCUAACCUACCACCAGAAGGCUUGAUAGAUGCUCAACAGGAGUGUAAUUUGGUCUUUCUUGUCAAACAGUACAAAUUCGGGCUAACAUUUCCUUUUACCCCUUUUUCAUCGAGGUCUUUCGGUAUUUAGGGUGACCCCUCAAAUGUUGUCCCCCAAUUCAUCUUAUUUAUGUGUUGUUUUGAGUCCAUUUGCUUAUGUUGGGAAUUUGCCCCUUCCGUCGAGUUGUUCUAUACUUUGUUUCAUUUGGUUAGAUCUAAUCGUGGGUUCUAUUAUUUUGGCCCCCGAGCUGAGUUGUCUAUAUUUGGAAGGUAUAAGGGCUCAAUUAAGGGCUGGAUAGAGAAUUUUAUUGUCGUUGAGCUGAAGGUGAGCUCGAGAAUUAGUUGGGAUAUUAACCUCUCCUGGGGAGAGGUGCCUCAGGGCUGUAAUGAAUUCCCUAAGUUAAUCCUAGUAGAUCAGAUCUGCCUUCUUCGACCCACCUUUGUAAGGAAGAAAUAUGUUGUCGAAAUGUGCAUGUUCAUGUCCAAUCUAGGAGAUUGUCAUCAAGUUGGUACCUUUUAAUUUUUUCUCUUUGUGUUUUUUUUCUGCUAUUUUAAGUUUUAAUUAAAUUGGUUUUUUUUUCAAUCUCCGACAUGCCAAUGGGUAAAUCAAGCUCCCCAAGAACUUCACCCUGUUUAGGGAGAGCAUGAAAGACACCUUGAUUGCUUUCAAAGCCAACAAGUCCAUUGCCGAUGUGGCCAAGAAGGUUUUCCAGACUGCAACUUUAGCAUGUGAGCUUGCCUCUCUACUCGUACUACCGUACCUUCCUUGGCUUUGGUGCUUCCCAUUCUACAACCUCUAGGACAUCAUUCCCUCCCAAGACGCCGGCCUCCUUUAAGGCUCCAUCUACUCCCAAGGUAGUUCCUAAGGAGUCUAUCGUUUCCCCCUUGAACAUUUCUCCCAUUAGAGUUGUGGGUGCUAUCGCCACUUGGUUUAAAAUGGUCAACCCAAAUUAUUUAGUAGUUUCGUGUUAGCUAUUAUAUAUAAUUCAAUUUUUUUCAAAUCUAUCGAUGUGGGACGGAAUAGAAAAUAGUAAAUUAAAUUAUGAUAUAAAUUAAAUUAAAAUAUUUUAAUUAUAAAAUAAAUUUUAAAAAUAAUAUAAUCACAUUUUUAACAUUAUCGAAAAAAAAUAUAUUUUUUGUCAUUGGCAGUAUGAUUCUAUAAUCAUGUUUUAAUUAGUUGCAACAUCUACAUAAUUAAAAUAUAUUAAAUAGGCAUUAACAUAUUAAAGAACAACCAGUUUGUGCACAACCCAAUGUCACAAACCCUAACACGCUUAGCCCUUUAUGUAAUAACAUAUUAAAUCACAUUUAAUUUGUAUUUUUAUACUUUAAAAUCAACCAAGGCUAAUUACAUAAUUAAUAUAGUGUAUAUGAGAUUCAAGAAUGGAUUUAGGUUGAGGAAAUAUUUUAGUAAAGUUUAUUUCUAUUUUUAUUUUAUUUCUUUUUAUUUAUUUAUUUUUUUUAUCUUUUUUAACGUUUAACCGUCCUCUGUCACAUUCACACUGACAAUAUGUACGAAGGUACUGUAUUAUUUUCUCUCGUUAGGAGGCCAUUUAAUUCUAUUCGACGCCACUUGGACACGAUCCCGAACAUUGCGGGGUCUGCUUUUUUAUGGAAGUUAACGGGUUUUUGGUCCCACAGGCAAAUUCACAUCUAACCCGGCAUGUCUGGACAGACGCUGAACCAGUAUGGGGUUUAGAGCCGUGUAUUAGGCCUUCAUUGAGUUCAGGCUUGGUUCUUCUCAUUUGGGCUGCCUCAAGCCUAGACAUAUAGAGUUUGACGGUCAUCAAAUGCCUCUUUACCCGCUCAUUAAUGAUUUCAUGAUUUACGAGGGAGUAAAUUUCGAGAUUGUAAUUAUUACCACGUGACUCUUGGAGGAUUCUGUCAAAACGUCCUUUCCAUGCCUUUCUCCAUUUCAAAUUUUCGCUUUUGCUCGUUGCUUUGUCUCUUGCGCUGCUUCUGCUAUCUUACACUCUCUUUUCCCUGUAAUCUCGAUUCUUCGAUCCGAGGUACGUUUCACUCCUCUCAUGGCUUCUACUAGGAUUUUCGAGGUGGGCGGUCUGGUUUCUUCUGUCACUCCAUUUUUUUUCAUUAUUUUUCUUGCGACCUUACUGAUACCUCAAUAUUUAAUAUUAGGGCUCCCUUACCUAACAAGCGCAUAGUUCUUCCUAACCCACCACCGAAAGGCCUAAUAGAUGCUCAGCAGGAGUGUAAUUUGGUCUUUUUUGUCAAACAGGACGAAUUUGGGCUAACAUUUCCUUUUACCCCUUUUUAUCGAGGUCUUUCGGUCCUUUAGAGUGACCCCUCACAUGUUGUCCCCCAAUUCUAUCUUAUUUAUAUGUUAUUUUGAGUCCAUUUGCUUAUGUUGGGAAUUUGCCCCUUUCGUCGAGUUGUUCUAUACUUUGUUUCAUUUGGUUAGAUCUAACCAUGGGUUCCAUUAUUUUGGCCUCCAAGCUGAGUUGCCUAUAUUUGAGAGGUAUAAGGACUCAAUUUAGGGUUGGGUAGAGAAUUUCAUUGUCAUUGGCCUGAAGGAGAGUUCGAAAAUUAGUUGGGAUAUUAACCUCUCCUGGGGAGAGGUGCCUCAGGGCUGUAAUGAAUUCCCUAAGUUAAUCCUAAUAGAUCAGAUCUGCCUUUUUCGACUGACCUUUGUAUGGAAGAAAUAUGAUGUCGAGAAGUUCAUGUUCAUGUCCAAUCUACAGUAUUAUCAUCAAGUUGGUACCUUUUAAUUUUUCCUCUUUGUGUUUUUAUGUUUGCUAUUUUGAGUUUUGAUUAAAUUGGUUUUUCUUUUUCAACCUCUGACAUGCCAAUGGGUAAAUUAAGCUCCCCAAGAACUUCACCCUAUUCAGGGAGAGCAUGAAAGACACCUUGAUUGCUUUCAAAGCUAACAAGUCCAUUCACAAUGUGGCCAAUAAGGUUUUCCAGACUGCCCUCUGCUCGUACUACCGUACCUUCCUUGGCUUUGGUGCCAGUGUUGGGAGAUUCCCAUUCUACAACCUCUAGGACAUCAUUCCCUCCCAAGACGCCGGCCUCCUUUAAGGCUCUAUCUAGCAGAGAGCAAUUCGAAUGAGGGAACUAGGUCCCUCCCUUGAACAUUUCUCCCAUUAGAGUUGUGGGUGCUAUCGCCAUUGAGGGUAGGGCUGUCAAGCAUGCUAGAACUUCAAAAUCCACGAAGGCAGUCCCUUCCCUACUAUUGAUAAAAGGAAGAAGAUGGCGGAGAACCUGUCUUUGCUCCAUGAUAACGAGAUGUUGAAUACUGCCGAGGUAAAUGUUGAAUUGAAAAAACUUUUGAAAAAAAAAUUAUUAAAAUAUUUUUAGCAUAUUUAAAAUUUAAACUUUACAUAUUUCUACCAUUAAAAAAAUAAAUUAAAAUAGACUCUUUUUAAAAUGAAUAUAAUAAUAUAAUUAGUUUAUUAAUACUGAUGAUCUGAGAUCCAAUAUAAUAGGGUUUUUGUAUUGAAUAAUAAAGCUUAAAACAUUCUGAGGAGGGGACUCCUCUUUUAUACAUUGUCUUGCUUGCUGGUGACGUGUAAAGGUCUCUCCAGGAUUGGGCCACGCGUCUCUGCCAUACAGAUUCGGGUGUACUAGGGUAUCAGCUGCCUGUUACAUGCGUAACGGCCUCUGAUUCUCCUCAUGCGUACGUUCGAGCGGAUCUGCCAGGCUGUCUGGUGAGUACUGUUCUGGACCCCGGGCUGGGCCAAGAGUUGGGCUGGACGCUGGGCCUGAGAGGGGUCUGCUAGUCAGGGAUCAGACUGGACUGAGUGAGGAAGCUUGGUCGAGCCCGGCCCGGAAGCUGGAAUGAGCCAGGCUUGUUGGGGGGUAUCAAGUGCGUGGGCCUCUGUAUCAUGGGCCUUUGGCUGCGGUCACGCCCCUGUUCUGGGGUGAAGAAAUCCAGCGGUCAUCAAAUACUAAUUAUAAAUAUAUUAAACAUUAAUACUCAAUAUUAAAUAUUUUUUUAAAAAAAGUAAUUAUUAAUUAAAAAUAUAAACAAAAUUUGAAAUUAAAAUAAAUAAAAAACAAUGAAUAAAGGAAAAGAAAAAAGAAAGAGUUAUCAAUAGCUAAAUAAGUAAUUUUAAUAUAAAUGAUUUUAACUGAAAUCAUUUUUCUAUCAAAAUCUUAACCAUUUUGAUAAGAUUUGAUUUUAAUUCGAGAUCAAUUCUCAUAAGAUUGAACUUUUAUAUUAUUAAUUUUACCAAAUUCAAAAAUUAUAAAAAUAAAUUUAUUUCUUUUAAAUUUUUUAAAAUUAUUCAUUCCAAACAAGAGGUUUACAUUCAGUAGUGACCGAAUUAUGAUCUCUCAACUUUGUAAAAUUUUCAUUUUUAUUUUUAUUUAUAUAUUUUUUAGAAAUUUUAUUAAAAAUAUAAUUUUGAGAUCUCCAAUUUUAUAAAAUUUGUAUAUAUAUUUUUAUAUUUUUCAUUAUUUUUCAUUUAUAUAUAUAUUAGAAAUUUCAUUAAAAAUAUAAUUAAACAUGAAUUUACCAUAUAAAAUUUUGCUCAUGUAUUCUAAGUAAAAUUACUCUCAUUUAAUUCUGCCGAUUUAUAAAAGUUUAGUGUAUAAUUAAUAAAAUUUUAAAUGUAAUUAGUAAUAUUUAUAAUUAAUUUUUUUUUUUCAAUAAAAUGUAGAUAAUAUGAUUUAUAUGUGCUUAAUUAUUAUAAUUUUUCUAAAUUUAAGUAUUGAAGAGUGUAAAAGUUUAAUUUGAGUAUUUAAUAGAUUAAUUCAAUUAGAAAGGGGUGUGUGUAUAUAUUCAAUAAAAAUAUAAAUAGAAAAAAAAUUAUUUUUCUCCCAUUAUUUAGAUAUCAGAAAGAAAAAUAAUAAGAAAAAAUAUAAUUUUUUUUAAUAGUUAAACUUUAUAUUUAUAAUUAAAUAGUAAUUAUAAAGAUAAAAAAGUAAUUAUAUUUUUUCUGUUUUUUCUCUAAAAUAAAGAAAAAGUGAGGGAAUUAAUUUAUUAUUUUUUUAGCUUAAUUUUAAUUUUAAUUUAUUAAGGAUUAAAAUUGAGAUUUGCCGUUAAAUUGCCAGCUGCCACAUCUUUACCUCUCAGCCACACAUUUCAAAGUCACCGGUUGACUCACUGUUGUUGAAGUCUUCCUCAGGUCGAUAACAUAAAAUUUGCAAGAACAACUUGCUCACUAUUCCUCGAGAUCGGCGGCGAUAUUCUUUCUUCUCUACUAAGGCUUUCUGAAAUCUGUUAAAUUUAACAGUAAGUCCUUUGAUUUUGCAUAAUUUUCUAAUAUAGUCCUCUAAAUUAAUGUAGAUAUAUUAUUAUCUGGUUGAUGUUUUAUUUGAUAGAUGCAUGGUUAAAUCAUUUAAUAAUAGCUAAUGCUCUUAUGUUUCAAUCAAUUAGUAAAUCUGAAAACAUUUGUGCUUACUAUCUAACCAGAGAAGAGUUGAAAGCAGGUGAACACAGUAGGCGAAGAUGGCCUCAGUUGCAGUUGAUCAUGUGAUAGGCACAAUAAUGUCUGCUCUUCAAGAGGAAGCAACAUUGUUAGUAGAUAUCAAAGAUGAACUUGAGGAAAUCAGCAAAGAACUUGUAAGCAUGAGAUCUUUUCUACAAGAUGCUGAGAGAAACAAAGUCAUGUCAAAAGGAGAGGAGACAUGGGUUGCAGAGGUGAGGGACACUGCACACCAAAUAGAAGACCUCAUUGAUGAUUACAUGUAUGACAUGUAUCGGAAACAAUAUUCCACAGGAGCCCGUCGAAUUUUUCUUACUCUAAAAUCUCUUUUGGAAAAGCUUAGGAUUGCCUCUAAGCUACGACAGAUCAAUAAAAACAUCAUAGGGAUGGAUGAGAGGAGAAAAAGAUUUGAAAAUGAUCAUAUAGAAGGUUUCAAUGAUCACUGCCAUUUGACAUUAUACCCAAGGGAUUCAGCGGUUUUUAUGAAAGAAGAUGAUGUUGUAGGGUUUGUAGAUGAAAGCCGAUUGUUGAAAACAUGGUUAGUAGAUGGCGAAAAGCAUUUAAAUCUCCUUUCAGUGGUUGGAAUGGGAGGAUCUGGUAAGACAACUCUAGUUGCCAAGACCUGCAACAAUGAAACUGCAAAGUCCUAUUUUGAUUGCUAUGCGUGGGUUACUGUCUCUCAGACAUAUGCGAGAGAUGAUUUACUCAGGAAGUUAAUCAAAGAAUGCCAUGAAUCAGGGAAGGCACGAGUUCCUAAUGAUUUGGGUACAAAGGACUUCAAAGACCUCGUAGAAUAUCUUAUUGGUUAUUUGAAGCAUAAAAAAUACCUAGUUAUCUUGGAUGAUGUGUGGGAUAUAAGCUUAUGGGAGAACAUAAAGGCAUCACUUCCAAAUAAUGAGUUUGGAAGUCGGAUUAUAUUUACAACUCGAAAUGAAGAUGUGGGAUCUUUUUCUUCCAAUGUUAGAAGUCACAUGCUUACUAUUAAACCGCUGAAGAAUGAAGAAGCAUGGGAUCUUUUUUGCAAGAAAGCAUUUUUCAGCAAUCCUGAUAAAUCUUGUCCAGAAGAACUUAAACCUCUAGCAUUAGAACUGGUGGGAAAAUGUGAUGGACUACCUCUUGCAAUUGUGGCUUUAGGUGGUGUCAUGUCUUCCAAAAAGUCAACAAGGGAGUGGAGUAGUGUCUGGGACAACUUGAAUUGGCAACUGAACAAUAAUCCAAGGCUAGAAAUAGUCAAGAGCAUUUUGCUGCUUAGUUUCAAUUACUUGCCAUCUCCAUUAAAGUACUGUUUCUUGUAUUGUUGCCUCUUCCCAGAAGACUAUAAAAUUCGACGACAAAGGCUCAUUAGACUAUGGAUAGCGGAAGGAUUUAUUCAGAAUGUUGACAGGACUACACCAAAUGAAGUUGCAGAAAGGUAUUUCAUGGAGCUCACACUUCGUAGCAUGCUUCAAGUUGAAAGCAGAAAUGCACGUGGGAGACCAAAGGCUUGCAAGAUGCAUGAUUUUUUGCGUGAAAUUGGUAUAUCAAUGUUAGAGAGAGAGAAGUUUGGUGUCGUAUAUGAUGAAAAAGUAAAGAUUAACAAAUGCCAACUUCAUCAAGCUCGUCGCUUGUCUAUUCAAACAACUAACUGGGACCUUCAAUCGUUUGACAAUAUGACACGUCUUCAUUCACUACUUGUCUUUGUGGAUAGUUCUGUGUCUUUCUCGAACACAUCGUCGCCAAAUUUGAAAUUAAUGAGGUCUUUGGAUUUGGAAAAUGUCGCGAUUAAUAGUUUACCAGAAGUAUUGGGGACUCUAUUCAACUUAAGGUACUUGAACUUGAGAGGAACUCAGGUGGAAAAGCUUCCCAAAUCUAUUGGAAAACUGAGGAACCUUGAGAGUUUAGACAUCACGAAUACAAAUGUAAAAGAACUUCCGAGUGAAGUAGCUGAGUUGCAGAACUUGUAUCAUCUGAUUAUGCGGAGCAAGGGGAUUACAAAUAACUUAGAGAGAUUUUUUGUAUUUCAAUGGAGUGCAAGUACCAUUUAAAAUUAGCAAAUUGAAGAAAUUGCAAGUCUUGUAUUAUAUUGAAGCCAAAGGUGACAUAAUAAGACAACUUGGGAGUAUGACCCAACUGAGGAGAAUGGGCAUUUCAAAUUUGAGUGAAGCAGAUGAGCAUGACUUGUGCUUUUCAAUCCACAACUUGAAACUGCUACGCACCUUGCGUCUCUUUAUGAAUAAUGAAUCAGAGUUCCUUCGAAUGGAUGCACUGGAAACACUCCCGCUCCAACUUGAAAAGCUUAGUUUGGGUGGGAAACUAGAAAGGGUGCCACAUUGGUUUUGCUCACUUCAAAACCUAACGUCAUUAGGAUUGCUUGGGUCUAGAUUGGAGGAAGAUCCACUCCCUCAUGUUGCAGCGCUACCCAAUUUGGGACGCGUUACUCUAAUUAAUUCCUUCGUCGGAGAAAAUCUACAUUUCUACAGUGGAUUUGCUAAGCUUAAAGAGUUAUACUUGUUGAAGUUCCCUCAACUGAAAGGAAUUAUUAUAGAGAAGGGGACUAUGCCAGAUAUCCAGAAAUUGUGGAUAGAUUCCUGCUUUGCGUUGGAUGCAGUGCCUCGAGAUAUCGAAUUCCUAACCAAUCUUCAAAUAAUGUGAUUAACAAACUUUUCUUCAAGUCUUAUAGAUAUGAAAAGUAUAGAUCGUUCAAAGUUGCAGCACAUCCCAAAUGUCAAUAUCAUUGAUAGUAUGUGUGAGCUUCCACAGACACAAACACAAACACACCGUGCAUUAUAUAGGAUUUGAUAUAACAUUUUAGAUUGAGGAUGAAAACUGUAAUGGUCUCCAUGUGGGGUUUUCUAAUCUCCUAUAAAUUCAACUCACUAUGUAGAAAUAAUGAGUUUAUUUAUAUCAAGUUUAGUUCGUGCGUUGCGCAGAUAUUAUUAUUAUUUAUAUAUUAAUAAUUAAUAAAAUUAUCUUGAAUAUUUAUUUUUUAUAAUAAGAAUUACUGUAAUUAUAAAAACAAAAUUUUAUUAAUUCAACCAAUUAAAAUUAAUAUAAGUUAUAACAAUUAUUUUAUUUAAAGUAUAUUAAAAAUUACUCUAUUUAUGAAAAUAAUAUUUUUCAAAUUCAACUAAUUAGAUGAAUUAAGUGAUAUCAUAUAUUAUUUUUUAUACACGGUAAAAUUUGAAAUCUUGAGAAUUUUGAAAUGUAAUUUAUUAGUGUAAUUGAUUAAUUUAUUAGAAAUUAAUAAUACUAAUUAUUAAGAUUAUUACAUAAUUACAUAAUUAAGAUUAUUCUAAACCCUAAAUCACAUAAUUGGCUAAGAUAAUGUGUUAAAAAUAUUUGUUAACAUUUUUUUUAUUCAACCGUUGGUUAUUAUUUAAACCGAAUCGAAUACCGAAUCGAAUUAAAUAAAUUGAAAAUCAAAAUUUUUGUAUUUAUAAAAAUCAAAUCGGACUGAUUUUAUUCAGAAAUCAAAUUAAAUCGAAUCAAUCUUAUUUAAUUUGAUUUGAUUCGGUUUAAUCGAUUUGAACUUUUAAUAAAUUUUUUAUUUUUUACACUUUAUUUUUAAUAUUUUAAAAUUUAAUUAGAAUAUUUUAACCUUGAUAUGAUCUAAUCUCUCUAUAUUAUUAAAAAUAAUAUAACAUUAUCACUAAUCGGUUUGAUUUAUUUUUUUUUUAUUUUUUCUGAUAAAAUCAAACCGAAUCGAAAUAAUCAAAAUUUUUAAAAUUAAAAAUCAAAUUGAACCGAAUUGAAAUGAAUAAAAAAUCGAAUUGAAUUUUUAAAUUAAUUUUAUAUGAUCAAUUUUUUCAAUUUGAACCGAAUACUAUUCGCUCCUAAUUAACCGUGCAUAUUAACUAUUAUUUUGUUACAAAAAUAAUAACAUUAUAAUAUUUAUUUGUGAUGUUUUGCUCUGCACGGUAACUAAUUAUAUUUUUUUAAAUUAAAAGAUAUUUAUAUACUAAUAAAGAUCAUGAGCUAGUACAUUGUUGAUUCACAGUUUAUUCUAACAUAAUUUUUAAUUUUUUAAAAUUUAAAUAAUGAUUAAUUUAUUUACAUUUUUUAAUUAUUUUUUAACUAAAUUAAAUAAGUUGUACUUUUAUUUUUAAUUUGAUAUUUUAAUUUUAUUUUAAAACUUAUUUUCUAAUUAUUUUCUUAAUUUUAUUUUAAACCAUUAUUAUUAAUGUUGAAAACCAUCAUUUUACUUUUUUUUAUACUUAUCCUUUUUUUUUUUUGGAAGAAUUGAUUUUGAAAAAAAAAUAUAAUUAAUUUAAGACUUAAGGAUAUUAGAAUUGAUUUUGGAAAAAAAUAUAAUUAUCCUAUUUUUUUAAGAAUUGAUUUAAAAAAAAAAUUAUUUUGCUUAUACUUGUUUAUAAUUCUCUUAUAUAUUUUAUUAGAAAAUGUAUAUUAGAAUUUGUCUCUGCUUUUACAACUGUUCGAACAUUUUGCCGUGUCAAAGGCUUGCUAUUAUAUACUACCAUUUAAAGAUGGUAUUUUGUCUGUAUAAAUUAUUUUUAUAUAUAUAUUUUAUUAGAAAAUGUAUAUUAGAAUUUGUCUUCUGCUUUUACAACUGCUUAAACAUUUUGACAUGUCAGAGGCUUCCUAUUAUGUACUACCAUUUAAAGAUAGUAUUUUUCCACGUGUCAACCCUGAUUGCACCAAAUUUAUUUGGGAGCGAACGUGCAGAAUUUGGAGGAUGCAAAAUAACAUGCAGCUUCUCAGAUUAUUGACUACUUAAAAAUUAUUUAUUGAUUUGAAUUGAAAGACUACAACUAAUGACUAUGUAUAAGGCUAACUACUCUCAAACCCACCAUUAAUCCAAUCAAAUUUCAAAUUCAAUAGCAAUGCUUUACAAAUAUGAAAAGAUCUUGCCAGUAUUUUAUUCAAAACAUUUAGAAAAUUUAAAGUUUUUAUUAACAAUAUGAUUAUUGAUGCUGGCUCUUAAGAGGUUUUUAAUUUUUUUUUUUAUCAGAUAUUAAAUUGUUAUGUUAUGCUUAUCCUUUGUGUGUUUCAAUUGAUUUUUUAUUUUUUUUUUAAAUUUUAUUUUAAUAAUAAUUUUAAAUUUAGCUAUAUUAUAAUAAAUAUAUAUAAUAUAUUCAUUAAAAAAAUAAAAUUUUAAUAUAUUUAAAAAAAUAUCACUGCAUAAAAUAGAUUGUAUAAAUAUAUAUAUAUAUAUAUAUAUAUAUAUAUUAAAUAAAAAUACUACAAGACAUCAAACUAUAUAUAAUUCUUUUAUCAAUUUAAAAAUUAUAACAAAAUCUUUCUAGUGAAUAUAACAUUACAAAAUUAUAGUUUAUCAUUAUAUAAUAUCAUGGUAUAAUUAAUGAUAAAAAAGUAAUGGAGAUCAAAGUAUUAUUACAAAUAGCUAAAUUAUAUGGUAUAAUAUUAUACAAUGGAAAAAUAAUAAUAAGUAAAAUUAAAUUAAAAAAAAAGUAAAAUAAUAAAGUAAAUUUAUCAUAUUGAAAUAUUUGUUUUAUGUAAUAAAUUGUUCAAUUGAAAGUUUGAGUGAGAAUUGAAAUCACUGAAUUUAUCUACAAUGAAAACAUGGAAUAAGAGGAAGAGCAAAAAUCUAUCGGAAAGACUCAAGUUGCAGAGCUUCCAAAAUCUAUCGGAAAACUCUAAAACCUUGAGUUGUUAGACAUUAGAGACACAAAUACAAAAGAACUUCCAAGUGAAGUAGCUGAGUUGCAAAACUUCCAUCAUCUUGUUAAUUGCAAGUCAUGAUUUACAUUGAAGCCAAAGGCGACAUAAUAAGGCAACUUGGGAGUAUGACCCAACUCAGCCGAAUGGGCAUUUCAAAUUUGAAAGAAGCUCAUGAACAGGACCUAUGCUCUUCAAUCCAGAGCUUGAAACUGCUAUGUCUGAUGGUGAAUAAUGAAGAGGAGCAAAUUCGGAUUGAUGCAUUACAAUCAACCCCCACCACAGCUUCAAAAGCUUUUUUUUUGUUUGGGAAAUUGGAAAGGUUACUGCAUUGGUUUUGCUCACUUCAAUACCUAAAAUAUUUGUGGUUACAUUGGUCUAGGUUGAAGGAAGAUCCACUCCACCACAUUGUAGCACUACCCAAUUUGGCAACGCUUGAAUUAGUAAAUGCCUUGUGAUGAUCUGAAAUCUAGAAAAUAGGGUUUUACAAGGGUUCUGUAAGCUUAGUCUGAGAGGAGAAUGUUUCUCUCCUUUUAUUCUUUUCCUUUAUCUGCCAGGGGCGUGUCAUGGCCUUACGGCCAUUGGGCCACCUUUCUCUACCAUACUAAUACGGACGUACGAGAAUAUCAGAUAUCUGCUCCAUGCGUAACGGCUAUUUAAUUUUUCCCUAGCACGCAUGCAGAUGGACCCACUAGGCAAAUGGGCUGGCUACCUUUUCUCCUCCGGGUUAGGCUGGAAGAUGAGAUUAGGACUGGAGCCUAGGGGAGGUCUGAUCUUAGGGCCGAAAGGACUGGGCUGACCCGAUUGAGAGGCUUUAGAAGGAGUCCCGUCUUCAGGCCGAGCGGGCUGAACUUGGUUCAUGUGGGAGGCUUAAGAGCCUUCAAGUAAUGGGUUGUCAUCAUGGGUCAGACCUCAGACCGGGGUGGUGAAAUCCAGCGGUCAUCAAUUGCCCCUUUAUCUUCUCGUCAGUUAUUGUAUGACUGAUGAGGGGGUAAAUAUCGAGAAUCAUAAUGACCGCGCCACUUAAGAACAGUUUUCCUCAGAACACCUCUUCGUCUCAUUGCUGUUUCAAAAUUUCAAAUUCUCUCUGUCUUCUCAGAACUUUUGCUUUCCUCUAUUCUUUAUGCGCUUCGCUUGCUCUGUCCUUCUGCUCUACCCGCUCUUCAGGUACGCUCUUCAUUCUUCCAUGGAAGGCCCAAAACUCCCCGACAUUAUUAACCUAGAGUCUAGCAUCACUCCGUCCGUCCUGAAAAAUUUAUUCUCUAGGGAAUAUUUAGAUACCCCCCUUUUUCAUAUUCGGGCUCCCUACCGGAAUGAGAGGAUUGUUCUUCCUGAUCCUCCUCCCUCUGGUCUAAUUGAUCCAUAAAAAGACCUUAGCUUGGUCUUUUUUGCCAAACAAAGGGAGUAUGGCUUAACCUUUCCCUUCUCUCUUUUUUUUAUUGAGGUCUUCCGGUACUUCGAGAUAACCCCUCGAAUGCUGGCUCCUAAUUCCAUUCUUUUCAUGUCUUCUUUUGAAUCUGUCUAUCUAAGCUGGGGGUUCACACCCACGGCGCGUCUGUUCGUCACUUUCUUUAGGCUAGUCAAGACAAGCUAAGGUUUUUACUAUUUUGCCCCUCGCGGGGGGCUGUCAAUCUUCUCGGGUCAUAAAGACUCGAUAAAAGGCUGGGUAGAGGGGUUCGCAGUGGUCGAGCUAAAGAAGGAGUCCGGGUUGUCUUAGGAGGUGGAUCUCUCCUGGGAGGACGUCCCUCUAGGUUGCAACGACCUGCCCUAGCUAAGCCUUUUCGAGCAAAUCGGAUACAUUCGACUGACUUCUAUUGAAAAGAAGUAUGAUGUUGAAAAGUAGUAUGAUGUCGAAAAGUGUAUGUUUGUGUCCAAUCUUCGGGAUAUCAAGGACGCGGGUACUUUAUUUCAUUUAACCAUUUUGUCUUGUCUUUGUGAUUUUUUACUGAGGGUUGUUCUAAUUUGUUUUGGCUUUGGAUCUUUGCAGCUUUCGACGUGAAAAUGGACCAAAUCAAGCCCCCGAAGAACUUCACGCUAUCUCGGGAGAGCAUGAAUGCUACUUUGGACGCCCUCCGAGUUGGGCGAUCGGUGGGAGAGACUACUUAGAAGGUGGCUGAAGUCAUUUCCUCCAGGUAGGCUAGCCGGCCUCCUGCUCCAGCUUCUUCCCGAGCUCCCAAGCCGAGCUCCCGAGGUACUAGGUCUUCUAGGCCAUCCAGCCGCAGCAGGUCGAGCUCGGCUCCUCAGUCUUCCCAAGCCCCCAGGUCCUAACGAACCUGUACUGAGGAGACGAAAAAGGCUCUGAGGGUCACCGUCCGACCGGUCGAAGGCACCGUGCUGAUGAGGACGGAUCCUAUUCUUCCUCCUGAGGAGGUUUCUGAGGGGAGGCUCGAGACCUCCACAACUGAUGAGAGGGUUCCCGGGAUGGAGGUUAUCCCAGCUGGUGAAGAUUUCCAAGAGACUCCCGUUGAGGUCGGCCCUGUUACUGGGGAGGUGGAGUCUAGACCUGUUGAUGAAGUUCCUCCUCAAGAGAAGACACCAACUGCCCCGGAGGAGGCUGCUGAGAGAGUCGCGAGCAAGCGUCCCCUCCCUUCUGACACUCCUACCCCGGCUCCUGCUCCUAAGAAGUCCCGGGCUUCUAAGAGACUAGCUCCAGCUCUGCCUCCUCUCGAGAAGGAGAAGACAUCUGUGGUGCCUCUGUUGUCUGCCCCCAACAACGACAUUUUGAACGCGGAGGAUAUCACUCACCAGUCCCCGGCGAACGUGGUCGCUGAAAUUCUCCAGGAGCGGAUGUUUGGCGGGGUGACCGAGGCCUCAGACCCUCGCCUACUUGCUCUCACUGGCCUUUUGGCCAGCUCUACUCGAGAGCAAGUAGCGUUCCGAUCUCGGACUCGGGGGGAGCUCGGAGAUACGAUCAGGGAAAUGCUUCUCAUGGUAAGUUGUCCCUUCUGAUUUUUGCUCUUAUUUUGGUUCUCUUUGUUUCUCUGUCCUAACGGUUUUCCUCUUUGCACUAGGUGAUGGGCCUCUUCAUGGAGGUGGAUGCUCGUGACCACUCUCUCCGGGAGUCUGUAGAUCGCCACAUUGAGGAGGCACGCCUGGAGGAGAACUUAUCAGCUACUAGUGACGCCCAGGGCAAUCUCGCGGCUACCCAGGAGCACUCGAAAUCCCUCCAGGCGGAGUUGUCCUAUACUCUAGAGGCUCUUAAGAGAGCUGAUGGGAGGGCGGCUGUAACGACCCGAAAAUCGAACCGUUAUCGGCACUAGGAUCCAGAUCGGCUUAAGGCCGCCGGGACCCGUAGCAAGCCUAACAUACAUCCUGUGAACCUGUUUUAUCCCAUACAUAAUCAACAACAUAUAUAAAAAUUUUGGACUUUUCCUUUUCAUUCAUAAACCAAACUUAACCUGUGCACACACUAUCCAUAAUCAUCAAUUCCCUCAUUGGAGUUCUCAAACAUACUCCAAGGGGUAACAUUCGUAUUUUAAGUUUGGUUUACAUAACAUCAUAAAACAUUUCAUUAAUAGAUCAUGUAACCAAAAGGGGAUUAACAACAUACUAGGGUCAAGCACAACUAUAAACCUCAAUAGACAUCAUUACAUUACAUUCACUACUAUACUUUUACAUGACUGUACUAAACAUGACAUAUUAACAUUUAUCAUGUCCACACUAGCUAUUACAUGACCAUAACUUCAUUACUCUUGCUGACCUCCUGGUCUACCCUGUACCUGCAAACCUGGGGUUUAAGGGAGAGGGGUGAGCUACUAGAGCCCAGUGAGCAGAAUAAUAAAACAUAUUAUUUAAAACAUAUGAUAUCAUGGAAUGCAUCACAGCACAAACAUUUCACAUCAAGGAUGAACUUGUCACCACUUACCCCUCUAUACAGUCCAAUUAUGCCAGGGGCGUAGUGCAGGCUCGCCUGGACUUCCAUAGCAUACCAUACAUAUCCAAUCAUGCAGGGGCGUAGUGCAGGCUCGCCCGGACUUCCUUAGUCUGUCAUGUCAUACCAUAUAAGGGCUAAUGGAUCAUUCAACAUUCAUCCACAUCAACAACGUAAUAUGCAAUGCAACAUAUUCGUGAAUUCUAAUGCAAGCAUCCUAGUAUAUCUCAUGGCAUUCAUGAUGCGUGAAUCAUGCUAAACUUACAUUAUUUGCUUUAAAACGUAAAGAGUUAUUCCACUCACCUCUGGCUAGCUCUGACCAGACACCGAAAGCAACUAAACUCAUUGCUGGGGUCCUCGGUUCCUCGGGUCUGAACCUACACAGGUGGACUCAAAUGAGGGACCUAACAUGCAUAAACAUGACUCUAAAAUACUCCCCAAAAACCCCCUAAAACACCUCAAAACAUCCAUAGAAAGCAUGCAAAGGAAGGCUGAACAGGGCACUUUCGGCGACAGGUUCGACGGCCAAAAGUCCCUCCAGAGCCGAAAGUCAUGCAGGUUCGGCGGCACCUUCGGCGGCCGAAAGUGCCCUCCAGAGACAAAAGUCCAUUUUCGGGGGCAGGCUUCGACAGCCGAAAGGCCAGCCUUCACAAGCAUGUUCGGCGACCGAAAGUUCCUUCGGCUGCCGAACCUGGUUUCUCCCAAAUGGCAGAAACUCGGCUCCAACAUGCACAACAACCUCCCAAACCUUCUAUCAUGCAUUCUACUUAACCAAAACAUGCAUAGAAACAUACAUCAACGCCUAGGGGCUUCAAACUAUCUUAAACCCCAACUACAACACAUCAAACAACCACAAACAUCCUACAUUGCUCAAAAACUAAACAUGAACCCAUGAACUCCAAUAUAACCUAACAUGCAUUUCUACCCCAUAAAUCAACUUAAAACUUGUUUAAAACAUAUAAUGAGCUCAAGAUCGCCUCUUACCUCUUGAAGAUCGAGAGGAAAAAUGACUCUAGCUUGGAGAUGGGAGAGAUCGAGUUCCUUGAACCUCCAAGCUCUAAAACUUGCUAUUUGCUCAAAAUCUUCAAAACAAAGGUAUAAACUCAUAAAAAUCAAGAAAGAUUUGAAGAAAGAAACUAAAAAUCGGCGAGGGACGACGGAGAGCUCACCUUGGCCGAAAAUGGGGAGAAAGCUCGCCCAUUUCGGCUAAGGGACCCCUUUAUAGGUGGCUGGCCAGGCCACAUUCGGGAGCCGAACGUGCCUCCGCAUGCAUGCCAUGUUCGGUGGCCGAACACAAGGUUCGGCGGCCGAACCUGGACUUCCCUCACCUAUGCUUUCGGGGGCCUAAAGCACUCCCGAAGUGCAUGCAUGUUCAGCGGCCGAACCUGAGUUUUCCUCCAAGGAAAUUUUCAUGCAAAAACUCAUUUUCUUUCUUGCUUAAAACAUAAAAUGCAUUUAAAACAUCUUAUAAAAACAUAGUUUUACCGUUCUAGAGGUCUCUGACACCCAAAAUUCCACCGGACGGUAGGAAUUCUAAUACCGGAGUCUAGCCGGGUAUUACAUUCUCCCCCCUUAAGAACAUUCGUCCCCGAAUGUUCACCAAACAAGGCACAUGCAAAGCAUACAACACGAACAUACAACAAAACACAUAAAACUUACCUUAAAAGAGAUGAGGAUAUUGCUGGAGCAUGGACUCCCGUGUCUCCUAGGUACACUCUUCGAUGUUGUGGUGAUUCCAAAGGACUUUCACCAUCGGGAUUUCCUUGUUCCUUAGCUUUCUGAUUUGGGUGUCUAGGAUCCGUACUGGCUGCUCAACAUAGGUAAGAUCUUCUUGGAUCUCCACAUCAGGCUCACUAAGAACCUUGCCCGGAUCUGACACGAACUUUCUUAACAUAGAAACAUGGAAAAUCGGAUGGAUUCUCUCCAUUGAAGCAGGCAAGUCCAGCUUGUACUAUACAUUCCCAAUCUUUUGCAAGACUUCAAAGGGUCCGAUGUACCGCGGAGCUAGCUUACCUUUCUUCCCAAACCGAAUCGCCCCUUUCAUUGGAGGCACCUUGAGCAAUACCAAAUCCCCCUCCUGAAACUCUACUUGCCUUCUGCGGAUGUCUGUAUAACUCUUCUGUCUGCUUGCAGCAGUCUUGAUCCUUUCUCUGAUGAUAGGCACCACUCUGCUGGUGAUCUCUACAAGCUCAGGCCCUGCCAAGGCCCUUUCCCCAACUUCUUCCCAACAAACAGGUGAUCUGCACUUCCUUCCAUAUAAAGCUUCAUAUAGAGCCAUCCCUGUAACGAUCCGGAAACCGGUACCCCUCAGUAACGGUCCGAACCAUCACUGGCACUAGGAUCUAGAUCGGCUUAAGGCCGCCGGGACCCAUAGUCAGCCAACUAUACUCUCUGUGUACCUGAUAAAUCCCAUACAUGAUACAAAAAUACUCAAUAAUCCUGUAAAACUCUAUAGGCUUAACUACUGCAACUCAGAUAUGAUAAUCUGAAAUGGCCCUCAGGGCCUAUACCAGGGACUACUAUCUGCUGUGGGUUAAGGGAUUGAAACCCUUUUCCUCUGUGAUACAUCCCACUGGUAUCUCAUCGAAGCCAAACAUUAAGCCCAACUCACACAUUUCUCAUCAAGAAACGUAAAACAGGAUUCAUGUACAAGGGAUUAAUCAUACAUCACACUAUAGCAAAGAUACUAGGGAAAGNNNNNNNNNNNNNNNNNNNNNNNNNNNNNNNNNNNNNNNNNNNNNNNNNNNNNNNNNNNNNNNNNNNNNNNNNNNNNNNNNNNNNNNNNNNNNNNNNNNNNNNNNNNNNNNNNNNNNNNNNNNNNNNNNNNNNNNNNNNNNNNNNNNNNNNNNNNNNNNNNNNNNNNNNNNNNNNNNNNNNNNNNNNNNNNNNNNNNNNNNNNNNNNNNNNNNNNNNNNNNNNNNNNNNNNNNNNNNNNNNNNNNNNNNNNNNNNNNNNNNNNNNNNNNNNNNNNNNNNNNNNNNNNNNNNNNNNNNNNNNNNNNNNNNNNNNNNNNNNNNNNNNNNNNNNNNNNNNNNNNNNNNNNNNNNNNNNNNNNNNNNNNNNNNNNNNNNNNNNNNNNNNNNNNNNNNNNNNNNNNNNNNNNNNNNNNNNNNNNNNNNNNNNNNNNNNNNNNNNNNNNNNNNNNNNNNNNNNNNNNNNNNNNNNNNNNNNNNNNNNNNNNNNNNNNNNNNNNNNNNNNNNNNNNNNNNNNNNNNNNNNNNNNNNNNNNNNNNNNNNNNNNNNNNNNNNNNNNNNNNNNNNNNNNNNNNNNNNNNNNNNNNNNNNNNNNNNNNNNNNNNNNNNNNNNNNNNNNNNNNNNNNNNNNNNNNNNNNNNNNNNNNNNNNNNNNNNNNNNNNNNNNNNNNNNNNNNNNNNNNNNNNNNNNNNNNNNNNNNNNNNNNNNNNNNNNNNNNNNNNNNNNNNNNNNNNNNNNNNNNNNNNNNNNNNNNNNNNNNNNNNNNNNNNNNNNNNNNNNNNNNNNNNNNNNNNNNNNNNNNNNNNNNNNNNNNNNNNNNNNNNNNNNNNNNNNNNNNNNNNNNNNNNNNNNNNNNNNNNNNNNNNNNNNNNNNNNNNNNNNNNNNNNNNNNNNNNNNNNNNNNNNNNNNNNNNNNNNNNNNNNNNNNNNNNNNNNNNNNNNNNNNNNNNNNNNNNNNNNNNNNNNNNNNNNNNNNNNNNNNNNNNNNNNNNNNNNNNNNNNNNNNNNNNNNNNNNNNNNNNNNNNNNNNNNNNNNNNNNNNNNNNNNNNNNNNNNNNNNNNNNNNNNNNNNNNNNNNNNNNNNNNNNNNNNNNNNNNNNNNNNNNNNNNNNNNNNNNNNNNNNNNNNNNNNNNNNNNNNNNNNNNNNNNNNNNNNNNNNNNNNNNNNNNNNNNNNNNNNNNNNNNNNNNNNNNNNNNNNNNNNNNNNNNNNNNNNNNNNNNNNNNNNNNNNNNNNNNNNNNNNNNNNNNNNNNNNNNNNNNNNNNNNNNNNNNNNNNNNNNNNNNNNNNNNNNNNNNNNNNNNNNNNNNNNNNNNNNNNNNNNNNNNNNNNNNNNNNNNNNNNNNNNNNNNNNNNNNNNNNNNNNNNNNNNNNNNNNNNNNNNNNNNNNNNNNNNNNNNNNNNNNNNNNNNNNNNNNNNNNNNNNNNNNNNNNNNNNNNNNNNNNNNNNNNNNNNNNNNNNNNNNNNNNNNNNNNNNNNGCAACUCUACCUGUAACCUCUUUAAAAGCUGUUAAAACCAUAAAACAAGUAUAAAGACCUCUCUUACCUCCUGAAACUAGAAGAGGAACAACUUGAACUCAACAAAUCCCCUUCACAAGCUUCAAACCACCAAAACCUCUCUUUUCUCUCAAAACCUUCAAAACCUCUUGCAAACGAGCAACCCUUUGCAUGAACUGAUUAAAAGCUUGCAGAUGAGUCAAGGGAGACGUGGCCUAACCUCUGGUCAUGAUCUGGAGGUGAACACCUGGCCAAACCACAGACUGAGGAGCAUGCACAACUAACCGACCACCUCAGCUUCGGCUGCCGAAACUGCAUGCAAAACCAUGCAACUUUCGGGGGCCGAACAUUGGACACUUUCGGCGGCCGAACUUAACCUUCGGGGGCCGAACAUGACAGAAACUCCUUUGGCCAAUUCUCCACGAAACUCAACUCGUUUUUUACGCUAAACCUUUAAAACACUUGCAAAUAGGUUAGAAAACUUUCUCUUACCCUUCCAAAGACCUCUGACAUCCUCAAAUUCCACCGAACGGUAGGAAUUCCGAUGUCUAAAUCUAGCCGGGUAUUACAUUCUUCCCCCCUUUAAGAACAUUCGUCCUCGAAUGUUCACACAACAAACACAUAUGCAAAGAAGCAAUUAAGGAAAGCUUAACACUUUUCCUCUGAGAAGAGAUACAGAUACUACUGGAGUAAAACUCCCGGGUUAUCUAACUUCCUGAUUCUUACCUGCUUCAUCUGUGUCCCCACUUCCACUGAUUACUGACCAUUCCUGUUUGUACACAGUCCAUUUGACUCUCUUCUCUAACCCUCUUUAACUUUUCUCAGCUCUAUUCAUACUACUCUGGUUAUACUACCUCUUUACUCAACCCGGUCAGAGGAGCAAUAACUCUAAGGAAAUGCUACAUGCCUUGCCUAUAGCUUUAACUUUCUCAAGUAUGUCCCGAUAUCGAACUCAGAUUACAUAACUUGGCCUCUGUGCCAUGUUCUCUUACAAUCUACAACACUUCAUAGAUAAUGGGCAUGCUUCUCUCGUUUUCUGAACUAUUCUACGCUUUUGCUACGCCACUCUGACCCUUGCCUGCCUUUCUUCUUCUUUCCUAUCCUGACUUCUUCUCUUUUGAUCCUUCUAACUACACUGGACUAUCUCUAGCUCUCUAGCUCUUUAGCUCUCUAGCUCUCUGUCUUGAUAGGAUAAACUGAUAAGCGACUUUUGACUGAGGGCAGCUAACAUCUCAUCUGCCUUACCCAGUAAAUACUAUCUUAUAUACUCAGAGUCGCUGAGCAGUUUUACCCCUUACCUCUGGUUUAGACUCUUCACUAGAAGAAAGAUCUUAUCUCUACUCAACUACUACAAUGACUUUUCUCUAACUUUGGACAUAUAGUUCCUAACUCUCAAACAACCAGCUUCUCGUUGGUCCUAUAGAUCAUCCAUUCUGCAUGGGAACACCUGUUCUUGGUAGUGAUUUGGUGCAACUAUUCACAGUUGUGACAAAAUCUCAAGGUUUCAUCCUUCGGUUCUCAUAACGAUACUGGAAUAUUCCAAGGUGUGUGGUACUAAGUCGGAUAGAAGCCUUAACUACCAAGUUCACAACUGCUCUACUAUCUCUCUCAAACUUGCAACUGCUUUUCUAACUCUUACAUGCUAUAGGUACCACUUCAAAGGAAGAGGUGAAAAUGAGUCUAGUCUCCAUCUUCACUUAACUUUCAGACUCUAUAUUGUUUUACCAAUGGUAACCCUGUUGGCCUGUCUGGGAUAACACAUAUAACUCUCUUUCUCUCUUUCUGAUUAUGGGUACUGAGACUGGUUCCCUGACCUGGCUUCUAUGCUCUCACCCAAGAGCAAGAAAACCCCUGACUACCUUUCCUAACGCGUUCACGAGCCUGUAGGGCUGCUAUCAAACUUCUGGGUAUGCUAUACUGUCCCCUCAAAGGACUAACUCUGACCCAUCCGAGCCUCUAACCUCUGAACUUUUCUACCUUGUCUUUGCAGACUUAGGUAGUACCUCGAGUAGCUAGCCCAUCCGCCCUAGGUUGACAUCACCAGUCACCCCUAGAACCAUAAGGUCAGCUGGAAGGCAUCUACUACUCUCAACAAACUUUGAUCUAUACUGACUCACUGACUCUACCUCAGAUGGAUCACACUCGGGUUCACUAACCCAGAGAAAACACUCUAAGCCCAGAAGUUAUUAACCCUCCUCUAUCUAUGGCUUUCAAACCACAGGGAAAGAAACAUCAGGGUCCACUAUAACCUACACAUUUGAACAUCCUCAAGUGAAUGUAUCUAACGUCACCGUGUUCGAUGUGUUAGCCUUCUACUGAGUCAGGAUGAAGAUCCAAGCUAAAGCUAAGGAAUCUUCCCUCGGGAACCGACCAAAGAAAAGGAGGACUCUCUUCUCCUGCCUCACCCACUGUCCUGAAAUAUGGCUAGAGCUACAGGCUGAGUUACACUACUAGACGUCAUCUGCUGGGACUGUGCCAAUCAGGGUCGCAGUAGGACACUCACAUAAUAUGAGUCCUUUCUGCUCGCAUCUAUACAUGCCGUAGUCCCAUACCAUUAGACUACUUUUGUGUAAACUCCACGCCUCACGUAUCCAGACCUAUCUGAACUAUCUGAACUAGAGCUCAAUCGCCAUCUAAUCCCAGACUAAACUGAAAUCUCUUUCUAACCUUUCUGCUCUCUUCUAUUUCACUUACUCUUCUCUUAUUCUUUUCUUACUUUUCACGUUCUUACACUAUGCUCUGCCUUAUUUUCUUUACUUAAGGUCUACACUUCAAAAUACCUGGAUUAAUAACAUCCACGGCUAUAGCUCUCGAGCUCUUUCUUGACUCACUAACCUUUAGCGACUCACUCGUCUCUGAACCUUUAUCUCUGACCAUCUAACUCUAUUACACUUUACUCUUCUCACAUCAACUGCUCUUCUAGUAAGAUCCAGAAAACCAUACACAUCAGAACACGCAAAAAUGAGCUUACCUGGCACCACUGUGUUUGGUGUGUCUGUCUCUGGCUGAUCCUGGGUGAAAAUCCGAGCCGAAACUAACGGACUUCCACUUAAGGAACCUCCUGAAGAAGGGACUACCUCUUUUUCUCUAUCUCUGGUUGGAGCUUCUGGUGGAAUGAUAUGGUCUGAGGAUGUCUGUGGGCACUGUGCUGACACGAUGAUAGUGGAACACUCUCGUGCCAUGUGCCCCUCCUGUCCGCACCGGAAACAUGCUGUUGUCCCAGCCCGACAGACUCCUUUGUGCCUCCUACCGCACCUCGCACAGCUAGAACUAUCCCAACCAGAACUCGAACCCUCGCGACAACCCAUGCCAAACUGUACCCUAUUCCAGAACUCUCUUUUCUUUGAUCCUUUCAGGCCUCUCACUUUCUUUUUAUUCGUUGCAGCAGCCUUACCCAAAGGGAAACGAUCACUAUUCUCUGGGUCAUUUUCUAUACUCAUGUUUUCUGUCUGCCCUGGCUGCUCACAGUCACUCUCUUUAUGCUCCCUUGAGCUAUCUGAACAAGCCCAUCCUGCAAACUCUAUAGCAAAUUGUUCCCAGGAUAAGCUUUCUACCCUCAGGUCCACAUACUGGGUGAACCAUUCCCUUGUCUUCUCACAUUUCACUGUGACCCCUGCCAUCUGAAUGGCUCUACUCUCACUGGCUCCCAACUCGUCAGUUAUCAUCUUGACCAUUCUAAGAUACUCCAAAAGGUCAUCACCUGUCUCAAAGUUGGGAACAUCCAACCUCAAAUAAUCUGUCAUCUUUCCCUCACUUCCUCUAGGUGAACUAGGCUUAGGUGUUUGGACAAUUGGGGCUACUGGGUCUACUGGUGGUGGAGGAGGUACAACAUGCUCUGGGUUAGGGUUGACUGACCCGGGGUAACAAAAGAAGGGUGAACACAUGGUAUACUGUGAAUAUGACGGUGGAUAUGGCGGAUAACAGGAAGGAUAGGGCAUAAAGGUGGGAUAUGGGUUAUACCUAGGACACUCCGCUGUACCCCUCAUCAGGUACUCUGCCCCCCACGGGUAGGGUGGUUACUGAAGUGGAAUAAAUCUCGAGGCCUGAGUGUCUCCCUGGGACUCACCCAAAUCUCCUCCUAACCUGCUCAUGCCAAAGCUACCCUCUCUACUCUGCUCAUCCUCCUCUAUGUCCCUCAUAACCCCCGACAUACCACUCUGAACAAUUCCCCUUCUACUCUCAUCAACAGACCUUCUAGGGUCCUUUGAUGUACCUUCUCUGCUUAAGCUAUUUGAUGUUGCCCUUUGCAGAACGGGGAGAUGAGCAUCCAUGUCCUCAUCCUCCGGCGGAGCUCCAGUCAAUCUAGCAGAUCGACGAGUUCCUCUCAUCCUGCCUCUGAAAAGCACAACAUCACACAAAAAUAUCAUCAAAUGAUCCAUGUGAAAACACAUGAAUCCUCAGCACAUAUCAAACAUAUCAAUAAUGCACAUGCAGCUCAUCAUGGCAUUUCACAUCAGCAUGCAAGACAGGACUCCACAUCCUAUCCUAGUGGACAUGAUUAUACCUAUGGUGCUUCCCCUCCUAUACAAAACAUCACCUCUUUCCGAUGUGGGAUAUCUCUAAGUCUUGAGCAAAGAUGCUCAACACACCGUACUCUUGAGGCCCUAUGCUCUGAUACCAAUCUGUAACGACCCGGAAACCGGUACCCCUCAGUAACGGUCCGAACCAUCACUGGCACUAGGAUCUAGAUCGGCUUAAGGCCGCUGGGACCCAUAGUCAGCCAACUAUACUCUCUGUGUACCUGAUAAAUCCCAUACAUGAUACAAAAAUACUCAAUAAUCCUGUAAAACUCUAUAGGCUUAACUACUGCAACUCAGAUAUGAUAAUCUGAAAUGGCCCUCAGGGCCUAUACUAGGGACUACUAUCUGCUGUGGGUUAAGGGAUUGAAACCCUUUUCCUCUGUGAUACAUCCCACUGGUAUCUCAUCGAAGCCAAACAUUAAGCCCAACUCACACAUUUCUCAUCAAGAAACGUAAAACAGGAUUCAUGUACAAGGGAUUAAUCAUACAUCACACUAUAGCAAAGAUACUAGGGAAAGCACAAGUCUAUCCAGUAUAUGACAGUACAUAGCUAUACAUGACAUUACAACUAAGCUUUUAAUUACAUCAUGUCCACUAUGCUAUUACACCAUACAAUCAUGCAUAACUUUCCGCUGUACUCUUGCUGACUUUGACUUCCCAUAGCUAUCUCAGAACCUGCAAAAUUGGGAUUAAGGGAGUGGGAUGAGCUCUAGAGCCCAGUGAGGAGGAACAAUAAAAACAGUUCAUUAAUUACAUGCUCUCAUGAAAUGCAUCACAUCACAAACAUAUCAUCUCAAGGAUGAAUUUGUCACCAAUAACCCUCAACUACAUGUUAUAAUAAUGCCAACUAUGCCAAGGAGACUAUGUCAUCACCUGGUCUACACUUAUCUCUCUGAUAUCAUAACAUAACCAACUGUGCCAAGGAGACGAGGUCUCACCUGGUCUACACUUACCUCUGAUUUGACAGCCCAGCUGUCUCACUCAUAGUACCAGGAGCGACCUGGACUAUCCAGGGGCGACCUGGUAUGGCUAUCUCAUGCCAUAACUCUGUAUCUGCUCUCUGUCAAGGGCUAAGAAUCAUCCAACAUUCAUCCACAGGAACAACAACAUAUGCAAUGCAUCAUAUUCGUGAAUUCUAAUGCAACACAACCUAAUACAUAACAUGGCAGUUUAUGAUGCAUGGAUCAUGCUCGAAUCGUGUCAUUUCUCAAGAUAAAAUAUGUAGUUUAGUUCCACUCACCUCUGCUCUUCUGCCAGAUACUGUACUGACUCUGAUAUCUCUAACUCUGAUGACCUCCUCAAACUCUCGGGUCCAAUCCUACACAAAUGGACUCGAAUGAGGUGUCACACAUACUUUGAAUAACUCUUAAACAAUUCCCCAUAACCCCCUCUAAACCUCUGAAAAUAAAUCACAUAACUCAUGCAAAAGAAGGCUGGACAGAACACAUUCGGCAGCAGGUUCGGCGGCCGAAUGUCCUCUCCAGAGCCGAAACUCAUGCAUGUUCGGCGGCACCUUCGGCGGCCGAAUGUGCAUGAGAGAUCCGAAAGUCCAUUCUUUCGGAGGCAACCUUAGGCAGCCGAAACUACCUCCACAAGGGGUUCGGCGGCCGAAUCCUCCCUUCGGCGGCCGAACCUGAGUUCAUCCAGAACUUAGCUUCGUGCAUGAACAAGCCUGUCAAGCAACUCCACUCCACAAGAGGUUCGGCGGCCGAAUCUUCACUUCGGCGGCCGAAGCUGGGUUCUCCAGAAGGCAGAACCUUGCUUCCUCUCAUGCACAACUUCUCCAACACACUCUAACAUGCAUAACUCAGCGUCUCAACUCACAUAUACUCUGGUAUAUGCACAAAGGGGUCCCAAACUACCUAUUAACCCCAACAAAACAACUAACACAACACAUAAUCAUGCUUUCACCAUUAAAACAUCAAAACUAAACUCUAAAACCUAACCAUGCAACUCUACCUGUAACCUCUUUAAAAGCUGUUAAAACCAUAAAACAAGUAUAAAGACCUCUCUUACCUCCUGAAACUAGAAGAGGAACAACUUGAACUCAACAAAUCCCCUUCACAAGCUUCAAACCACCAAAACCUCUCUUUUCUCUCAAAACCUUCAAAACCUCUUGCAAACGAGCAACCCUCUGCAUGAACUGAUUAAAAGCUUGCAGAUGAGUCAAGGGAGACGUGGCCUAACCUCUGGUCAUGAUCUGGAGGUGAACACCUGGCCAAACCACAGACUGAGGAGCAUGCACAACUAACCGACCACCUCAGCUUCGGCUGCCGAAACUGCAUGCAAAACCAUGCAACUUUCGGGGGCCGAACAUAACCUUCGGGGGCCGAACAUUGGACACUUUCGGCGGCCGAACUUAACCUUCGGGGGCCGAACAUGACAGAAACUCCUUUGGCCAAUUCUCCACGAAACUCAACUCGUUUUCUACGCUAAACCUUUAAAACACUUGCAAAUAGGUUAGAAAACUUUCUCUUACCCUUCCAAAGACCUCUGACAUCCUCAAAUUCCACCGAACGGUAGGAAUUUCGAUGUCUGAAUCUAGCCGGGUAUUACAAUCCCGAUUCUAGCAUGAUGGCUGUUAUUGUAGGCAAACUCCACCAAAGGUAGGUGCUGCCUCCAAGAACUGCCAAAAUCCAGCACACACAUUCUGAGCAUAUCCUCUAUUGUCUAGAUGGUCCUCUCUGACUGUCCGUCCGUCUGUGGAUGGAAAGCAGUGCUAAAAUCCAACCUGGUACCCAUAGCGUUCUGCUGACUCCGCCAAAACCUGGAGGUGAACUGGGACCCUCUAUCCGACACUAUAGAGACAGGAACCCCAUGCAGCCUGACAACCUCAUUUACAUACACCUGCGCCAACUUGUCCACAGAGUAGCCACUCCUGACAGGGAUGAAGUGAGCAGAUUUGGUGAGUCUGUCCACAAUCACCCAUAUGGAGUCCAAUCUGUUGGACGCUGCCGGUAACCCCACCAUGAAGUCCAUAGCUAUAUUCUCCCAUUUCCAAUCUGGAAUAGGUAGUGGGUUAAGCAUUCCAGCCGGCUUCUGAUGUUCCAGCUUCACCUCUGACACACUUCGCAGGCUGACACAAACUGUGCCACUUCUCUUUUCAUAGCUGGCCACCAAUAAACCUUCUUCAGAUCUUGAUACAUCUUGGUGGCUCUAGGGUGAACACUGUAUCUGGCAUUAUGAGCCUCUUUCAUAAUGUCUCCCUUCAGCCUUACGUCAUCUGGUACACACAAUAUGUUUCCAUAGCGGAGGAUCCCCUUGCUGUCGAAUCUGAACUCACUAUCUUUGCCUGACUGAACAGUCCUGGCAAUCUUCACUAACUCUGGGUCCUCGUGCUGUUUCUGAGCCACCUGCUCCAGAAACAUGGGUGCCACUCUCAUCUGGGCAACUAAAGCACCUGUACCAGACAACUCCAACUGUAGCCCUUCAUUGAGGAGCUCGAAGAACUCCCUCACUAUAGGCCUCCUCUCUGCCGAAAUAUGGGACAAACUGCCAAGUGAUUUCCGGUUUAAGGCGUCUGCCACAGCAUUCGCCUUACCCGGAUGGUACUGGAUCUUGCAAUCAUAGUCACUGAGCAGUUCUACCCAUCUUCUCUGCCUCAGAUUUAGAUCCAUCUGACUCAAGAUGUACUGCAAGCUCUUAUGAUCGGUGAAGAUCUCACAUUUUACCCCAUAAAGGUAGUGCCUCCACAUCUUGAGUGCAAAGAUUAUCACUGCCAUCUCUAGGUCAUGUGUAGGGUAAUUCAACUCGUGCUUCUUCAGCUGCCUAGAAGUAUAAGCAAUCACCCUUUCAUUCUACAUUAGCACACAACCCAGCCCCACACGGGACGCAUCACAAUAGAUUGAGAAGUCUUCAUUACUAGAUGGCAGAGCUAACACUGGUGCUGAAGUCAACCUCUUCUUUAGCUCCUCAAAGCUCUCUUCACACUGGUCGGUCCAUACAAACCUCUGGUUCUUCUUAGUCAGUUUGGUCAUGGGAGCUGCAAUUUUAGAGAAGUCCUGAACGAACCUCCUGUAGUAACCUGCCAAACCCAAGAAACUCUUGAUCUCUGUCACUGUAGUGGGUUUAGGCCAGUUAGCUACGGCUUCUACCUUCUUGGGGUCCACCUCUAUUCCAUUUUCUGACACAACAUGCCCCAAGAAUGAAAUGCUCCUCAGCCAGAACUCACACUUGGAGAACUUGGCAUAUAAGCCAUGUUCCCUCAAGGUCUGCAGAACUAACCUCAGAUGAUGGGCAUGCUCCUCUGCAUUCCUGGAGUACACUAAGAUAUCAUCUUGAAGACAAUAACAAAGUGAUCCAGGUAUUGGCUAAAUACUCUAUUCAUGAGAUCCAUGAAUGCUGUAGGGGCAUUGGUUAACCUGAACGGCAUUACAAGGAACUCAUAAUGCCCAUAUCUAGUCCUGAAAGCUGUCUUCGGCACAUCCUCUUCUCUUAUCCUUAGCUGAUGGUACCCCGAUCUCAGAUCUAUUUUGGAGAAACAACCUGCUCCGGCUAGCUGGUCAAAUAGAUCGUCGAUCCUUGGCAACGGGUACUUAUUCUUGGUAGUGACUUUGUUCAACUGCCUGUAGUCUAUACAAAGUCUGAGAGAUCCAUCCUUCUUUCUCACAAAUAGCACUGGAGCACCCCAAGGUGAGGUACUCGGUCGGAUGAAACCCCUAUCUACCAGCUCUUGCAACUAUUCUUUUAACUCUUUCAAUUCUGCUAGUGCCAUCCUGUAGGGAGGGAUAGAGAUCGGUCUGGUUCCAGGCAUCAAUUCAAUUUCGAACUCUAUCUCCCUAUCAGGUGGUAAACUUGACAGCUCGUCUGGGAACACAUCUAAAAACUCACUGACCACGGGCACUGAGGCGGGCUCUCUGACAUGACUAUCCAGCUCUCUCACAUGAGCUAAAAAACCCUGACAACCCCUCUUGAGUAGCUUACGAGCCUGUAGGGCUGAUAUCAAACCUCUAAGUGUACUCCCUCUGUCUCCUCUGAAGACAACCUCUGACCCAUCCUGACAUCUGAACUUGACUACCUUGUCUCUACAGUCCAAGGUAGCACCAUGGGUAGAUAGCCAAUCCAUCCCUAGAAUGACGAUAAAAUCUGUCAAAUCUAGAACCACAAGGUCGGCAGAAAGGCAUCUUCCCUCUAUAAAAAUUGGACUAUACUGGUAGACUGACUCUGCCACUGACGGGUCACACUUGGGUCCACUGACCCAUAGGGGACACUCUAACCCAGAGACCAUCAAUCCCAACCUCUCGACGGCCCUCAGAGCAAUGAAAGAAUGAGAUGCACCAGGGUCCAUUAAGGCAUAAACAUCUGAGCAACCAAUGAUGAGAUUACCUGCCACCACGGUGUUCGAUGCAUUUGCCUCCUGCUGAGUCAUUGUGAAGAUCUGCGCUGGGGCUGAUGGACCUUCACCUUUGAAACCCGCUGAAGAAGAGGCUGACCUUCUCCCUCUGCCUCUGCCACUAGCCUGAGUCACGGCUGGAGCUACUGAUUGAGCCACACUACCCGAAGCUGUCUGCUGAGACUGUGCCACAAAAGCUGCUCUAGGACACUCCCGUGCCAUGUGUCCCUCCUGCCCACAUCUGAAGCAGGCUGUCAUCCCCACCAGACAUACUCCUUUGUGCGGCUUCCCACACUUCAUGCAUGCUGUAAUACCUGCACCUGAGCUCGAGCCACUUCCUAAUCCCAGACCUGACUUGAUCUUACUCCAGAACUUGUUCUUCUUGGACUUUCGGAAGCCUCUGUCCCACUUCUUACUGCCUGAACUCAGAGAAGAAGGGUCAAAUCUUCCCCCAUCUGGGGUCUUGGAACCAGAAGGCUGUGCUACUGACUGCUUAACUUUCCCUUCGAUGAUUGCACUAGCCUCCAUUCUCCGAGCCAUAUCCACAAUGGCAUGGAAACUCUCCCUCUCUGCGGACUGAAUCAAGGAGGAAUACCUGGAAUGAAGCUUCAUGAUACACCUCCUUGACUUCUUCUGGUCUGAAUCCAGAUUCUGCCCAGCAAACAGCAACAGCUCCAAGAACCUGUCUGUAUACUCAUCCACACUCAUCUCAUCUGUCUGCCUCAACUGCUCAAACUCAAUCAUCUUCAGCUCCCUUGAACUGUCAAGGAAAGCCAAUCCUGCAAACUCAUUAGCAAACUCCUCCCAGGAUAGACUAUCCAACCUCGGGUUCACAUAAUUCUUAAACCAUUCUCAGGCCUUCUUGCAUUUUAAUGUGAACCCAACCAUCUGAAUGGCUCUACUGUUAUCAACUCCUAUCUCAUCUGUAAUUGUCUUGACCCUCUCAAGGUACACAAAUGGGUCAUCACCGGUUUCAAACUGGGGAGCACCCUGCUUCAUGUAGUCGGUCAUUUUGACCUUGCUCCCCCCAGAUGAGCUAGGUUUAGGCAUUUGGGUUUCUGGGACAACAGGUGCUGCUGGUGCUGGAGGAGGUGCAACAUCCCCUGGGGUAGGGUUUGUUGUACCUGGAUAGAAAGAUGAGGGUGGGUACAUGGGGUACUGUGGGUACGGUGGGUAGAAAGGUGGGUAUGGCAUCUGAGAGUGAUAAGGGUUAAAACUGGGGUAAUCCGAUGUACCUCCCAUCGAAUACCCGGGAUUAUGUGAAAAGGGUGGGUAAUAAGGUGGCUGAACAAAUCCCGAGGCCUGAGUGCCUCCUUGGGACUCUCCCAUUCCCUCUUCCGACAUACUUACUCCGAGACUGCGAUCCCUCCUCUGAUCCACAUCCAUCUAAUCUCCCACAUCUUCUGACAUAUCCCCUUGCACUGUUCCCCUCAUUGAUAUGCUCCUACCCAGAUCCAAAGACCUUAUAGGGUCUCUUACUGCUCUUUCCCUGCUAGACCUGCUAGACAUUGCCCUUGGCAAUGCAGGGGGACGGGCACUCAUGCCUUCAUCCUCCGGUGGUACUCCAGUCAAUCGUGCAAAUCGACGAGUUCCUCUCAUCCUGUUUACUGGGUCUCUUACUGCUCUUUCCCUGCUAGACCUGCUAGACAUUGCCCUUGACAAUGCAGGGGGACGGGCACUCAUGCCUUCAUCCUCCGGUGGUACUCCAGUCAAUCGUGCAAAUCGACGAGUUCCUCUCAUCCUAUUUACUGAAAAUAGCACACAUCACAUAAACAUUAGCAUCAAAUGGUUCAUGGGCAAACACAUGAACCCGCAUCACAUACAUAGCAUAACAUCAAUGCACAUGCAUAUAAUCAUGGCAUUUCACAUCAUCAUUCAAGACAGGACUCUACAUCCUAUCAUAGUGGACAUGAUCUUCCUAUUGUGCUUGACCUUCUAGAACAUCUAUGAGCCUGACACUCUAGGUCCGACCAUAUGAACCUAGGGCUCUGAUACCAAUCUGUAAUGACCCGAAAAUCGGACCGUUACCGGCGCUAGGAUCCAGAUCGGCUUAAGGCCGCCGGGACUCGUAGCAAGCCUAACAUACAUCCUGUGAACCUGUUUUAUCCCAUACAUGAUCAACAACAUAUAUAAAAAUUUUGGACUUUUCCUUUUCAUUCAUAAACCAAACUCAACCUGUGCACACACUAUCCAUAACCAUCAAUUCCCUCAUUGGAGUUCUCAAACAUACUCCAAGGGGUAACAUUCGUAUUUUAAGUUUGGUUUACAUAACAUCAUAAAACAUUUCAUUAAUAGAUCAUGCAACCAAAAGGGGAUUAACAACAUACUAGGGUCAAGCACAACUAUAAACCUCAAUAGACAUCAUUACAUUACAUUCAAUACUAUACUUUUACAUGACUGUACUAAACAUGACAUAUUAACAUUUAUCAUGUCCACACUAGCUAUUACAUGACCAUAACUUCAUUACUCUUGCUGACCUCCUGGUCUACCCUGUACCUGCAAACCUGGGGGGUUAAGGGAGAGGGGUGAGCUACUAGAGCCCAGUGAGCAGAAUAAUAAAACAUAGUAUUUAAAACAUAUGAUAUCAUGGAAUGUAUCACAGCACAAACAUUUCACAUCAAGGAUAAACUUGUCACCACUUAGCCCUCUAUACAGUCCAAUUAUGCCAGGGGCGUAGUGCAGGCUCGCCUGGACUUCCAUAGCAUACCAUACAUAUCCAAUCAUGCCGGGGGCGUAGUGCAGGCUCGCCCGGACUUCCAUAGUCUGUCAUGCCAUACCAUAUAAGGGCAAAUCGAUCAUUCAACAUUCAUCCACAUCAACAAUGUAAUAUGCAAUGCAACAUAUUCGUGAAUUCUAAUGCAAGCACCCUAGUAUAUCUCAUGGCAUUCAUGAUGCGUGAAUCAUGCUAAACUUACAUUAUUUGCUUUAAAACGUAAAGAGUUAUUCCACUCACCUCUGGCUAGCUCUGAUCAGACACCGGAAGCAGCUAAACUCACUGCUGGGGUCCUCGAUUCCUUGGAUCCAAACCUACACAGGUGGACUCAAAUGAGGGACGUAACAUGCAUAAACAUGACUCUAAAAUACUCCCCAAAAACCCCCCUCAAACACCUCAAAAUAUCCAUAGAAAGCAUGCAAAGGAAGGCUGAACAAGGCACUUUCAGCGGCAGGUUCGGCGGCCGAAAGUCCCUUCAGAGCCGAAAGUCAUGCAGGUUCGGCGGCACCUUCGGCGGCCGAAAGUGCCCUCCAGAGACGAAAGUCCAUUUUCGGGGGCAGGCUUCGGCUGCCGAACCUGGUUUCUCCCAAAUGGUAGAAACUCGGCUCCAACAUGCACAACAACCUCCCAAAUCUUCUAUCAUGCAUUCUACUCAACCAAAACUUGCAUAGAAACAUAUAUCAGCUCCUAGGGGCUUCAAACUAUCUUAAACCGCAACUACAACACAUCAAACAACCACAAACAUCCUACAUUGCUCAAAAACUAAACAUGAACCCAUGAACUCCAAUAUAACCUAACAUGCAUUUCUACCCCUUAAAUCAACUUAAAACUUGUUUAAAACAUAUAAUGAGCUCAAGAUCGCCUCUUACCUCUUGAAGAUCGAGAGGAAAAACGACUCUAGCUUGGAGAUGGGAGAGAUCGAGUUCCUUGAACCUCCAAGCUCCAAAACUUGCUAUUUGCUCAAAAUCUUCAAAACAAAGGUGUAAACUCAUAAAAAUCAAGAAAGAUUUGAAGAAAGAAACUCAAAAUCGGCGAGGGACAGCGGAGAGCUCACCUUGGCCGAAAAUGGGGAGAAAGCUCGCCCAUUUCGGCUAAGGGACCCCUUUAUAGGUGGCUGGCCAUGCCACAUUCGGGAGCCGAACGUGCCUCUGCAUGCAUGCCAUGUUCGGCGGCCGAACAUAAGGUUCAGCGGCCGAACCUGGACUUCCCUCACCUAUGCUUUCGGGGGCCUAAAGCACUCCCGAAGUGCAUGCAUGUUCGGCGCCCGAACUUGAGGUUCGGCGGCCGAACCUGAGUUUUUCUCCAAGGAAAUUUUCAUGCAAAAACUCAUUUUCUUUCUUGCUUAAAACAUAAAAUGCAUUUAAAACAUCUUAUAAAAACAUAGUUUUACCCUUCUAGAGGUCUCUGACACCCGAAAUUCCACCGGACGGUAGGAAUUCCGAUACCGGAGUCUAGCCGGGUAUUACAGCGGAUGCGGCAGAAAUUCACCUUGAUGAAGCUUUAGAGCAGUUGUCCUCCCUGGAAGAGAUCUGGCGAGAGAGGGACGAGGCCGUGAGCCGGAGGGAUGAGCUUCGGCACCAGCACGAGUCGUUGAAGGCAGAUUUUGAUGCCGUGCUAGCUCAGGAGGAUGAAGCCCUAGCUCGAGUUGUCGUCCUCGAGCAAGAGCUGCUCAAGCGUGCCGAUAAUGAAAAAGACUUGGCUCUGGCAGCAGAAGCAUCUAGGCUUCAAAUCCAGCAUCUCUGCUAAGAAGUCGAGGCUCUUAAAAAGAGGUGUUCAGCCUUGCUUGAGGAUGCCAAGCAUGCUGAGGAUAGAGUCCAGUUGGAGUGUGAGGAGCGGCUGAGGGAGUACAAGGAGUCAGCCGAGCUGAAGAGAGAGAUUGAACAGGCAUGUGAAGCUCAUCUCCAAAGUUAUAAGGACUCUUUUGAGUUGAAGGCCAAGAUAGCUGAGGCCUGCGAGGAGCGACUUGCGGAAUUCAAAGCCUCUGGUGAGAUGAAGCAUGCAAUAUGGCAGAAGGGCUUCCGCAUGUUCGUCUCCGGUUUCAAUCGGGGCUUAAGGGAAGCCAGGUAUGCCCCUUCCACCCCGUUAGCUGAACUCCGAGCUGCUGAGGAAGACUUCGAUGGCGAGGAGGUGCUUUACGGGGAGGAUGACAGACCCUUGCCCAAAGGAGCUCCUCAUACUGCAACUGGGUUUCCUGAAGAAGAUGUCGAGCUAGGGGAGGAAAGUGAAGAAGGAAACAGCCAGUCCACAGAGGCUGAUGCCAUACCUCAGGGGGAAGAUGCAGGGCCCCAAUGAGGGGAAAUUGUACCAUUUGUAGAUAGUAGUGUAGGUACUUAUGUAAAUAAUGAGGCUCCUAGGCAUGUAAGUCCUUUAAGGAUAAUUUUUCCUCCAGUAGUUAUAGAUGACUAAAUAGGUUGUAAUUCUUAUUUUUCUUUUAAUGAAAUUUAACUUCUGCUUAUAUUUACAUUUGAAUCGCUUCUUCUUUUAUUUGUUUUUCUGGCUUUACCGAACUACUCAAUCUGUAAAAAGCCUAAUAUGUUAAGAAUAAAACAUUUAAGCCAUGUGCUCAAUGAUUUUUCUAAGGAAUCAACUAUACUAUUUUUUAUUUCUUGCCCUUGAGCUAAUCAGGGCUAAAAUUCUAGCAAUUGACGAAACUUAUAACUUAUGAAUUUUUCCAAUCUCGCAAAGGCAUUCUUAUUAAUUUUUUAUUUUGUUAACUCGUCCAUAAUACGAGCUCGAACAUAUAAUACUUGUAUAACCAAAGUGAAAUGGAUCAUGUACCUUUUCAAGUGAUGAGCAGAGCUGGCCUUUUUGUUUUUAGUUCUAUUCAGAUAGGAUAUGAGGCUGGGGCCUUGUCUGCUCAUGCCUUAGAUUUCCUCUUGCUCCAUGGGUUGGAGGGAAUUCGUGACUUCCACUUUACCCCUCUGGCUUUCUUGAAUUUAGUUAUUUUCUUGCUUGACUCGUCAGAGCUCAGAUUUAUGUAUCUUAAUUUGUGUUUCAGCCCUUUCCAGUCCUGCCUUGUUCUCUUGUGAUUUUUGAAUUUAUUCAAGGCACCGUGGCUUUACUGUCGUUUCAUCUUCUUAGCCGGUUUUGUGGUGCCGGGGGCACUUGGGGAGCUCGGUCACCUACCUGACUGAGGUCUUGCGCAAGAUUCAGGCUCUUUGGCCUUACUGUUGCUUCAUCAUCUCAGCCGAUUUUGUGGUGCCGGGGGCACUUGGGGAGCCCAGUCACCUACCUCACUGAGGUCUUGUGCAAGAUUCAGGCUCUUUGGUCUUACUGUCACUUCAUCAUCUCAGCGGGUUUUGUGGCGCCGGGGGCACUUGGGGAGCCCGGUCACNNNNNNNNNNNNNNNNNNNNNNNNNNNNNNNNNNNNNNNNNNNNNNNNNNNNNNNNNNNNNNNNNNNNNNNNNNNNNNNNNNNNNNNNNNNNNNNNNNNNNNNNNNNNNNNNNNNNNNNNNNNNNNNNNNNNNNNNNNNNNNNNNNNNNNNNNNNNNNNNNNNNNNNNNNNNNNNNNNNNNNNNNNNNNNNNNNNNNNNNNNNNNNNNNNNNNNNNNNNNNNNNNNNNNNNNNNNNNNNNNNNNNNNNNNNNNNNNNNNNNNNNNNNNNNNNNNNNNNNNNNNNNNNNNNNNNNNNNNNNNNNNNNNNNNNNNNNNNNNNNNNNNNNNNNNNNNNNNNNNNNNNNNNNNNNNNNNNNNNNNNNNNNNNNNNNNNNNNNNNNNNNNNNNNNNNNNNNNNNNNNNNNNNNNNNNNNNNNNNNNNNNNNNNNNNNNNNNNNNNNNNNNNNNNNNNNNNNNNNNNNNNNNNNNNNNNNNNNNNNNNNNNNNNNNNNNNNNNNNNNNNNNNNNNNNNNNNNNNNNNNNNNNNNNNNNNNNNNNNNNNNNNNNNNNNNNNNNNNNNNNNNNNNNNNNNNNNNNNNNNNNNNNNNNNNNNNNNNNNNNNNNNNNNNNNNNNNNNNNNNNNNNNNNNNNNNNNNNNNNNNNNNNNNNNNNNNNNNNNNNNNNNNNNNNNNNNNNNNNNNNNNNNNNNNNNNNNNNNNNNNNNNNNNNGGGGCGCUUGGGGAGCCCGGUCACCUACCUGACUUAGGUCUUGAACAAGACUCAGGCACUGUGGCCUUACUGUUGCUUCAUCAUCUCAGCUCAGUUUUUUGGUGCCGGGGGCGCUUGGGAAGCUUGGUCACCUACCUCAUUGAGGUCUUGAACAAGAUUUAGGCUCUGUGGCCUUACUGUCGCUUCGUCAUCUCAGCCGGUUUAAUGGUGCCGGGGGCGCUUGGGGAGCCCGGUCACCUGCCUCACUGAGGUCUUGCGCAAGAUUCAGGCAAUAUGGCCUUACUGUCGCUUCGUCAUCUCAGCCAGUUUAAUGGUGCCAGGGGCGCUUGGGGAGCCCGGUCACCUACCUCACUGAGGUCUUGAGCAAGAUUCAGGCAUUUUGGCCUUAAUGUCGCUUCAUCAUCUCAGCUCGGUUUUUUGGUGCCGGGGGCGCUUGGGGAGCCUGAUCACCUACCUGACUGAGGUCUUAAACCUUUGUGCCUGUUUUAUUUUUCUUUUCUGUUUCUUUCAAUGGAAACAAUGUAAGUUGUGGUAAAUAAAGAAUUGGACGAUAACAACGUCUAUUUUAUUCCUAUGCUUUAAAAUACAAUCAAUCUUCUUACAUUUGGUAACAUUUUAAAGGAAGUACCUUUUCAAAUGUUGGAUAUUCCAAGCAUGAGGCUCAGGGUUUCCCUGCAUGUCCUCAAUUCGAUACACCCCUGGUUUGACCACUUUUAUUAUUCUGAAAUGACCCUCCCAGGUCGGCGCCAGCUUUCCUACUGCCGCUCUCUUUCCAGUAGCUUCCAGAUUUCUCAAGGCUAGAUCUCCUACCUUCAGGCUUCUUUCUCUGACCCUUUUAUUGUAAUAACGAACCGCUCACUGUUGAUAGGUGGCUGUACGGACUUGAGCUUCCUCCUUGACUUCUUCCAGGGCAUCCAGGUUACUUCUCAGUUUAUCACUGUUGGCAUUCUCGUCAUUGAACUGGACUCGAUGUAUAGGGACUUGUAGCUCCAUUGGAACUACGACCUCAGUGCCAAAUGCAAGUGCCUAAGGCGUCUCUUUGGUGGACGUCAUGGGGGUAGUUCGGAGUGCCCACAGGAUACUGUUGAGUUCAUUAGCCCAAUUUGCCUUAGCUCCAUCGAGUCGCUUCUUCAGUCCUUAGAGGAUAGCUCUGUUAGUGACCUCUGUUUGGCCGUUGGUCUGAAGGUGGGCCACUGAGGAGAAUUUAUGCCAGAUGCCCAUAUUUCUUGUAAAUUCUCUGAAGGCACUGCAGUCAAAUUGUCUGUCAUUAUCUGAUAUGAGCACUCUUGGUACCCAAAAUCUGCAUAUGAUGUUGCCCCAGACAAAGUCUAUCAUUUUUUUGGCUGUAAUUGUGAGGAUUGCCUCUACCUCCAGCCAUUUUGAGAAGUACUCCACGGCCACCACUAUAAACUUCUUCUGCCCCGUGGUUUUAGGAAAAGGUCCCAGGAUAUCUAUGCCCCACUGUGAGAAUGGCCAUGGGCUAGAUAUGCUGGACUGAGGGGUGGCUGGUACGUUGAUGGCGUUGGCAAACCUCUGGCAUACAUCGCAUCUUCGGACAAACUCUUCAGCUUCUUUUUUAACGGUGGGCCAGUAAUACCCUUGCCUGAAUAUCUUAUUUGCCAGCGUUCCCGCUCCUUCAUGAGCUCCACACAUUCCCCGGUGUAUUUCCUCCAUCACCUUUAUUGCCUCUUCCGAGCUCACACAUCGGAGCCAUGGGCUGGAUUUUCCUCUUCUGUAUAAGGUCCCCCUUACUGCUUGGUAAUUGGCAGCUCGAGCAGCUAUUCUCUUUGCCUCAUCCUUGUCUUCAGGGAGCUUUCACUUCUCAAGGUAUUCCAGGUAUGGGGUCAUCCAACUUUGGCCUUGCUUAACCUGCAUUACAGUGGCCGUUUUGUUAAAAGCAGGUAUGCUAAUGUGUUGUAUGUAUACCUCGUCAGGGAGCUACUCUAGCUCCUCUUUAGACAAUCGGCUAAGCAGGUCUGCCUCCUCAUUCUCCUCCUGAGGUAUUCUCUGGUAUCUGACUGUGAUUCCCCGACUCUUGAGCUCGGCUUCUAUGGCCUUUACCUUUGCCAGGUAAUUCUGCAUAGUAGGGUCUUUGGCCUGAUAUGCCCCUGUUAUCUGAUUGAUCACUAGCUGGGAGUCACUAUUCACCUCGAGAUCAGUUGCCCCUACCUCCAUUGCUACCAGCAUUCUAUUUAUCAGGGCCUCGUAUUCUGCUACAUUGUUAGAGGCUUUGAACUCUAGGCGCAGAGCGUAGCAAACUUUGAAUCCUUCAGGUCCCUUCAACAUUAUCCCAGCGCCACUGCCCCCAGCGCCGGAUGCCCCAUCUACAUACAGCUUCCAACUGAAUUCUUGAGAGGGCUGCCCUUCUCUCUCGUUCCCCAACGCUUCCAAAGAUGACUCACCCGGUUCCGUCUGCUCUUCAUUGAAAGAGCACUCUGCUAUGAAGUUAGCAAGGGCUUGAGAUUUUAUGGUGGUCCGAGGUCGGUACUGUAAGCAGUAAGGGCUAAUCUCAAUGGACCAAGCGAGCAUUCGGCCUGAAGUUUUCGGCCUGUGGAGGAUCUUCUUCAACGGCUGGUCUAUCAUCACUACACCUUGGUGGCUUUCUAAAUAAACUCUGAAUUUUUUGAAUGCCAGCAACAGAGCAUAUGUUAUUUUUUCAAUGUUCAGGUAUCUCACCUCGGCAUCUUUGAGCACUUUGCUGACAUAGAAAACAGGCUUCUGUUCUGCUCCUUCCACUCUCACCAAUAUGGCACUAAUGGCUUGCUCUGAGGCCAAUAAGUAGAUCAGGAGCUCUUCUCCUUCCAACGGGUGUAAUACCCGGCUAGACUCCGGUAUUGGAAUUCCUACCGUCCGAUGGAAUCUCGGAUGUCGGAAACCUCUAGAAGGGUAAAAUCAUGUUUUUAGAAAAUGUUUUAAUGUAUUUUAUGGUUUUAAGUAAGAAAGAAAUUAAGUUUUGAAUGAAAAAGACCAUGGAGGCAUUUCCAGGUUCGGCCGCCGAACAUUGGGUAGUUUAGGGGGGCAAGUUAGGCUCCCGAAAGUGGCUCAGGUUCGGCCGCUGAACCCCAUGUUCGGCCGCCGAACUUGCAUGAGUUUCGGAGGCACUUUAGGCUUCCGAAGGUGGUCUGGCCAGCCCCUAUAUAAGGACCCCAUGGCUGAAACGGGCGAGCUUUCUCCCCUAUUUUCGGCCAACGGUGAGUCCAUGCUCCCCCAUGGUUGGUUUUGUUGAUUUUCCUCCAAUCUUUCAAGUUUUAAUGAGUUUUCACCUUGUUUUGAAGAUUUUUUGAGCAAAGAGCAAGUUUUGAAACUUGGAGGUUCUAGGAGCUCGAUCUCUCCUAUAAUACCCGGCUAGAGUCCGGUAUCGGAAUUCCUGUAGUCUGGUGGAAUCUUGGAUGUCAGAACCCUCUAGAAGGGUAGUACAUAUGUUUUCUAAAGUAUUUUGACUUGUUUUAAUGUUUUAAAGUGUAAAGGAAAUGAGUUUUUGAAAGAAAAGCACCAAGGAAGAAAAGCCAAGUUCGGCCGCCGAAGGUGACUUUUGGCCGCCGAACAUGCAUGGCUUUCGGGAGCACGUUUGGCCGCCGAAGGUGGUCUGGCCAGCCACCUAUAAAAGGCCAAAGGUUAGUGGAUGGAUAAGAUUUUCCUUCCAUUCCCACUCACAGAGGUGAGAUCACUUCAAGUUUUCUUCAAAUCUUUCAAAGUUUAAGUAGUUUUUGUGUUGAUUUGAAGGUUUUGAGCAAAAGAGCAAAGUUUGGAAGCUUGGAGCUUUGUGAGCAAGUUUCUCCAUAUCUCCACGUUGGGAUCGCCUAUCCUCUAGUUCUUCAAGAGGUAAGUGUAGAUCCUUAGCUUCUAACAUGUUUUCUAAAGGUUUUAUGGAGUUUUUAUGGGUAGAGAUGCAUGUUUAGGUUAAGUAGGUUUUAUGUGAGUUUUGUGUAAAAGUAUGUUUAUGUAUUGUGUUGAUGUUAUUGCUUGGGGUUUUAAGUUAGUUUUGGACCCCUUUGUGCAUAUACAUGAGUAUAUGCUAGUUGUGGUUUGGUUGGUUGCAUGUUUGAGUGUGUUUGGGGGAAGUUGUGCAUGAAAAGAGCAGGAUUCUGCCUGAUUGGAAAAUCCAGUUUCGGCCGCCAAAGGAAGGUUCAGCCGCCGAAUGUGCUAAGGAGGUGGUUUCGGCUGCCCAAUCUCGCCCUCGAAAGUUUGGACUUUCGGCUCUGGAGGGGAGUUUCGGCCGCCGAAGGUGCCGCCGAAGGUUGUGGACUUUCGGCUUUGGAGUGUGUUUCAGCCCCCGAACCUUGCCCCCGAAAGCUAGGCUUUCGAUUUGAGAAGGGACUUUUGGCUGCCGAAAGUAGAAGUUUGGCCGCCGAAAGUGCAUGAGUUUCGUCUCUGGAGAGGACUUUCGGCCGCCGAACCUGCCGCCGAAAGUGCCCUGUCCAGCCUUCCUUUGCAUGCUUUAUGUGAUUGUUUCAGGAUGUAUUAGAGGGGUUUUGGGGAGUUUUAUAGAGAUGUUCUUGAGCUAGUUUGGUCCCUCAUUUGAGUCCACCUGUGUAGGUUCGGACCCGAGAAACCGAGGAGAUCAGCAGUGUUAGCUGCUUCAGAGUCUUCAGAGUCAGUACAGAGUCAGCCAGAGGUGAGUGAAACUAAACUUAAUCUUUUAAUAUGGGAAAUUCAAUAUUUUUAGCAUGUUCAUGCAUCAUGAUGAUAUGUAGUAGGUUGAUUGCACUAGUUUCACGAAUAUGGCGCAUUGCAUAAUAUGUUGAUGAUGUGGAUGGACCAAGGUGACUCCAUUAGCCCUAGAGAUGUUGUAAGACCUGGCCGGGCCAGGAAUAUUGAAAGUCAUGUGUGAGCCCUUUAAGAGCCGGGCAACUGUAUGCGAAAGUCCUAUGUGAGCUCUUUGGGGGCCGGGCACCUGUAUGUGAAAGUCCUGUGUGAGCUCUCUGUGGGUCGGGCAUUAUGAGGGAGUUUUGGUGGUCAUGUCCAUCCGUGAGGUGAAAUGUUUGUGCUGUGGCGCAUUUCAUGAGAGCAUGUUUUAUCACCUAUUUUCAUUACUGUUCUACUCACUGGGCUAUAGUAGCUCACCCCACUCCCUUAACCCCAGUCUUGCAGGUUUAGGGUGCAGGGAAAGUUCAGCAGGGUACAGGAAGAGAAAGAGUAAAGAGACGUGUAAUUGUAUAGUGUGGACAUGCAAUGUUAUAAAGAGAGGUUAUAGUUUUGUACAGAGUUUUGUAUAGAAUGUGCUUGACCCAUAUGUAAUGUAAAUCCCUUUUUGUAUACAUGGUCUGUUUUAUGUAUAUGUUUAGUUGAUGAGUAAGGAUGACCAGGUUUAACAUAUACUGUGUGGACUCAGCUAGAGCUUUGAUGAAUGCUCUGGCAAGGGGUCUGUGUACAGAGUUAGUGCAUGCACAGGUUAAACCAUGGUACAGAGCAGAGUUUUACAGUUUUUACAGGAUAUGUAUGAUCAUGUAUGGGAUUUUACAGGUACACAAAGAGUAUAGCAGGCUUGCUACGGGUCCCGGCGGCCUUAAGCCGAUCUGGAUCCUAGUGCCGGUAGCGGUCCGGUUUUCGGGUCGUUACAUCUCCCAUCUCCGAGUUGGAUCGUCUUUCCUCUCGUUUCUUCAAGAGGUAAGCUUAGAUCCACUCUUCUUGUAUGUUUUAAACAAGGUUUAUGGGGUAGAGAUGCAUGAUUAAGUUAGAUGUUUGAUGUUAGGAUGUAUGUAGAGUUUAUGUGCAAUGUGGGUUGUUUUUGUUGUUAAAUGUGUUGUUGUUGGGGGUUUAAGUUAGUUUGAGGCCCCUAAAUGCUUGUGUGAAUGUGUAUGCUUGUUUUGGGAGAGUUGAAUACUUGAUUGGAAGGUUUGGGAGGCUUUUGUGCAUGUUGGAGCUGAGUUUCUGCCACUUUGGGAGAACUCAGGUUCGGCAGCCAAAGGGACUUUCGGCCGCCGAACCUGCCUGUGAAGGCAAGCUUUCGGCUGCCGAAUCCUGCCCCCGAAAGAGGACUUUCAUCUCUGGAAGGGACUUUCGGCCGCCGGAGGUGCCGCCGAACAUGCAUGAGUUUCGUCUCUGGAGAGGACUUUCGGCCGCCGAAGGUGCCGCCAAAAGUCACUGAGUUUCGGCUCUAGAGGGACUUUCGACCGCCGAACCUGCCGCCGAAAGUGCCCUGUUCAGCCAUCCUUUGUAUGAUUUUCAUGAUUGUUUCAAGGUAUUUUAGGGGGUUUUUGGGGAGUAUUUUAGAGUCAUGUUCAUGUAUGUUUGGUCCCUCAUUGAGUCCACCUAUGUAGGUUCGGACCUGAGGAACCGAGGACCCCAUCAGUGAGAUAGGUGCUUCAGUGUCUUGUUAGAGCUAGCUUGAGGUGAGUAGAAUAAACCCUUAUGUUUUAAAGCAAAUAAAUAUAAAUUUUGAGCAUGUUCAUGCAUCACGAAUGCCAUGUGAUAUUUUAGGUUGUUUGCAUUAGAAUUCACGAAUAUAUUGCAUUGCAUAAUUUGAUGAUGAUGUGGAUGGACGUUGGAUGAUCCUUUAGUCCUCGAUAUGAUACGAUGCGAUAUGAUAUGGUAUGUUAUGGUAUGAAAGUCCGGUUGACCCAUUUUACAUCCCGGCACUAUGUAAGAGAAAGUCCGGUUGACCCCUUCUACGUCCUGGCACCUUGGAAUGUAGAGGACUAUUGAUGACAAUAUCUGUUGGGAAAUCUCGAGAUUAUUGCAACCCAGUUACGCAGCGGAAAAAUAAAAUCUCUGUUGAUUUCCUUUCCCAGAAUCUGAGUGCUUCGUUUAAUUAAUAAGAUAGAUAUGAGACUAACUUGUUAAUCUCGUCAAGAAGAAACAAUGUUGGACUGAUGGUGCUGCUUUUUCAAACGAACACCCUCUAUGGUAUCCACACGAACGUCUUCUAUCCUUCUAGAGUGCUAGCUCUCUCAAAGAUAGAUAGAUUAUGUGCUCCACAAUCUGCAAUCUUUUAGACUGAGUUUUCUCAAAAACACAUUCCUUCCACAAUUCGUAGAAGGGGUAUUUAUAUGUUUCAGUCUUUUGUUUUUCCACAAAUCUUUUUCCUAAAAGAAGUUGUGUUUUUCCACAAAUCCUUUUCCUAAAAGGAGUUGUGUUUUUCCCACAAAUCCUUUUCCUAAAAGGAGUUGUGUUCAUAACCAACUAUCACAAUCUCGCAGAUACUCAAAUAUCUUAUGUGAUAGAGUCCUUUAUCUGUAACAGUUACAGAUAGACUGCAGAUCUUUUAAAUAUUAUUAUCUCAUAAUAAUAAAUGAUUAAUAAUAAUAAUAUUUUAUUAUUAUUAAUUAUAUUAAUAAUUAAUAUUAAUAAUAAUAACACUUAUUAUUAUUAAUUAUAUUAAUAAUUAAUAUCAAUAAUAAUACUUUAUUAUUAUUAAAUAUAUUAAUAAUAAUAACACUUUAUUAUUAUUAAUUAUAUUAAUGGGCUUUGGGCUUUUAACCCAUUAAUAUGACAUAGCACAUCAACAACGUUCUUUUGUGUGUGACCCAAUAGGCUCACAUUAAUUAGCAAUAGGCCCAGUCCCACAAGGCCCAUAAGUUAUAAGUGACCUCUAGUAAGACAUUAUGACUACCCAACUAAUAUGAGGAUCAAUAGUCCAAUAAAACCUAAUAAAUAGAACAUAAAUUAAUUCCUUUGUCACACGAUAUCUAGUUUGAAUAUAAGUCAUGGUCAAUGUCAAACUUAUAAUGUUUAAACUUAUGAUUUCUCGAUCUCCAAGUAGACUGAUAAAUUCAAAUGAUAUUGAUCACACUAUCAAUUUAUUUGAGCACGGCCAUGCAUUUCUCAGUCUCACUCAUCGAGGGGUCCAGAAGAUAUCUCUCUCAUAGAGAGGGACAAAUCCUAUCUUGAUUGUUCAUUUUUCUCUACAUAAUUUCUAUUAUGCUCAAUCAUAACCUUUAUGAUUGUCCGAUUAAAGACAAUGUUUGGUUAUGUCAAAACAUAACAGUCCUUAUAUUGAAAACUAUGACAAUCUCAAGUCAAAUGAUUAAGACAUAACUAUUUUGAGAUUCACUUAUGACAAUGACCCAUGUAGUGAUCUCAAUGCGGGUCCAUCCAAUACUUUGUUCUCUAACAAGUAUUUAUGAUUAUUGAAUUAUAUCAACAUAUACAUAAUCAUCUCAUGAUUAUCAAUCAAUAAUCAUACCAGUUAUAUUUUAUUAUUAUCAACAUAAUAAUAAGUAACCAGGGAUGAUAAUCAUUAUUAUGUAACAUGCAAACAAAUAAUAAUGAUAAAAACCUCUUUUAUUAAUAACCAAAAUGACAUACAAAAAGGUCCAAGAUAAUGGCCUAGGGCAUAUACACUAACAAUCUCCCACUUGCACUAGGCCUAAUCAUACAAGUAUCUAAUAUCCGUAGACCUAGUGUGCUGAUCAUGCUUGACCUGUGAAAGAGGCUUGGUCAGUGGAUUUGCAAUGUUGUCAUUUGUGUCUACUUUGCAUAUUUUGAUAUCUCCUUUAUUAAUGAUCUCUCGAAUAAGGUGAUAUCACUUGAGUAUAUGUUUAGAUCUCUGGUGAGAUCUGGGCUCCUUUGCCUAUGCUAUGGCACCGUUAUUACCGUAAUAAAGGUCCAUAGGAUUUGCAAUGCUGGGAACCAUUUCCAACUCUGAGAUGAAUUCCUUCAACCAGACUGCCCUUUUAGCCAUCUAAUGCUACUAUAUACUCAGCUUCUAUUGUAGAAUCUGUUAUAGUGCUCUGCUUGGAACUCUUCCAACUAACAAUUCCACCAUUUAAAGUGAAUACGAAUCUUGACUGCGAUUUGAAGUCAUCUAUGUUGGUUUGGAAACUAGCAUCUGUGUAACCACUUACAACUAGCUCAUCUUCCAAACCUCCAUAAACUAGGAAUGCAUCCUUAGUCCUUUUAAGGUACUUUAGAAUAUUCUUAACAGUUAUCCAGUGACUUUCACUGGGAUCUGCCUGAUAUCUGCUUGUUGUGCUCAAGGCAUAUGAGACGUCUGGUCUAGUACAUAACAUGACAUAUAUGAUAGAUCCAAUAGCAGAAGCAUAAGGGAUCUUAUUCAUUCUUUCUCGCUCAUCAGAUGUCAUAGGACAUUGAUUCUUGCUAAGAUGAAUACCAUGAGACAUGGGCAAGAAUCCUCUUUUGGAAUCUUGCAUGCUGAACCUUUUCAGCACCUUGUCAAUAUAAGUACUUUGACUCAGACCGAUUAUCCUCUUGGAUUUAUCCCUAUAGAUCUUAAUACCAAGGAUAUAUGCGGCCUCACCUAAGUCCUUCAUUGAAAAAGAAUUCCCAAACCAAGUCUUAACCUUUUGCAAGGUAGGGAUAUCAUUUCCAAUGAGUAAUAUGUCAUCCACAUAUAGGACUAGAAACACAACUGCACUCCCACUAACCAUCUUGUAAACACAAGGUUCAUCUUCAUUCUUGAUGAAUCCAAAGUCCCUGACUGUCUCAUCAAAAUGAAGAUUCCAGCUCCGAGAAGCUUGCUUCAAUCCAUAAAUGAAUCUCUGAAGCUUGCAGAUCUUUCUAGAAUUCUCAGGGAUUACAAAACUCUUAGGUUGUGUCAUGUACACAUCCUCGAGCAAAAGUUCACGACUGUCAGUCAUGAGAAAUCCAUAUCUCUCAGGCUGAUGACGUGUCCUAUCAGAUCUGCGUGGGACUUGUGUCUCCCUUUCAGUUUUCACAACUGUUUGUGGUUCUGAAGGUGGUUCUACCAGCGGUUCAAUGCUCUUUUGUGGUACUCGAGUUUCCUCAAGUCGCACUGUACUCCCACUGAAUCUCUGAGAGAUAAAUUUCUUUUUUCAAAAAGGUACCAUUUCGAGCAACAAACACUUUGUUCUCUGAGGGAAUAUAGAAAUAGUAUCCUUUGGUUUCCUUAGGAUACCUCACAAAAUUGCACUUGAUAUAUUUUGGAGCUAGCUUAUCUGAACAUUUCACAUAAGCCUCACAACCCCAAAUCUUAAGGAAAGACAAACUGGGCAUUUUGCCAGUCCAUAACUCAUAUGGUGUCUUUUCAACCGCUUUCGAUGGUACUUGGUUUAAAAUAAAUGCAGCUGUUUCCAAGGCAUAACCCCAAAACGAUAAAGGGAGAUUUGUUUGACUCAUCAUAGAUCGAACCAUAUCUAAUAAAGUUCGAUUUCUCCUUUCAGAAACACCAUUCCAUUGAGGAGUUUCUGAAGGAGUCAAUUGUGAAACAAUUCCACAGUUUCUAAGAUGUUCAUCAAACUCUUGGCUCAAAUAUUCACCACCUCCAUCAGAUCGAAGCAUCUUAAUAGUUCUACCAAGUUGAUUUUGUACUUCAUUUUGAAAAAUUCUAAACAUUUCAAAAGAUUCAUGCUUAUGUUUCAUUAGGUAGACAUAGCCAUAUCUACUGAAAUCAUCAAUGAAUGUAAUGAAGUAUUGAUAACCUCCCCUAGCACUAAUGCUUAGUGGGCCACAUACAUCUGUAUGUAUUAAGCCCAAUAAGUCUGAAGCCCUUUGACCUUGUCUAGUAAAAGGGUCCUUUGUCAUCUUACCUAGCAAACAAGAUUCACAAUUUUCAAAUGAUUCAAAAUCAAAUGAAUCUAAUAAACCAUCUUUAUGGAGUUUAGAUAUGCGAUUCUCAUUUAUAUGGCUAAGACGACAGUGCCAUAAAUAUGUUGGGUUUAACUCAUUUGGCUUAGUUUUCUUAGAAGUUAUGUUAUAGAUAUUGUUGUCUCUAGAAUCAUCUAGAUUAAGGACAUAAAGGCCAUCAUAUGAAUUUGCAAUACAAUAAAGCAAAUCAUCUUUAUUAAUGGAGCAUUUCUUAUCUUAAUAAGAAAUGAAAAACCUUCAUCGUCCAAAACAGAAACUGAAAUAAUAUUCUUACUCAAAGUAGGAACAUAAAAGCAAUUGUUCAGAACUAACAAAAACCCAUUGGGCAACACAAGUUCAUAUGUCCCUACAGCUAUGGCAGCAACUCUUGCUCCAUUGCCUACACGUAGGUCCACAUCGCCCUUUUUCAGUUUUCUACUCCUUUUGAGACUCUGCACAUUUGUACAAAUGUGAGAACCAUAUCCGGUAUCUAAUACCCAUGAAGUAGAAAUAGAUAAAUUAAUAUCUAUAACAUAAAUACCUGAAAUCGUAGUUUCACUACUCUUCUUCUUCUUGCACUCAUCCAAAUAGAGUUUGCAAUUUCUCUUCCAAUGCCCUGGUUACAAUGGAAGCAGAUUCCUUUGCUUAGGAACUAUUUCCUUAGGAACUUUUAUUUUGGAUUGCCAUUUAGGCUUGCCUCGUCUCUUAGGCCCAUUACCACCUUUAGACUUGGGCUUCCCCUUAUUUUUCAUGGGCUUACCCUUAUUGACAUUCAAAAUUUGGGUAGGCCUUUUCUUGAUAUUUACCUCAGCUGUCUUUAGCAUCCCAUGCAGCUCAGGAAUGGAUUUCUCCAUAUUGUUCAUGUUAUAGUUCAUGAAAAACUGAGAAAAACUGCCAGGUAAAGAAUGUAGGAUCAAAUCCGUGGAGAAUUCUAAACUCAGAGGAUAGCCAAGCCUAGAAAGGUGAUCAAUGUAGCCUUUCAUCUUUAAAACAUGAGCACUAACUGAAUCACCUUCAGUCAUUUUGCAAUCAUGCAAUGCGAUGGUGGUUUCAUACCUGUCCUGCCUAGCUUGCUGUUGGAAAGCCUGUUUGAGAUGGACACUCAUCUCAUAGGCCUCAAGGUGCUCUAGAUCCUUCUGAAGUUCUGGGCACAUAGUUAUCAACAUAAGACAUCCAAUGUCAUUAGAAUCAUCCAUAUGCUUCUUAUGCUUGUUCUUAACAGCAUUAGUAGCAUCAGCAGGAGGUGGUUCAGGGACAGCUUCAUCAAGCACGUAGGACUUUUUCUCUUGCUUGAGAACAAUUCUCAAGUUUCUAAACCAGUCAACAAAAUUAGUUUCAUUUUCUUUCAGUUUAUCCUUCUCAAGGAUAGAUCGCAGUGAUAAGGUGGAAUUGUUAUUAACAGCCAUAAUUAUCUACAAAAAUAUGCAAACAUAAUUAAUUUAGUAAACAAAUUAAUAUUAAGGUGAUAAUAAUCUCCCACUAAAAUAUAACCCUCAAAAUAAUAAUAUUUUAGUGGGCUAAAAUCCAUAUUUCACCUAAUUCUAAGUCAGCUUUGGCAUGACGCUUAGAAUUAAGUUAUUUAGGUAGGUAACUCCUUACCAAUUACAUCUAAUGUAACUCUUAAAUUAUAAGGUGUUGACAUCAUAUAUCAAAUGCAUGUUUUACCCCAUCUAAUGCUUUAGGCCCAAAACCCUUUUUAUAGCCUAAUUAAGCUCAACCAAAAUUAAAUAAAUGAGUAACCAUUACUCAUCCUAUCUUACUAGGAUAACCUAAUGCACUUUGCUUUGGCAAAACCUGCAUUUUGGUGAUCUUAAUCUUGAUAGGUAUUUAAUAUAUGGGUAGCAUUAAAACUUAAAAUUUUAGAGUGAGGGUUCAAUAUUUUUAAUUUUUAAUUAUUUUGUCUUGCAUAUAUAUAUCAUAGCAUCUUAUAUAUAUAUAUAUAUAUAUAGACUUCAUGCAUAGUAUCUCAUACUAAUAAAUAACAAAAUAAUAAAAUAUAGUCAUUUAAAUCUAAUUUAAAGACUAAAAAAAAAUAAUUUUANNNNNNNNNNNNNNNNNNNNNNNNNNNNNNNNNNNNNNNNNNNNNNNNNNNNNNNNNNNNNNNNNNNNNNNNNNNNNNNNNNNNNNNNNNNNNNNNNNNNNNNNNNNNNNNNNNNNNNNNNNNNNNNNNNNNNNNNNNNNNNNNNNNNNNNNNNNNNNNNNNNNNNNNNNNNNNNNNNNNNNNNNNNNNNNNNNNNNNNNNNNNNNNNNNNNNNNNNNNNNNNNNNNNNNNNNNNNNNNNNNNNNNNNNNNNNNNNNNNNNNNNNNNNNNNNNNNNNNNNNNNNNNNNNNNNNNNNNNNNNNNNNNNNNNNNNNNNNNNNNNNNNNNNNNNNNNNNNNNNNNNNNNNNNNNNNNNNNNNNNNNNNNNNNNNNNNNNNNNNNNNNNNNNNNNNNNNNNNNNNNNNNNNNNNNNNNNNNNNNNNNNNNNNNNNNNNNNNNNNNNNNNNNNACAUAUAUAUAUAUACAUAUACAUAUAUAUAUACAUAUACAUAUAUAUAUAUACAUAUACAUAUAUAUAUAUAUAUACAUAUAUAUAUAUAUAUACAUAAAAUAAUGCAUAGUAUCUCAUACUAAUAAAAUAGUCAUUUAAAUCUGAUUUAAAGACUGAAAAUAAUAAUAAAAUAUAAUUAUUUAAAUCUAAUUUAAAAAUUAAAAAAAUUAUUUUAAAAAUUAUUUUAUUAUUAUUAUUAUUUUUUUAUUAUUUUCAUGGGCAGAAUUGUAAUUAGAAUUUCUUCUUCCUAAACAUAAACCCUAGCCACCGCACACUGUCAUCACAGCAGCCGACCAACAUUCCUCCUCAGCCGCACCAUCACCAGGCGUCACCAGCGACCAACACACAACAAUUGUCCAUGGAUGCGUGCAGCGUCAUGGCCAUCACGUGGGUUGGCGUCCUUAGUGAUUUAUGGGUUCACGAUGUUGUUCAUCGUGAAUCCAAAUUUUCCUUUUUAUUUUUAUUUAUUUUUUUUUAAUAAUUUAAUUUUUUUUAACAAAAAUUAAAAUUGUCUAAAUGAUCCAAUCAUUCAUCCAUAAUUCUCAUAUCAUUCUAAUAAAUAUAUAUCACAUAUAUAAUAUCAAUGAUGGCAUAAUUAAUUUAAACGAAAAGCACAACCUGACUCUAAUACCACUGUUGGGAAAUCUCGAGAUUAUUGCAACCCAGUUACGCAGCGGAAAAAUAAAAUCUCUGUUGAUUUUCUUUCCUAGAAUCCGAGUGUUUCGUUUAAUUAAUAAGAUAGAUAUGAGACUAACCUGUUAAUCUCGUCAAGAAGAAAUAAUUUUGAAUUGAUGGUGCUGCUUUUUCAAACGAACAUCCUCUACGGUAUCCACACGAACGUCUUCUAUCCUUUUAAAGUGCUAGCGCUCUCAAAGAUGGAUAGAUUAUAUGCUCCACAAUCUGUAAUCUUUUAGACUGAAUUUUCUCAAAAACUUCCACAAUUCGUAGAAGGGGUAUUUAUAUGUUUCAGUCUUUUGUUUUUCCACAAAUCCUUUUUCUAAAAUAAGUUGUGUUUUCCCACAAAUCCUUUUCCUAAAAAGAUUUGUGUUUUUCCCACAAAUCAUUUUCCUAAAAGGAGUUGUGUUUUUUCCACAACUACUUUUCCUAAAAGGAGUUGUGUUCAUAACCAACUAUUUCAAUCUCGCAGAUACUCAAAUAUCUUAUGUAAUAUAGUUCUUUAUCUGUAACAGUUACAGAUAGACUGUAGAUCUUUUAAAUACUAUUAUCUCAUAAUAAUAAAUGAUUAAUAAUAAUAACACUUUAUUAUUAUUAAUUAUAUUAAUAAUUAAUAUUAAUAAUAAUAACAAUUAUUAUUAUUAAUUAUAUUAAUAAUUAAUAAUAAUAACACUUUAUUAUUAUUAAUUAUAUUAAUGGGCUUUGGACUUUUAACCCAUUAAUAUGACAUAGCACAUCAACAAUGUAUUUUUGUGUGUGACCCAAUAGGCUCACAUUAAUUGGCAAUAGGCCCAGUCCCACAAGACCCAUAAGUUAUAAGUGGCCUCUAACAAGACAUUAUGACUAAACAACUAAUAUGAGGAUCAAUAGUCUAAUAAAGCCUAAUAAAUAGAAUAUGAAUUAAUCCCUUUGUCACACGAUAUCUAGUUUGAACAUAAGUCAUGGUCAAUGUCAAACUUAUAAUGUUCAAACUUAUGAUUUCUCAAUCUCUAAGUAGACUGAUAAAUUCAAAUGAUAUUGAUCACAUUAUCAAUUCAUUUGAGCACGGCCAUGCAUUUCUCAGUCUCACUCAUCGAGGGGCCUAGAAGAUAUCUCUCUCAUAGAGAGGGACAAAUCCUAUCUUGAUUGUUCAUUUUUCUCUACAUAAUUUCUAUUAUGCUCAAUCAUAACCUUUAUGAUUGUCCGAUUAAAGACAACGUUUGGUUAUGUCAAAACAUAACAAUCCUUAUGUUGGAAACUAUGACAAUCUCAAGUCAAAUGAUUAAGACAUAACUAUUUUGAGAUUCACUUAUGACAAUGACCCAUGUAGUGAUCUCAAUGCGGGUUCAUCCAAUACUUUGUUCUCUAACAAGUAUUUAUGAUUAUUGAAUUAUAUCAACAUAUACAUAAUCAUCUCAUGAUUAUCAAUUAAUAAUCAUACCAGUUAUAUUUUAUUAUUAUCAACAUAAUAAUAAGUAACCAGGGAUGAUAAUCAUUAUUAUGUAACAUGCAAACAAAUAAUAAUGAUAAAAACCUCUUUUAUUAAUAACCAAAAUGACAUACAAAAAGGUCCAAGAUAAUGGCUUAGGGCAUAUACACUAACAAUACCAUCCUUGAUGUGAUAUGUUUGUGAUGUGAUGCAUUUCAUGAAAGCAUGAACUAUAAUAUGAUAUUUUUAUUAUUCUGUUCACUGGGCUCUAGUAGCUCACCCCUCUCCCUUAACCCCAAGGUUUGCAGGUACGGGCUAGAUCAGAAAGUCAAGAAGAGUAAAGUCAUGUAUUAUUUAAUAGUUAGAUGUGGACAUGAUAAAUUGUAAAAUGUAGAAAUGUUGAGCAGUCAUGUAAUGUAAGAAUGAUAUUGAGGAUUUGAAUUUGUGCUUGACCCCAUGUGUAUGGUUAUCCCUUCUAGAUAUAUACAUGAUCUAUGUUUUAUGAUGUUUAUGUUCAACCAACCUUAAUGUAUGAUGUUAUACCCCAUUGGAGCAUUUGAUGAGGGCUCCAGUGUGAGGUUUUAUGUUUAUGUCUAUGAGUAUGUACAGGUUAAGCUUGGUAAAAGAAAAAGAAAAGUUCACAGUUUUAUGUAUAUGUAUGAUCAUGUAUGGGAUUAAACAAGUAUACAGGAUGUAUGUGUAAUACCCGGCUAGACUCCGGUAUCGGAAUUCCUACCGUCCGGUGGAAUCUCGGAUGUCGAAAACCUCUAGAAGGGUAAAAUCAUGUUUUUAGAAAAUGUUUUAAUGUAUUUUACGGUUUUAAGUAAGAAAGAAAUUAAGUUUUGAAUGAAAAAGACCAUGGAGGCAUUUCCAGUGUAACAGCCCAGAAACCGGUACCUCUCUGUAACGGCCCCAAACUGCUUGGCGCUAGGAUCCAGAUCGGCUUAAGGCCGCCGGGACCCGUAGCAAGCCUAAACUGAACUCUGUGUACCUGAUCAAUCCCAUACAUGAUCUGACUCGACCACAAGCUUUUGCAAACUUUUUCUGAAAAACCACCAGGCUUAACCUUAAAACAGUCAGACAUGUCAGUCUGAAACGGCCCCCAGGGCCUACACCAGCAAUCUACUACCAAGCUCAAUCUCCAUGCACUAUGCCUGAAAAAAUAGAACCCACUCUCUUAGGGUCAGCAUAUCACAGAUUAGCCUUGGUUUCUGCUUUGGGUCAAGGGGCUCAAACCCUUUCUUCCCUCACAGUCUGCUCUUGGGUCAAGGGGUUUUAUACCCUUUCUUCCCUAUUACUGGAGUUUUCGAAACACAUCAUACGUUAAGCCUAGUUUGACACAUUUCUCAUCAAGAAACGCAAAACAGGAUACAUGCAUACAACAGGGAUUAAGCAUACACCAGGCAAAGCACAUUCUAAACCAUAAACAUACUCACGUACUAUCUAUUAUAGCCUUUUACAUAUUUCUUUGAGUUACAUCUUGUCCAGUACUCUAUUACAUAAUCACAACCUGAGCUAUGACUUCAGUCUGACUCUUGCUGCCUCUGACAUCCCACAGCUAACGCUAACCUGCAAAACUGGGGUUAAGGGAGAGGGAUGAGCUAAAAGCCCAGUGAGCAGAAACUAUAGAAAACAGUUCAUUCCAUACAUGCUCUCAUGAAAUGCGUCACUGCACAACCAAUUCACAUCACGGACUGGACAUGACCUCAAAACUCCCUCUGUCGGUGCACGGCCCCCUACGGAGCUCGCCACUACAUGUACUAGCGCCCAGCCCCUACUGCGGAGCUGACACAGGUCUUACCCAGACAUAACAGAUUAUGGCUAUUGAAGUCGUCUGGGUCCAAUCCCCAUCACAGUAAAUAAUGCAAUGCAGCAUAUUCGUGCCUACUAAUGCAAUCAACCUAUUGCAUACUCAUAAUACUCAUGAUGCAUGAACCAUGCUCAGACAUAUAUCAUUUCUCAGAGUUAAAAACAUUAAGGUUAGUUCUACUCACCUCUGGCUGACGCUGGACUGACUCUGCCACUGCUACCCCUGAUGGCCUCCUCGAUCUCUCGGGUCCGCUCCUACACAGGUGGACUCGAAUGAGGUGCCAAACACACUCGAAAUGACUCAUAAACAACUCCCCAAAACCCCUCUCAAAGCUCUUAAAACAAACACAUAAAGCAUGCAAAAGAAGGCUGGACAGGACACUUUCGGCGGCAGGUUCGGCGGCCGAAUGUCCUCUCCAGAGACGAAACUCAAGCACCUUCGGCGGCCGAAUCUCCACUUUCGGCUGCCGAACCCUUUCGGGGGCAAGGUUCGGGGGCUGAAACACACUCCAGAGACGAAAGUCUCUAACCUUCGGCGGCACCUUCGGCGGCACCUUCGGCGGCCGAACCUCACCUCCAGAGACGAAAGUCCAAUCCUUCGGGGGCAGGUUUAGGCAGCCGAAACCACCUCCUCAAAACGUUCGGCGGCCGAACCCUUCUUCGGCGGCCGAAGCUGGGUUCUCCAGUUAGGCAAAACCUCGCUUACCUCAUGUACAACUUCCCCCAAACUUGCUCAAACAUGCAUACAACACUCCAUAACACACAUAUACUCAGGUAUAUGCACAAAGGGGUCCAAAACUACCUUAUAACCCCAACAAACAACACUCAUAACAUCAAACAACUCAUACACAUCAUAAAAACCCUUAAAGCCAUAAACUUGCAAACUUUCCAUCAAACCUUCAUAAAUCUAUCAAAACCAUGAAAAGAUGUUAGCACACUCCAUAAACCUCUUGUAAACAAAAGGAUGGAAGACCCUAACGUGAAGAAAUGGAGAAAACACUCUCCAAAUCAUCACACUUUCAAAACUUCAUCUUUUUGCUCAAAACCCACAAAACUUCCAUAAAUCUUGUUUAAACUCUUGAAGAUUUGAAAGAACACAUAAAAAUCACUUAGAGGAGCAAAGGAACGCACCUGAGGCUGCUGGGGAUCAGAAAAACUAUCCCUUGACCGACCUAAGGCCCCCUUAAAUAGUGGCUGGCCAAACCACCUUCGGCAGCCGAACGUGCCUCCCAAUCCAUGCAAAGUUCGGCGGCCGAAACUCAACCUUCGGCGGCCGAACCUGGCAAUUUCCUCAAAACAUUACUUUCCAAAAACAUCAUUCCUUAAACACGCUGAAAUUCUUUACAAUACUUAAAACCCUUGAAAACAUUUGAAAACAUCUAUGAAAACCUUUCUCUUACUCUUCUAGAAUCCUCUGACAUCCUCAAAUCCCACCAGAUGGUAAGAAUUCUGAUGCCUGCUUAAGCCGGGUAUUACAUCCAGGUUCGGCCGCCGAACAUUGGAUGGUUUAGGGAGCAAGUUAGGCUCCCAAAAGUUAGCUCAGGUUCGAUCGUCGAACCCCAUGUUCGGCCGCCGAACUUGCAUGAGUUUUAGAGGCACUUUAGACUGCCGAAAGGUGGUCUGGCAGCCCUAUAAAAGGGCUCCAUGGCCGAAACGGGCGAGUUUUCUCCCCAUUUUCGGCCACGGUGAGUCCCUGCUCUCCCAUGGUUUGUUUUUAAUGUUUUUCCUCCGAUCUUUAGAGUUUUAACGAGUUUUAUCUUGAUUUGAAGAUAUUUGAGCAAAAGAGCAAGUUUUGGAGCUUGGAGAUCAAAGAGUUGAGAUCUCCCCCAUCUCUAAGUUAGGAUCGUUUCUCCUCUAAAUCUUCAAGAGGUAAGCUUCGAUCCUGCCAUUCUAGUAUGUUUUAAAUAAGUUUUAUGAGUUUUGUGGGGUAGAAAUGCAUGUUUAGGUUAUUGUUGAAGUUUAUGGGUUUAUGUUAUGGUUAUGAGCAAUGUGGGUAGUAUGUGUAUGUUUAAUGUGUUUUGGUUGGGGUUUAAGUUAGUUUGAGACCCCUAUGUGCUUGUUGGCUUGAGUUUGCUUGUUGUAGAAUAGGAAAAUGCAUGUGUGAAUGAGUUGGGAGGCUUUUGUGCAUGUUGGAGCUGAGUUUCUGCCUUUUGGGAGAACUCAGGUUUGGUAGCCGAAGGGACUUUCGGCCGCCGAACCUGCCUAUGGAGGCCAACUUUUAGCUGCCGAACCCUGCCCCCGAAAGUGGACUUUCGGCUCUAGAAGGGAGUUUCGGCCACCGAAGGUGCCGCCGAACAUGCAUGAGUUUCGUCUCUGGAGGGAACCUUCGGCCGCCGAAAGUGCCGCCGAAGGUGCAUGACUUUCGGCUCUGAAGGGACUUUCGGCUGCCGAACCUGCCGCCGAAAGUGCCCUGUUCAGCCAUCCUUUGCAUGGUUUAUGUGAUUGUUUUAAGAUGUUUUAGGGGGUUGUUGGGGAGUAUUUUAGAGUCAUGUUCAUGGAUGUUUGGUCCCUCAUUUGAGUCCACCUGUGUAGGUUCGGACCCGAGGAACCGAGGACCUCAGCAGUGAGAUAGCUGCUUCAGAGUCUUUAGAGCUUCAACCAGAGGUGAGUGGAAUAACUCUUUACAUUUCAAAACAAAUAAAUAAAUUUUGAGCAUGAUACAUGCAUCACGUAUGCCAUGAGAUAUACUAGGUUGUUUGCAUUAGAAUUCACGAAUAUGUUGCAUUGCAUAACUUGAUGAUGAUGUGGAUGGAUGUUGAAUGAUCCUUUAGUCCUCGUAUGUUAUGGUAUGAUGAUGAUACGGUAUGGAUAGCCAAUGAGGCCCAUUCUACGCCCCUGGCACUAUGUUAAGAGAAAGACCAGUGAGGCCCAUUCUACGCCCCUGGCAUUAUGGAAUGUUAUGUUAUGUUAUGUUAGUCCUAUUCUACGCCCCUGGCACGAUUAGACUAUGUAGAGGACUAUUGGUGACAAGUCCAUCCUUGAUGUGAUUUGUUUGUGCUGUGUUGCAUUUCAUGAAAGCAUGAAAUAUAAAUUGAAUGUUUUACUAUUCUGCUCACUGGGCUUUAUAGCUCACCCCUCUCCCUUAACCCCCAGGUUUGCAGGUACAGGGUAGACCAGGAGGUCAGCAGGAGUAGAGUUAUGUUAUUAUUAUAGCUAGAUGUGGACAUGAACAUGAUGUAAUGUGAAAGUAUAGUAUAGAAAUGUAAUGUAAUGAUGCUUGUGGAAGUUUAGAGUUGUGCUUGACCAUAGUAUGAUGUUAAUCCCUUUCUAGUACAUGAUCUUAAAUGUUUAAUGAUGAUUAUUGUAAACCAAGCUUAAUGUAUGUUAUGUUAUCCCAUUGGAGUAUUUGAUGAGGACUCCAUUGAGGGAUUUUAUGUUAUGAUUUGUGCAUGCACAGGUUAAGCUUGGUGAAUGAAUGAAAGAAUGAAUGAAUGAGUGAAUGAAUGAUUCAAUGAGAAAGUUUUAAUUUUUAUGUAAUUGUUGAUCAUGUACGGGAUUAAACAGGUAUACAGGAUAAAUGUUUGGCUUGCUAUGGGUCCCGGCGGCUUUAAGCCGAUCUGGAUCCUAGUGCCGGUAGCGGUCCGAUUUUCGGGUCGUUACAGUAUGUUAGGCUUGCUACGGGCCCCGGCGGCCUUAUGCCGAUCUGGAUCCUAGCGCUGGUAGUGGUCCGGUUUCCGAGUCGUUACAACGGGCUACUGAGCACAUGCGGGGAGCUAAGAUAGCUUUUGAGCUCUUUGAAAGCUUCUCGACAGUCCUCAGUCCAUUCGAAGUUUGAAACUUUCCUCAACUUCUUAAAAAACGGUAAGCAUCUCUCUGCCGACCUCGACAUGAAGCGGUUGAGCGCUACUACCCUUCCAGUGAGUCUCUGGACGUCCCUUACACAGGUCGGCUCGGACAUUUUUAGGAUGGCUUUUACCUUCUCGGGAUUGGGCUCAAUGCCUUUUCCACUCACCAUGUAUCCUAAGAACUUUCCUCCCCUAAUGAAGAAAGCACACUUUUUCGGGUUCAGCCUCAUUCUGUAUUGUUCCAGCACUUCGAACACCUCCCUGAGAUCCACCAAGUGUUGCUGAAAAGUUGGGCUUUUUACCACCAUGUCGUUCACGUAUACUUCUACAUUCCUGCCGAUCUGGUCUUUGAAGAUUUUAUUCAUUAGCCUCUGGUAUGUUGCCCCGGCAUUCUUCAGCCCAAAAGGCAUAGCUCUGUAACAAUAGGUUCCAUCUUCUGUUAUGAAUGAGGUCUUCUCUUCAUCCGACUUGUCCAUUGGAAUUUGGUGGUAACCGGACAUUGUAUCCAAAGACGACAUGUAAUCAAAACCUGUCGUGGAGUCGACCAUUUUAUUAAUAUCAGGGAGGGGAUAACAAUCUUUGGGACAUGCCUGAUUGAGGUUGGUAAAAUCUAUACACAUCCUAUAUUUGCCAUUGGUUUUUUGACUAAUACAGGAUUUGCUAGCCAUUGUGGGUACAUAACCUCUCUAAUAAACCCUGCCUCCUCUAGCUUUUGCACCUCCUCCCUGGUGGCCUGCUGCUUCUCUCUUCCUACCACCCUCUUCUUUUGUUUCACCGGCCUGGCCUCUGGAAGGACGUUCAGCUUGUGAGUCAUCAGUUCAGGGUCUAUCCCAGGCAUGUCAGAAGGCUUCCAUGCAAAGCUUAAUGCGUGACCUCGGAUCAGGGCCAUUACUUCAGUUUUUUGCUCUUCAGUCAGGCCGGUGUUAAGUCUGAAGACCUUGUCUGUCUCCGCUUCCGAUAAGGGGAAGGUUUCCAGCUCUCCGACCGGCUCUGUUCUGGCCUCUUUUUUCUCAUCUCGGACCUCCAGAACUUUUGAGUCAAGCUUCUCUCUUGCCGAGCUCGGCUCUGAUACCGUGGUCAGGUACACUGCUCUCGCCUCUUCCUGACUUCCUCUGACUACUCCCACUCCCGCUUCGGUUGGGAAUUUCAUGGCCAAGUACCUUAUGCUGGUCACGGCCUCAAAGUCAAACAGCAUAGGUCUUCCCAAUAUUGCAUUGUAGCUCAGGGGGAGUUUUACUACCAAGAAUACCGCGUAGUGAGUUCGAGUUCUGGGUGCUUCCCCGAGGGUGAGAGCCAGCUUCACCUUUCCUUUCACAGGCACCGGGACUCCUCCGAUCCCUUUGACUGGGGCCUGGUCCCGAACCAACUGUUCUUUUGGGAUUCCCAUCUGCUGGAAGACUCGGUAUGGCAAUAAAUUCACCUUACUUCCGUCAUCCACCAAGAUCUUCUUAACCCGGUAGUUGUGGAUGAUGACUUCAAUAACAAGAGCAUCGUCAUGAGGCAUCUGAACACCCUGGGCAUCCUCCGGAGAGAAGGAGAUGGGCACUGGAGAAUGUUCAACUAGCUGCAUGACUUCGGCACUGCUGCCUUCCCCAUCUCGACCCCUUUUUCUUCCUCCCUUGCUCAUCCGACCUCCGGUUCCUCCGACAAUCAUGUUGAUGGUCCCACUGGAGCCAUCAUUCACCGGUCCUGCUCCCGUCCUCCGAGGUCGUUCUGUCGUAGGGUUCUGCUGAGAUCUCUCUCCCUCCGAUUUUUUCACAAAGUUCCUGAGAUGUCCCCUCUUUAUAAGCCUCUCUAUCUCGCUGAUCAGCUGGAAGCAAUUGUUGGUGUCAUGGCUGUGUGUACAAUGGUACUGAUAGUAUUUGUCAGGAUCUCACUGGUUUGCUUCUGCUCUCAUGGGCUUGGGCCAUUGGAGGAACUCCUUAUCCUGAACUGCCAUGAGCACCUCGGCUCUAGAGGCGUUGAGUGGAGUCAAGUUCUCUGGAACUCGCGGAGGGAAUGUUCUUUGUUUUGGAACCCGAGGGGAGAAAGGUCUCUGGUCCCUUCGGUCCCAGGGCUGUUUGUAUGACUCAGGUCUUUUGCUUUGCUUUUUCUCCUACCUUUCCGACCUCCUCUCUUUCGAGGCUUUUCCCCUGUCUGCCACCCCUUUGGCGAAUCUGCUCGUCACCAAGGCAUCAUCCUGCCUUAUGUACUUCUCCGCCCUCUUCAUCAGCUCUGCUAGUGAGGUGGGACGAUUCCUGCUCAACGAGCCAAAGAACUAUGGCGAGGUCGUCCCUUUCUGCAUAGCCUCCACCGCUCUGCCCUCAUCUAGCUCGGGGAUUUAUAAGGCCUCCGUAUUGAAAUGGGCUACAUACUCCCUCAACGAUUCAUCUCUUCUCUGUCUGACUGUCUCCAAGUAACUCGUCUUUAUGUCCGCAGGUACUCCGGCAAUGAACCGACUGAUGAAGAUAUUGGCCAAAUCUCCAAAGCUUCUGAUACUUUCAGCCUCUAGACUAUUAACCCACGCUCGUGCUGGCCCUGUGAGGGUCGUGGGGAAUACCUUGCACAUCAAGGCAUCCGAUAGAGUCUGCAGCUCCAUGAAAGUCUUGUAGUUAAGGACGUGCUCUCUGGGGUUUCCAGCUCCGUCAUACGCUGCCAUAGGUGGCAUCAUGAACUUCUUGGGGAUAGUCUCCUGCUGUACCCAUUUUGAGAAAGGCGAGGAGGUGGGCAAGAGAGCCUGAUUGUGAUCCUUCGUCCCAAACUCGACUAGGAGCUGUUCCCUCAUUCUCUGCACUUUCUGAUCCACACUCUCUUCCUCUUGUUUGGGCCUCUUCUCCAGACGAUAUUCUUCCUACCAUUCAUCCUCCUUCGUUCUCCUGGUUGUUCUGGCAAAAUAACUGUUUGCCUCAUCGUUUUCUAUCAACUCCCUCACCCUUCUUCCAUGAACUCUGGCUUCUGGUUCUUCUUCUCCCCCGGCUCUUCUGCCCCUUUCUCCGGUUUCUCGACUAUUUGUUUGGGGAUGGUUGAAGGUAGGCUGAGGUUCGUUGGUUCGGGGUUCUUCUACCACCGGCAACACAUUCACUGGGGUGCUGAGGCCCCUCUGUUGCAUCAUCUGCCCCAGCCAGUGGGCAGUGUUUUGUAGUUGAAGGGCUAUGGUUUGGAGGUCCUGGUUGGACAAGGUAGCUCCAGGCAUGUUCCCUGCCGAGUUCGGCGAGGGGUUGAAAGGGAUUGGUGGUUGGUUGUUUGGAGUUGUCGGGUUGGAAAAAUAGAACUGCUGCCCCUCUUGGGCAGAGCUCAGGUCAUUGGGAGUGUUAACGAUGUUGUUUUCAUUAUGGUUGGCCAUCGUGGAUCUCAGUGGGUAUUGUAAGAGUGGACCUCCGGCGAUGAAAAGAUCUCCUUCGUUUUCCACAGACGGCGCCAAUUAAUGAUCUGAGAUCCAGAAAAUAGGGUUUUACAAGGGUUCUGUAAGCUUAGUCUAAGAGGAGAAUGUUUCUCUCCUUUUAUUCUUUUCCUUUAUCUGCCAGGGGCGUGUCAUGGCCUUACGGCCAUUGGGCCACCUGUCUCUGCCAUACUGAUACGGACGUACGAGGAUAUCAGAUAUCUGCUCCAUGCGUAACGACCAUUUAAUUCUCCCCUGGCACGCAUGCAGAUGGAACCACUAGGCAAAUGGGCUGGCUACCUUUUCUCCUCCGGGCUGGGUUGGAAGAUGAGAUUAGGACUGGAGCCUAGGGGAGGUCUGAUCUUAGGGCCGAAAGGACUGGGCCGACCUGAUUGAGAGGCUUUAGAGGGAGUCCGGUCUUCAGGCCGAGCGGCCUAAAUCUGGUUCAUGUGGGAGAUUUAAAAGUUUUCAAGUAAUGGGCUGUCAUCAUGGCCAAGCCUCAGACCGAGAUGGUGAAAUCCAGCGAUCAUCACCUUGAUCAGAGAAAAUCUUCAGUGGUUGUUUGCUUGUUCUUUAAUUGGGUUUUUAAUCUGUAUAUGCUAUGAGGAGAUGGUAAGCUUCUCAAAUUCUUUAGUCUGAAUUAAAGAAAAAAAAAAUUAAGUCAUUUUUAUAUUUUAAGAUUUUUAUUAAGAUCUCUUUAUAUAUAAAUUUAUAAUAUAUUUUAAUUUUUAAAUUAAAAUUAAACAAUAACCUAUCCCAAGCAGAAACAAUCUUGCAUUGGUCUCUUUAGGUUGAACAAAUUGAUCACUAAGCUUUUCAUCCUUAUAAGCAAAAGGGUUGUGCAGGUUGCUCAAACAAAGAGAGAGAAUUAGACUCUUCUACUUCAUUUGUAUGGAAUGUCUUCUACGGAAGAAGGGAUACAUAUGAAAAUGUGCUUCUGUCUCAAUAAAUACAGAUAUUUUGUGGAAUAAAUUUUCAUUAUUUUCUUUUAUUUCUAAUUAAAAAUUUUACAAGAUUUUAAUUUAAUUAAUUUUUUAUAAUGUUUUAUUUGAAAUGAAAAAAUCUCAUACUUUUUAAUUUUAAAAAAUAUUUUAUAAAAAUUCAUUUGUAUUUUUUUUCAUAAAAUAAAUUGCUAUCAAUUGUGAAGUUUUGAAAAUUGUGAUUACUGGAGGCAGAUUAAGACAAAGGAAAUACAACAUAAUGUGGAAUUUGUUUAAGAAAACUGUCAUAGAGCUGGAGAUGUUUUAUCGUAAGAGUUGAUGGCCGCCGACCUCUAAGCAAUCAGGCUAAGGUCGAACUUUGAAAAAAGAGAUAAAUCCAAAUCUCAUUAAAAUUUAAUAAGCAGGUUGAUUUAUCAAUACAUCAUCCAACCUGCAAUUAAAACAGGCUGAUUGAGGGUUCGGAUUUAUCAGAAGAAAACCUAUCUCGUUUGAUGUGAUGGGGAGUAGGAGAACAGACUCAGCUAUACCGCAACCCUAUCAGUACGGAUGUCGGAGAAAAAUUAAAUAACCGGACGGGAAUGGACAAACAGAAAUAGAUGGUAAUACUAGGGGAUAGUAGCGAUUACAGAUAAUAACGAUUAUGCAUCACUAGGGAAUAAGGAAAAAAUGAAUAAAAAAGGGGAUCGUGACCCUUCAGAUUAAACUUUUCCCAGCCAUACAAAACUCUAUUCCUUUCUGGAUUUCAAUUCAAGAGUGAUUUUGCCAUUUUUUUUAUAGGUUUUUGUCAAGAGAUUUUUUUUUCCUUGAUGGCCAGUAUUUUUUCUUUAUUUAUUCUUUUGUAUUGAUAGGUUAUUAGCCUAAAAGUUAAGUUUUAGACUUUAUUGGUUCGUUCUUAAAAGUACAGGGACUUAUUAGGACUUUCUUCCUAUUGGUUCACGUGUUCCGUCAGUUUUUCUUCCCUGCUUGACGGUUGUCUUUUGGUUACUUAAGUAGCAACGACAUCGUUUUGCAUAUUUAUUCAUAUAUCUGUUGUUGGAAACGGCGUCGCAUCUGUUCAUAAUUGCAUCAGCUUUCUUUGCGCGAGGCUCAAAGUUCACGGCAGCGAAACCUACUUAACGGACAACCGGCGGCGACACCAUUACGCCAUGCGAAAAGCUUCAUGGCAAGAGGUAUUUGCGCAUAACUGUAUUAAUUCACGUGUUGAUAAUUGUAUUUUAACUCGUCUACUGAUGAACUAGGGCAUUGUUUUAAAUUUUCUGUUCGAAGCUAGAUGAAGUUUCUGAUAUUCUCGGUGAUUCCAUCCACGACAGCGGUGAAAUCCCUUACCAAUACGCGCUAUCGGUGUUUCGCUCCAAUGCCAUAUGGAGGAGAAGGAGAAAGUUUUUACGGGAAUCUUCCAUGUUUCAGGCGGCCGCGAAGGGCCGUAAAGAGAGGUAAUUUUGUUGUAAGCAGAUUGAUUUCGUUUUGAUUUUUGAUGUUAAAAUUUUAUUAUAUCCAUUUGGGCUUUUCAUUGAAUGAAAACCUAGAUUAUUAGGCCAAUAGUGCUACUAUUGACUUUGAAUCUUUAAUAGAUUGAAAACCUGUUAAUUCAGUUAAUUUAUUGUUAGUAGGUGAAUAUUCUGAUUAUUUAAAAUCAAUGAAAAAGAAUGUUCUGUGAUAUGACCAAUUCUGCUAAUCUACAAACUCUUUUUCUUUUCCUUUUUUCUUGAAGAAUCUAUUCAAGUUGAGAUUUGUUUAUUGCAGUCUAUUUUUCUAAGUCUUUGGCUGAGCAUAGUAUUGAAUUCUCCAUGUCUGUUCAUCCACCUUGUGUCAGCAAACUUGUUGCGCCUCUCCAGUAUAUUAUAAUGGUCAUUUGAGAAUCGUUAACUGUUUAUGUAAGUACAACCUCACAAAAUCACAAUUAGUUGAAUUUUGUAGAUAUGCUAUUUUGGGGGAUACGUAUCUAAAUCACCGUGCAAUUCGAGUUACUGAUUCACAGAGGCAACUUAUAGUUAAAAAAGAACUAAGAGAUCUUGGAGGUGUAGAUAGGCCUUUGUUCAUAUGGCAAACUAAUGCUCUUAAAUCUUUCUUCAAAGGAAGCUUAUAAGCAAAGAAAUUGAACUUUCUUCAAACAAUAGAAGCAAUAUUAAUGUAAUGGAUACAGCUCACCUGCAGCUGAGCUGAAAAAAAAAAAAACCAUUUGGCUUAUGUGGACAAGAAUCAUUGUCAUUAUAAUCAGGAAGUCAAUGGUUGAUGCUAUAGAAGCUUUUUAUUACAAAACGGAUCCUUAAACUGGUUGAAGGAAAUAAAAAGUUUCUUGCCAUUGAUAAAGCAAUCGGUGAAAAUGGAUUCAGAGUUGUUACCCUUCUUCGUUUGAGCCCUUUGCUUCCAUUUUCCCUUGGGAAUUAUUUGUAUGGAUUGACAUCUGUUAAGUUUGUCCCAUAUGUUCUGGGAAGGUUUGCCUUUAUCCCAUUGUUGUUGCUAGUUAUGAAGUUGAUUUCCUAUUGGAAAUAUUUUAUGAGAUGUCCCCUUUAGUUGUUUGUGCUUGAUGCCCUUCUUAUAGGAUCCAUUUGUUUGUGGACAUGCAUACUUUCUAGGCAACUUAUAGUUAAAAAACAACUAAGAAAUCAUUUGGAGGUGUAGAUAGGCCUUUGUUCAUACGGCAAACUAAUGCUCUUAAGUCUUUCUUCAAAGGAAGCUUAUAAGCAAAGAAAUUGAACUUUCUUCAAACAAUAGAAGCAAUAUUAAAGUAAUGGAUACAGCUCACCUGAAGCUGAGCUGAAAAAAAAAAACCAUUCGGCUUAUGUGGACAAGAAUCAUUGUCAUUAUAAUCAGGAAGUCAACGGUUGGUGCUAUAGAAGCUGUUUAUUACAAAACUGAUGACUAUUCAAUUGUAUGCAAGUGGCAGAAUUUUUAUUUGACAUUUGACGCUUUAAAAAAGGAGAAAGGUGACAAACUUGAUAUUGCCAAGGAAAGAGGGGAAAAGGGUAGUGUGUUGGUGAAUAAAAGAAAGGAGGGAAAAGAAAAAUAUUGUAGUAGAAGAAGAUGAAGAAGAAGAAGAGAGAAACAAGGCAAUAACAUUGCUGAAUUGCUGGCAGGAUAAGGCAUGCAGUUCGUGCAUCCAAUUGGCAUUCUUUGCAUACAUCCAAUGUUCCUUCACUUAUCAUUAUUCUCUCUACUACUCUUCCUCAAGGUUUUCACUUUAUCUCAAAUCAGUGUGUGAUAAUCUAAGUGAAUUGUUUGAUUUAUUGUGAAUGUUUAUUCCGUAAUAUGUAUUUGAAUUUCCGAUUGACUAAGUUUGCUGCUAGAUCCAUAUCCAUAUAAGUUUGUGUUUUCCACUUAGAGUUUUAAUUUCAUUAGAUUAUUUCAAUUUUGGUAUUCUCUGUUCUGAGAACAUACUUUUCUGCUUCGAAUUUCUUCUUUCUAAUCAAAUCUGUGUAGGAUCCAAAUAACUCCAAAAGAGAAGAAAAGCUAAUUGAUGUGAUUACCAGUUUCCAACUCUCAAUCAUUUAUGAACUUAAUCCAAAGGCAGUCAAAUUUUUAAAAGUUUAAUUAUGGCCAGUUUCUGAUAUCUGAAUAAUACACAAGGUAUCUUUUAUUACAUUAGCAAAUAUUAAGGCAAUUUUAUAUCUUUCGGCCACCUAAACUUCAUUUUAGGUGCUGAAUUAGUGCUGAUUCAGAAAUGGAUUGUAAGUAGCUAUUGGUUCACAUAUGUGCCUAAAAUAACAACUUAUAGCUAACCUGGAAUGAACAGCCAUAAUAAUUAUAUACUCAACAGAUUCUCUUUUUUUCCUAAAAUAAUAACUUUCUAACAACUUACUCUACUAAACUCAUAUAUAUUCUUGUUAAUUAGUCUAUUAAAAAAAUGGAUACUAGCUUCAAAUUUGGCUCAACAUUUAAAAAUUGCUCGUGUGAGGGAAGCAGUACGAAUUGACAUUAAUUUGGUAUUCAUGGUAUCUUUUUCUUCCAAUGUUAGAAGUCACAUGCUUACUAUUAAACCGCUGAAGAAUGAAGAAGCAUGGGAUCUUUUUUGCAUGAAAGCAUUUUUCAUCAAUCCAGAUAAAUCUUGUCCAGAAGAACUUAAACCUCUAGCAUUAGAACUGGUGGGAAAAUGUGAUGGACUACCUCUUGCAAUUGUGGCUUUAGGUGGUGUCAUGUCCUCCAAAAAGUCAACAAGUGAGUGGAGUAGUGUUUGGGACAGCUUGAAUUGGCAACUGAACAAUAAUCCAAGGCUAGAAAUAGUCAAGAGCAUUUUGCUGCUUAGUUUCAAUUACUUGCCAUCUCCAUUAAAGUAUUGUUUCUUGUAUUGUUGCCUCUUCCCAGAAGACUAUAAAAUUCGACGGGAAAGGCUCAUUAGACUCUGGAUAGCGGAAGGAUUUAUUCAGAAUGUUGACAGGACUACACCAAAUGAAGUUGCAGAAAGGUAUUUCAUGGAACUAACACUUUGUAGCAUGCUUCAAGUUGGAAGCAGAAAUGCAUGUGGGAGACCAAGAGCUUGCCAGAUACAUGAUCUUUUGCGUGAAAUUGGUAUAUCAAUGUUGGAGAGAGAGAAGUUUGGUGUAGUAUAUGAUGGAAAAAUAAAGAUUAAAGAAUGCCAACUUCAUCAAACUCGUCGCUUGUCUAUUCAAAUAACUAAUGGAGACCUUCAGUCAUAUGGCAAUAUGAGACGUCUUCGUUCACUACUUGUCUUUGUGGAUAGUUUUGUGUCUUUCUCGAACACAUCAUUGUCAAAUUUAAAAUUAAUGAGGUCUUUGGAUUUGGAAAAUGUCGCGAUUAAUAUUUCACCAGAAGGGUUGGGGACUCUAUUCAACUUAAGGUACUUGAACUUGAGAGGAACCUAGGUGCAAAAACUUCCCAAAUCUAUUGAAAAACUGAGAAAUCUUGAGAGUUUAGACAUCAUAAAUACAAAUGUAAAAGAACUUCCGAGUGAAGUAGCUGAGUUCCGAGUGAAGUAGCUGAGUUACAGAACUUGUAUCAUCUGAUUAUGUGGAGCAAGAGGAUUGCAAAUAACUUGGGAGAUUUUUUGUAUUUGAAUGGAGUGCAAGUAACAUUUAAAAUUAGCAAAUUGAAGAAAUUGCCAGUCUUGUAUUAUAUUGAAGCCAAAGGUGACAUAAUACGACAACUUGGGAGUAUGACCCAACUGAGGAGAAUGGGCAUUUUAAAUUUGAGAGAAGCAGAUGAGCAUGACUUGUGCUCUUCAAUCCUGAACUUGAAACUAAUACGCACCUUGCGUCUCUGUGUGAAUAAUGAAGCAGACUUCCUUCGAGUGGAUGCACUGGAAACACCCCCACCCCAACUUCAAAAGCUUGGUUUGCAUGGGAAACUAGAAAGGGUGCCACAUUGGUUUUGCUCACUUCAAAACCUAACAUC
Molecule: long non-coding RNA, 93690 nt
Filed under: Manihot esculenta (cassava)
Lineage: Eukaryota; Viridiplantae; Streptophyta; Magnoliopsida; Malpighiales; Euphorbiaceae
Description: long non-coding RNA (MESC_LNC010760)
Source: RNAcentral